UCUUUUGUUGUAUAUAUACUUGAUUGAUUGAUUGAUUCAAUAACAUUAUCUUUCUCUCUUCUCACCUGCCCCCUUUUUCUUCUCCUUUUACCUCUAGCUUCCAAUGCCUAUCAACACCACCAUCCUUAACACAAAUGAAUCUCACAGCAUGUUGAUUACCAUCAAUGUAGCAGCCCAAACUCCAUUAAAACUUACCUCCACCAGGCACCAACUAUCUAGCCUGGAAACUUCAAUUCCAGACUCUAUUCAUAGGACAUUUGAUUGAGGUCUCCACAAACAUUGAAACACCGCAAUUUUUCAUGAUAAAAUCCAAAGGAUUGGUACUUUGGUGUUUGAGGGGCUGGUAAAUGAAAGAACAGAUCAAGAGAUGACAUCCCUCUAUACCGCUGUUAUUCCUUUCAAGGUGCGUAUCAGGUGUUUGAAAAACUUCCUCAACUUAAAAUAAAAAGGUCUUGUUUACAACGUUUUUUAGUCCUUUACAAAUCUUCCAAUGUGUUGCGUUUACUGAAUAUGAUAGUGGGAACUUAUUUAUCAAGAAUUAACUACUCAGAAGAAAAUGUAAAGACGCAAUAAUGAUUUUUUUAUUUUAGAUUCCAUAGUCUACAAACUUGGAAGCAUACGGACCAGUCAGCUGGUAAAUGAAAGAACAGGGAUCAAGAGAUGAAAUCCCUCUAUACCGCUGUUUGAUACAAAAGUUCAUGGCCAAGUAAAAGAUGUUUAUUUUGGAUGUAAUAAAUAUUCAUAUUGCAACAUAAUAGUCAUCUCUCAAAUCCAUAAUUCAAUUGAUCAUAUAAAUAAUUGUUGAUUACUUAAAUAAACAAUUAUAUAAUUAAAUACUUAAUUAUAAAUUAAAGAGAUGGACAAUUAUAUAUUUCUAAAAUCUUAAUUACAAUUAUAUUAUAAUUUCUUCCCUAAAAUUUUUCAAAAUACAGUAUUAGAAUUACAUAAUAAAAUACAGUAUUAUAAUUUCUCAUCUAAAGGUCCAGCAUACCCUGGGAAUCUGAUCGGGUCAAGCUACGAGCAAUUAGGAGGCAUGACCAUCACCCACAUGUAACUUUGCUAAUAAUAUAUUACGGUUGUCAAAAUUAAUUAUUAUUAGCAAAAACUUAUUUUAUUUGUGAAUCUCUCAACCGUUGGAUUUAGAUAUGAGGAUAAGAGAUUGUGGGCACCUCUCUUUUUUAAAAUAACUAAAAUCUAAAUCAUCGGACGNNNNNNNNNNNNNNNNNNNNNNNNNNNNNNNNNNNNNNNNNNNNNNNNNNNNNNNNNNNNNNNNNNNNNNNNNNNNNNNNNNNNNNNNNNNNNNNNNNNNCCGGGAUUAUUUUAACUCAGUGAUCCUUCCCAGGUAGGCCCAGGUCACAUUGAUUAUGUUAAAAAAAAAAAAAAUCUAAUGUCUUUACCAUUAUAUUAUAAUUAUUUAGGAGGAUAGUUGAACAAUACUUUUUUAAAAAAAAUUAAUUUUUGACGAGUAAAAUAAUGUGGAACCAAUCGCAAUAAAUAAAGCCAAAAAAGGCAGACGAGUGUGUCUAAUUCAUGACUUGCAUUGACUAAAAAUUACCACUAGAAAUUCCUAGUUUUAUCCUAUAUAAAGAAUACAAAAAAGGCAGACGAGUGUGUUUCGUGGUGCUUUCUCGGCCUGCAAAUGAAUAGAAAGCAUAUCCUUUUAUCCUAUAUAAAGAAUAAUACAAUUAACAAAGCAUAUUUCAAUAUCCUUGCUUUACUCUCCAGCUAACCUGAUACAUAUUUCAAUGUCUCAAGACAUACGUAUGCCAUUGAUAGAAAGGUGUGUUCAAGCAAAAUCUUUUUUUAUCUGUAGCGACCUCAAUAAUGUUAACGCCACGAAAUUACCACUCCAAAUUCCUUGUUCUUCCUUUUUAUAUUAUUAGAAAAACUGUGAUUGACUGAUUUAAUUGGAAAUUAUUUGUGAGAAAGCUAAAAAGAAUUGGAGUUCUUCAAUUCCUAAAAUUCUAAUUUUAAAUUGUAAAAAAAAAUUAAUUAUUUUUAAAAUUAUUUUAGAAAAUAAAACAUUAACUAUUUAUAUAAUAGCUAAAUAAAUCUAUUAAAAUAAAUCGAAAAUAACCAGUAAAAUCAAGCAAAUAAUUCAAAUAUAACAAGUAAAUAAUUAUAUUUUUUUGGUCUGAUUUGAGUAUGUUUUCUUGACUUGCUUUAGUGUUCAUUAAACAUAAACAAACUUUGCUCUAAGAGUCUGCUUAUCAAUAAAAUAUUACUUUUACUGUACAUAAUAGAAAUAAUUUGGUUACCCGUCGACACUUACGUCACUUUACUCUUCAAUCGAUGUAAUUUCAUAGCUUUUCUCAGCAGGUGGGAUCCAACUAAUUUCAUAAAUCAUAAUUCUUCCUAAGGCGAUGCCAAAUAGGUGCCAAGAGUAUACCGCAUUAAGCGAAAACAUGCUGUCGCCAUAGUCUUACAGCUAANNNNNNNNNNNNNNNNNNNNNNNNNNNNNNNNNNNNNNNNNNNNNNNNNNNNNNNNNNNNNNNNNNNNNNNNNNNNNNNNNNNNNNNNNNNNNNNNNNNNCCAUUAAUAUUUGAUUGUUAUAAUUUAAUUUUUUUUUAAAAGCAAUUAAUCUUCAUUCUCUUUAUUUUUUUUCAAUCCAUUUAGUAAUUUGAUUUUUUUUUUUAAUUUUACCCUUCAAUUUAAAAUUUUAGUUUGUCCUCUCAAUUUUUUUUCAAAUGAUGUUCUUUUUUCUUAAUUGUUGUUUUUUUAUCCUUUAAUUUUUUUUAAUUUUAUUAUUCAACAUUUCAUUAAUUGAGAUUUGGUCUCAUUAAGCCCUACCCAAGAGUCAAUCUGGGAUAAUUAUUAAGUCACAAGUCGAGUAAGUUGACUCGAGUUAACCUAAGUUAACCAAAUCGUUUUAUUUUAUAAAAAGCCAAAAUGAUACCAUUUUUUUUAAAAAAAAUAAUAAACAAGUUUUGACCAUGUUUCGGCUAGGUUUUCUCAGGGUUAACUGAAAUAUUGGUCAACCCAGGUUUUGAUCGUAUUAUACUGGAGUAAUUCUCCGUCAAUUUUUUUUGAAACUCGAGCCAGUUUCAGCUAAAGGUCACUUAGAACACAGGUCAACCCAUAAGUUAAACCAAAUUUUUAAAUAAUAACUUUACAAAUAUAGUUCUUUCAAUUUAAUUACUAUCUCAGAUUAAGAUUUGAAAAAUUAACAUGGAUUUCUUUCGUUAUUCAUUUUAAAAAAGAACUCGUUAGUUUGCAAGUCCACGUGUCAAAUUUGGAAAAUCAUAUGGCCCAUUGAUAGAAAGGGGUGUUGAAGCAAAAUCUUUAUUAGCAAAGCCUGUUCGACCUCAAUAAUGUUAACGCGUGGACCCAGUUGUCGCAACCACCGCGAAAUUACCGCUCCAAAUUCCUUGUUCUUUCUCCGUAUAUUAUUUUUGAAAAACUGCCAUGUAUUUAAUUGUAAAGUAUUUGCAAAAAAGCUAAAAGAAUUAUAGUUUUUUAAUUUUUAAAAUUAUAAUUUUAAAUUGAAAAAAAAUAAUUAUUUUUAAAAUUGUUUUAAAAAUAUAACAUCAACUAUUUAUAUAAUAGCUAAAUAAAUAUAUUACAAUAAAUCAAGAAUAACAAGUAAAAUCAAGCAAAUAAUCCAUAAAUAACAAGAAAAUAAGUAUAUUUUCUAGAUCUGAUUUGAGUAUAUUUUUUAUCUUGAUUGACUGACUUGCUAAGUUUUUGCUAAGUAUAAACUAAUUUUACUCUAAGAAUUUAUUUGAUAUUUCUUCACUUAUUAAUGAAAUAUUAUUUCUACUGUAGAAAAUAGAAAUAAUUUGGUUGACCAUCGACACUUAUGUGAUUGAUUAUUGAUUAUUUUACUCUAAGAUGAAUAUUUUUUUGUUUGCAUCAAAUAAUUAAAAUUGAGAAUUUCAAAGCAGAGGGUUUAAGGAAUAUUAAAAGAGAAGGUUUUACGUAAUUAUUAUAUAAUUGAAAUUGUCACUAAUCUCCUUUGUUCAUUUUCUUUUUCUAUUACCCCUUCCAAUCAGCAUGCAAGAAACUUUCAACGUUUUACACUGCUUGUUCACUUAAUAAAACUAUUACUUGCUAUAAAGCAAGAAAUAAUAUUCUUUCUCUGAAAAGGGCUUGAGAAAACCCUAAGCAUGGUAGAUAAUCUCUUAUAGGAAUCUCUUUAUUAAAUAAUCAAAUAUCAAAGUCUAUUUCCAAAGACUAUUACUACAGUUUAUAUAUAUAUAUAUAUAUAUAUAUAUAUAUAUAUAUAUAUAUAGAAACAACUAAAUAGAGAAAUUAUUAUUUUUUAAAUAGAAAAGGUUGAAAAGCUUGAUAAUAUCGAGUAAGAAAUAAAAUAUAAAAAUAAUUCUUUUUUAAAUAAACAAAUAUAAAAGUUUAAUAGUACUGAAUAGAAAAAAAAAUAGAAUUUCUAAACUAAAUAAAAGUAACUGAAAAAAGUAUUUAUUAUUCCAAAAAAUUAGAGUUUUUUAAUUUAUAAAAUUAUAAUUUUAAAUUGUAAAAAUAAUUCAAUUAUUUUUAAAAUUAUUUUAAAUAAUAAAACAUCAACUAUUUAUAUAAUAGCUAAAUAAAUCUAUUAAAAUAAAUUGAGAAUAACUAGUAAAAUCAAGCAAAUAAUCCAAAAAUAACAAGCAAAUAACUUGUCAAGUCUUUAUUCAGCACAAACGAACUUUAUUCUAAAAGUAUAUUUGAUAUUUCUUCACUUAUCUAUGAAAUAUUACCUCUACUGUACAGAAUAGAAAUAAUUUGAUUGACCGUCGAUACUUAUGUUAUUGAUUAUUGAUUAUUUGGAAGAAGAAAUUGUAUUCAUUCUUCUUAUUUAUUUUUAUUAUUAACGUGGAUGUUCAGGCCAGCUUGCGCACACCUCGACUAAUCCCACGAGUCCUGAAGUUAACGAUCAUGUAAGCCUCCAGUGACCAUCAUAUUAGCAACUAUAGAGCUCGAACCUGAGAUUAUAGAGGGAACAAACCUCUUAAUCUCAAACUCUUAUCACUAGAUCACCUACUUUACUAUUCAGCUCGUUGUAAUUUCAUAGCUUCUCCCAGGUGGACGCAACUAAUUUCAUAAAUUAUAAGUCUUCGCUAAGCAUAAAUGAACUUUAUUCUGAGAGUCUGAUUGAUAUUUUUUCAUUUAUUAAUGAAAUAUUACUUCUAUUGUAUAGUUAUUGGGUACCGAGUCGAUCCACCUGGUCAAUAGAUGAACGGUACAUUCUUUGAAUUUAUUAGAAGAAAUAUGUAGUGUAAAUUAUAAAAAAAAUAUUUAUUUUUUGAUAUAUAAUAAUAAUAAUAAUAAUAAUAAUAAUAAAUUAGAUGAUAGUAACAAGAAAAUAGAAAUUAAUUUGAAUAAAUGGUAAGAGUUCCUAUUCUAAUAUAUCCAGGGAAGAAGUUCGAAGAAUAGAAUGAAGUUAAAUAUUCUUAAUAAAAGAAAGAAAUGAAAUAUAUUUUUAAUAAAUAUAAAAGAUGGAUAAAAUUAGAGAACAAGAAAGAGAUAUAUAAUCUUUUUGUAAGAACUUCUAAAAAUUUAAUUACAAUUCAGAAUUUCUUCCUUAAAAAUAUCCAAAAAAUCCUAUUAUAUAUGAAUCAAGACAACAGUAGAAUAACUUUUACAUAUUUUUCAAGUUUACUUAGAAUAGCAGUGGAAUAAUUCUUUUAAUAUUUAAAAAUUAAAAAAAAAACUGUGUAGUUGUUUUGUAUAAAUUCUAAAGUUGAGAACUCUUUUGUGCUUGGUAAAAUAUGAUUUUCAACUUUCGUAGGCGAGCACUAAAGUCCCAAGCUUCAAGAAUUUCUCUUCUUUUCCUUUUGUAUUUUCUCAUUUUCUUGGCAUGCGCGCAGCUGCUUCAUGGAAAAAACGUUUCAGAUGCGGAAAAUAAAGAUAAAUGUGGAAAAUAGAAGCGGAAAAAAAAUCCCAAAUAUCGACAAACAUCACAAGAGAAGCUUGAUAUCAACCACAUGUUGCAGUCCACAGUCUUUCCAUUACAUUAUAAUUACUUCUAAAAAAAAAUUUAAUUUUUUUUAAUUAUACGCCAUCAGCAACUACCUCAAAAUUACCACUCUAAAUUCCAGCUCAAUAUCGAUUAACAUGUGGCUAAAGAAUUUGAUUGCUGCUCAAUAUUUACCAAUACGCGCUUGAGAAAUUUCCUGCACGUGUUACAUUUUUAUCUUUUAUAAUUAUAAUUAUUGCAUUGCUAAUAAUUUGCAAGAAAGAAUAUUGUUUCUCUUAAAAGGGCUUGAGAAAACCCUAAGCAUUGUAGAUAAUCUCUUAUAGGAAUCUCUUUAUUAAAUCAUCAAAAUAUCAGAGUAUAUUUCCAAAUACUAUUACUAUAGUUUUUAUAUAUAUAUAUAAAAAUAGAAACAACUAAGUAGAGAAAUUAUUAUUUUUUAAAUAAAAAAACUAGAAAAGCCUAUAAUAUUAUUGAAUAAAAAAUAAAAUAGAAAUUUAAUCAAUUAAAAGUUUAAAAAAAAAUACUGUUUAACUGUUUUGUAUAAAUUCUAAAGUUAAAGAGUCUUUUGUGCUUGGUAAAAUACGUCACACUAAAAUUAAUAAAUAAUAACACAAGAAAGGACCAAAGUUAAUAAAUAAUAGCAUGCACGAAACUUCACGAUACCCAUGUUUUCCACGUUUUACACUGUUUUAAUAGAUUGUUACAGCAAGAGCACAGAGAGAGGAACGGUUCAAGACAAAACAACGAAGGAGGGGCAGAUGCUCAAGUUGUUGCAACCACCAUGAAAGGAACACAUUAAUGUUAACGCGUGGACCCAGUUGCUGCACCAGCACGAAAGUACUACUCCAAAUUCCAGCUCAAAUUGAAUAAUGAUUUAUUUUCUAGCAUAAAUUAUGUUUGAAAUAAAAUUGAUAAAAGACAUAAUUACACAAUUAUUGAUGGGAUCGUAUAUAAAAAUAAUUAAAUUGUGAUUUUUUAAUUAUUUUUAAACAUAUCAUGGUUUGAGGUACAUCAUGUAAAUUAUAAAAAAAAUAUUUAUUUUUCUGAUAUAUAUAUAGUAAUAACAAAUGGUUAGAAUGCUUUAGUCCUUUUCGAGUGGAAAGUGGUGUGAAAGUGGGAACUACUGUGAGAGCUUUAUGCCACUUUCUAAAUCGCGAGUAAAGUCUGAAUGUUUUUAGAAAGAAGCAGCCUUCAUUGCUUUUCAAAACCAAUCUCUGUAUCUAUUAACAAAAACUCUAAAUCGCGAGUAAAGUCUAAAUGUUUUUUAAAAAGAAGCAGUCUUCAUUGCUUUAAUAAAUUGUUACAAUAAAGCACUGAGAGAAGAAUGGUUAUACCGUUGAGCCGGGUCGAGUUUUAAAAUUAUAAUUUAUAUAUAAAAACAACUAAAUAGAAAAAUUAUUAUUUUUUAAAUGAAAAAACCAGAAGAGCUUAAUAAUAUUUAAUAAAAAAAUAAAAAUGAAAAAAUAUUCCUUUUUAAGUACAAACUAAUUUAAUAAUACUGUAUAAAAAAAUUAAAAUUUCUAACCUAAAUUAAAAAAAAUAAAAAUAACUGAGAAAAUAUUUAUAAAGAUAACGGUAUGUAAAUCUAGGAACUAAAAAUAAUACAACUACAUUGAUUGGAGAUUUCACUCAGAAUUUCUAGUAAAUUAUAAAGGAAAUUUCCUAGUGCUUUUCAUGUACAUGAAUUUAAAAAUUAUCGUCGCGGAACUUACUUGCAUUGACUGACUUGCUAAAUAUUUGUGCUCGAAAUUUCCAAGCAAUUUAUGGAGGAAAUUUCCUUGUGCUCUCUCUUGUACAUUAUUAGAAAAGCUGUCAUUGAUUGAUUGACUUGCAAAAGUAUUUGCAAGAAAGCUAACGAAUUAGAGUUUUUUAAAAUUUUAAAUUAUUAAAAAAAUCCAUUUUUUUUUUAAAUCAAGAAUAAAACAUCAAGUAUUAUAUAAUUGCUAAAUAAAUCUAAUAAAAUAAAUCGGAAAUAACUAGUAAAUAAUCCAAAAAUAACUAGAAAAUAACCUUUUCCACCUCAAUAAUGUUAACGCGUGGACCCAGUUGUUGUGGAAACUAUGCAGAGGAAGAAAAAUGAUAGAAAAAUUUGCAAGAGAGAAUUCUUUCUCUGAAUAGAAAAAAACUAUUAUUUUUUAAAUAAAAACAACUAUAUAGAAAAAUUAUUACUUUUUAGGUAGAAAAACCUCAUGAUAUUGAAUAAAAAAAUAAAAUAGAAAAAUUAUUCUUUUCAAGUAGAAAAAAAUAUAAAAGUUUAAUAAUAUUGAAUAGAAAUCAAUAAAAUUUCAAAACUAAAUAAAAAUAAUAGAGAAAAAUAUUUAUUAUCCUAAAAAUUCUUAUAUUAAAAUAUUUAAAAGAACUGAGUUUACAUGCUUUAAACAGAAAAACAACAAAAAAAAAAAACAAAUGUAACAAGAAAAAUUCCACACAACGUAAUAUGAUAUAAAUUGAGGUUUUUAAAUUACCUAUAAACAUAUCAUAAUAUAUAUGGUACAUCCUUUGAAUUUAUUAGAAAGAAGCCAUUAACUAGCCUUUUCAAUUGGAUCUUUUAUUUAAAUGAAAAGGAAUAUUUAUUUUAAUAUGAAAAAAAUAUUUAUUUUUUUGAUAUUUCUGGUAAUAAUAAAUUAGAGGAUAGUAACAAGAAAAUAGGAAUUAGAUCGAAUAAAUGGUACCAAUUUGUAUUCUGAUAUAUCUAGCCAAAGAAUAGAAUGAAUUAAAACAUUCUUAAUAAAAAAAACAGAAAACACAGAAAUAAAUAAAAAGAUAUUCUUAAUAAAUAUAAAAAAUAGGUAAAAUCAGAGAACAAGAAAGAGAUAUAGAAUCUCUUUCUAAGAUUUCUAAAAACUUAAUUACAAUUACAUUAUAAUUUCUUCCUUAAAAUUAUUCAAAAUAUAGUAUUAGAAUUGCAUAAUGCUAGGUUUUAGUAUAUAGUUGUUUAUAUUGUUAAAGAGUCUCUCCUAAAACAAAUAAUAAAAAUAUUGUACAACUCUUUUGAAUGAAUUGUUAAUGCACGGACUGUUUUGGGUCCUGACUUGGUUGAUUUAACUUGAAUGUAUUAUUUGAUUGGUCCAAAUAAAAGUCGACUCGAAAUUUCUAUUAAUUUACAAAAGAAAUUUCCUAGUACUUUAUGCUGUAUAUAAUUUGAAAAAUUAUGACUGACCGACUUACUUGCAAAGUAUUGGCAAGAAAGUUAAAGAAUUAGAGUUUUUAAAUAUUUAAAAUUAUAAUUUUAAAUUCUAAGAAAAAAAUCAAUUAUUUUUAAAAUUGUUUUAAAAAAUAAAAGCAUCAACUAGCUAAAUGAAUCUAUUAAAAUAAAUAAAAAAAUAAUUAGUAAAAUCAAGUGAAUAAUCCAAAAAUAACAAGAAAAUAGAGAUAUUUCCUAAAUAUGAUUCCAGUUUGUAUUUGCUAACAUAAAUAGCAUACACGAACUUUAUUAUAAUAGUAUAUUUGAUAUUUAAAAAAAAAACUUAUAUAUAUUAUAUGGGUUGGAAACCCAUUUUUUAUUAAAUUUUAAAUUUUAUAUGUUUAAAAAUAUUUUUUUAUAUUUUUUAAUUAUUUUAAUAUGAUAAUAUCAAAAAUAAAUAAAUAAAAUUUUUCUAACUCUUACUACUUCUGACUUGCUAUGACUCGAAAUUCGUGGUGCUCUCUCCUGCAAAUGAAUACAAAGCAUAUCCUUUCUCUUUCUCCUAUAUGAAGAAUACAAUUAGAAAUUUCCUUGGUUUACUCUUCAGAUUACUUUUCCAUGCACGAAACUUUAUGCCAAUUAGCAACCACUGUGAAAUUACAACUCAAAAUCCCAUGAAUAUAUAAAAAAAAAUUAGAAUUUGACUAGAAAAAUUCUAUCAAAUUCUCUACUUUGUUAGUGUUCAUUUUCCUUCUUUUUUUACCAUAUCUUCAGUUGGGACAAAAUUAUCUUCCCCAAACGAUAGACCUUUAUUUUCCUUCUUUUUUAGUUUAUUAGUAAUUACAUUAAAGAAAAAUAUUAAUUAGUAAUUUUACAUUUUUUUUCUAUAUUAUAAUUAUCAAAUAACCCUUAAAAAAUUUUAUUUUAACCUUUUUUUUCUCUCUUUUUUUUUCAAUUUAUUUGUUAAUUUAAUUUUUUUUUUAAUUUUACCUUCCGGUUCAAAAUUUUAGUUUAUUCUCUCAAUUUAUUUUUCAAAUGAUGUUCUUAUUCUCUUAAUUGCUAUUUUUUAUCCUUCAAUCUUUUUAUUUUAUCAUUCAACAAUUCAUUAAUUGGGAUCUGGUCUCAUUGGUUUUUCCUAUUGUUUCUAAACUCUACCCAAUAGUCAAUCCAGUAUAAUUAUCAAGUUACGAGUUGAGUGGAUUGACUCGAGUUAAUCUAAGGCAACCAAAUCUUUUUGUUUUAUAAAAAGCCAAAAUGAUGCCAAUUUUUUAUUUUUAAAAAAUAAAAAACGAGUUUUGAUCUUGUUUCGGCUAGAUUUUCUCAUGAUUAACUAAAACAUUGAUCAACCUAGAUUUUUUAUUGUAUUACAUUAGAUCAAUUCUACCUCAAUUGUUUUUGAAACUCGGGCCGUUUUAAACUAAAGAUCACCUGGGACACAGUUUCUUGGCGCUUUGUACUGUAUAUAAUUUGAAAAACUGUGAUUGACCGACUUACUUGCAAAGUAUUUGCAAGAAAGCUAAAGAAUUAGACUUUUUCAAUAUUUUAAAUUGUAAGAAAAAAUCAAUUGUUUUUUUUAAAUUAAAAAAUAAAACAUCAACUAUUUAUAUAAUAGCUAAAUGAAUCUAUUAAAAUAAAUAAAAAAUAACUAGUAAAAUUAAGUAAAUAAUCCAAAAAUAACAAAAAUAAAUAAAAAUGUAUUUUUUAAAAACUUUUAUCUUAUAUGGGUUGGGGUUGCUAUGCAACUUAACCGGGAUCACCAUGAUUGUCGAGUAGAGUAAAUAAAUUACUUAACCGGGAUCACCAGAGGAGUUAUUUGCCAAGAUUAAGUUAUAUAACAGUUUAUAAAUCAUGCUAUCAUCUUCAUCACCAUAUAUAAAGUUUUAUAAUAAAAAAAUAUUUAAAAAAACAAUUUUCAUUACAUUUUCAAAUUAGUUAAAGUUUUUCAAAUGAAUGGAUUGAUGUCGAUGACACUCUCUAGUCAGUUUUGAGAAUUUUAAAUCCAAACAAGUGAAUUUAUAUUGUAUAUGGAUCAAGCAAGCAUGCUUGUACAAUAAUUUCUUAUACUCAAUAGAAAUUUGGGUUUAUCAUUACAAACCGUAUUUUAAAAUACUAUUGCCAAAAGAUCAUAUUAUUUAUUAAAACAAGAAAGGACCAAAGUUAAUAAAUAGUAGCAUGCUCGAAACUUCGUGAUACCAAAGUUAAUAAAUAAUAAAGUUAAUAAAUAGUAGCAUGCUUUAAAAGAGUGUUACAGUAAAAGCACAGAAAGAAGAACGGUUCAAGACAGAACUAUAAUGUUAACGCGUGGGACCCAUUUGUUGCAACCAGCACGAAACUCCAGCUCAAUAUUUACCAGCACUACACGCUUGAGUAAUUUCCUUGCGUUUUUUUUCCUCUACCGCUCUACGUGUUACCUUUUACCUCUUUUAUAAUUAUGAUUUAUUAACGAGAAUAAAACAAUUCUGUGUAAAUUAUACAAAUUUCCAUUGUUGCUUUUUUUCUUGCACGUGUUAGAUUUUUAUUUUUUAUAAUUAUAAUUAUUGCAUUGCUAAUAAUUUGCAAGAAAGAAUAUUCUUUCUCUGCUUAAGAAAACCCUAAGCAUUGUAGAUAAUCUCUUAUAGGAAUCUCUUUAUUAAAUCAUCAAAAUAUCAGAGUCUAUUUCCAAAUACUAUUACGACAGUCUAUAUAAAGAAUACAAUUAACCUCAUUUCAAUAUCAUAGCUUUGGAAUUUCAUAGCUAACUCUUUGUUAUAUUGCUCCAUUGGUAAUUGAUUGUGCCUUGAUUUCUGCAGCUGCCAUGACAGAGCCAGAGUCUUCUCGAUCUAGACCAGAAGGCGCCUAUGAUGUCUUCUUGAGUUUUAGAGGAGAAGACACUCGCCAGACAUUUACAGAUCAUCUAUAUACUGCCUUGGUCCAGGCAGGAAUCCACACUUUUCGAGAUGAUGAUGAACUUCCGAGAGGAGAAGAAAUCUCCGAUCAUCUCCUCAGGGCAAUUCACGAAUCAAAGAUAUCCUUAGUUGUCUUCUCAAAAGGAUAUGCUUCUUCUAGAUGGUGUCUCAAUGAACUUGUAGAGAUUCUUCAGUGCAAAAAUAGGAAAACCAAUCAGAUUGUUCUUCCUAUAUUCUAUGACAUUGAUCCUUCAGAUGUGAGAAAACAGAAUGGCAGUUUUGCAGAAGCAUUUGUUAAACAUGAAGAGCGUUUUGAAGAGAAGUUGGUGAAGGAGUGGAGAAAAGCUCUUGAGGAGGCUGGAAAUCUAUCUGGAUGGAAUCUCAAUGAUAUGGCAAAUGGGUAUGUCUUUUUUCCAAAUUUAUGGAGUCAAUAUACUUUACAUUUUUCAAUGUGAAACAAUAAAAUGCUUAAUUGACUCGCUAUCAAUGACCUGCUUUUGUCUAUGAGCAGGCAUGAAGCAAAAUUUACCAAAGAGAUUAUCAAGGAUGUGUUGAAGAAAUUAGAACCCAAGUACUUAUAUGUUCCUGAGCACCUAGUAGGUAUGGAUCGGCUUGCUCGCAGUAUUUUUGACUUUCUAAGUACUGCAACAGAUGAUGUACGCAUUGUGGGCAUACAUGGGAUGCCAGGAAUAGGAAAGACAACUAUAGCAAAAGUUGUAUUUAAUCAACUCUGCUAUAGAUUCGAGGGAAGCUGCUUUCUUUCGAAUAUCAAUGAAACAUCAAAACAAUUCAAUGGUCUGGCUCUUUUACAAAAGCAACUUCUUCAUGAUAUUUUAAAACAAGAUGUUGCUAACAUCAAUUGUGUCGAUAGAGGAAAGGUUCUGAUCAAAGAGCGACUUUGUCGCAAAAGAGUUCUUGUUGUUGCUGAUGAUGUUGCUCGUCAGGACCAGCUAAAUGCUUUGAUGGGAGAGCGAAGUUGGUUUGGUCCCGGAAGUAGAGUGAUUAUUACAACAAGAGAUUCUAGUGUUCUACUUAAAGCAGAUCAAACAUAUCAGAUCGAAGAAUUGAAACCAUAUGAGUCCCUUCAGCUUUUCCGAUGGCAUGCCUUGAGGGACACAAAGCCAACAGAAGAUUAUAUUGAGCUUUCGAAGGAUGCAGUUGAUUACUGUGGAGGACUUCCUUUAGCUCUUGAGGUUAUGGGUGCUUGUCUGUCCGGGAAAAACAGAGAUGGUUGGAAAUGUGUAAUUGAAAAAUUGAGAAGAAUUCCACACCACGAUAUUCAAGGAAAGCUUAGAAUAAGUUUUGACGCACUGGACGGUGAAGAACUACAAAAUGCAUUCCUUGACAUCGCUUGCUUCUUUAUUGAUAGAAAGAAAGAGUACGUCGCAAAAGUGCUAGGAGCCCGUUGCGGUUACAAUCCAGAAGUUGAUUUGCAAACUCUCCAUGAAAGGUCUCUAAUUAAAGUUAAUGCCAUUGGGGAGAUAACCAUGCAUGAUCUAUUACGAGACAUGGGAAGGGAGGUCGUUCGUGAAUCGUCUCCAAAAGAACCUGGAAAGAGGACCAGAAUUUGGAAUCAAGAGGAUGCAUGGAAUGUACUUGAGCAGCAGAAGGUAAGAGCUCAAUGCAUACACGAAAGCAUGGUCAAUGUUGUAUUUUCUAGUCAAACUUAUUACAUAUAAUUGUAUGAAAGUUGUAUUGUUUUUUUUUUAGGGUACCGAUGUUGUAGAGGGUGUUGCACUGGAUGUCAGAGCAUCAGAAGCUAAAUCACUGAGCACAGGAUCAUUUGCAAAAAUGAAAUGCUUAAAUUUACUCCAAAUCAACGGAGCACAUCUCACCGGAUCCUUCAAACUGCUUUCUAAAGAGUUGAUGUGGAUUUGUUGGCUUCAAUGUCCUUUGAAAUAUUUUCCAUCUGAUUUUACCUUGGACAAUCUAGCUGUUCUUGAUAUGCAGUACAGUAACCUUAAAGAACUAUGGAAGGGAAAAAAGGUGAGAAACAUGCUGCAAUCCCCAAAAUUUCUCCAGUAUGUAAUUUAUAUUUACAUGUUACGACUUCUUAAGAUUAAUUUUCAUUAUUUUGCGCUCUAUUAUACAGAUUCUCAACAGGCUAAAAAUCCUUAAUUUCAGUCAUUCUCAGAACCUUGUUAAAACACCAAACUUGCACAGUUCAAGUCUAGAGAAACUAAUUCUGGAAGGUUGCUCGAGUUUAGUUGAGGUGCAUCAAUCAAUUGGACAUUCGACGAGCCUCGUUUUCUUGAAUCUGGAGGGAUGUUGGAGUCUGAAGACUCUCCCUGAAAGCAUUGGCAAUGUAAAGUCUCUUGAAACUCUGAAUAUUUCUGGGUGUUCACAACUUGAGAAAUUGCCAGAACGCAUGGGUGAUAUGGAAUCCUUAACUGAGCUGCUAGCCGAUGGGAUUGAAAAUGAGCAAUUUCUCUCUUCAAUUGGACAAUUAAAGCAUGUCAGAAGGUUAUCAUUGUGUCGAAACCGUUCGGCUCCACCAAGUUCUUCUUUGAUUUCAGCAGGUGUUUUGAAUUGGAAACGGUGGCCGCCAACAUCUUUCAUUGAAUGGAUAUCAGUGAAACGUCUUGAGCUUUCUAAUGGUGGUUUGUCUGAUCGCGCAACUAACUGUGUUGAUUUUAGGGGUUUGUCCGCUCUAGAGCAUUUGGAUCUAGAUGGAAACAAAUUCUCUAGCCUUCCUUCUGGGCUCGGCUUCCUUCCCAAGCUAAGGUGGUUGUCUGUUCAGGCAUGCAAAUAUCUUGUAUCAAUCCCAGAUCUUCCCUCAAGUUUAGACUUUUUGUUUGCAGCUCAUUGCAAAUCAUUGAAAAGAGUAAGAAUACCAAGCGAGCCAAAAAAAGAACUAUAUAUAGGACUAGAGAACAGUCAUUCGUUAGAAGAGAUUCAGGGCAUCGAAGGUCUAAGUAAUAGUUUCUGGUAUAUUCGUGUUGAUAAGCACAAUAAUUCACCAAAUAAAUUACCGAAAAACGUUAUUGAGGUACUAUUUCUUUCAGUCUCUCUUGCACAAAAAGUAAACACACAAUUAGCACAUGCAUCGAUAUUUAUUAUAUGUCAUCGAUAUUGAAUAAUGAUUUAUUUUCUAGCAUAAAUUAUGUUUGAAAUAAAAUUGAUAAAAAACAUGAAUACACAAUUAUUGAUGGGAUGGUAUAUAAAAAUAAUUAAAUUGAAAUUUUUUAAUUAUUUUUAAACAUAUCAUGGUUUUAGGUACAUCAUUAAAUUAUAAAAAAAAUUAUGUAUUUUUCUGAUAUAUAUAUAUAUAUAUAUAUAUAUAUAUAUAUAUAUGGCAAUAACAAAUUAAAUGAUUAUAACAAGAAAAUAGAAAUUAGUUUGAAUAAAUGUUACCAGUUCUAUUAAUUUGAACGGUACAUCAUUCACCGAAUAAAUUACAGAAGAGCGUUGUUGAGGUACUAUUUCUUUCCGUCUAUCUUUCACACAAAAAGAAACACACACAAUUGGCACAUACAUUGAUUAAUGUCUAAAAUCUCAGCAUUCCUUGAAAUCAAUAUGUAUAUAGGCAAUAAUUAUUAUUAUUAUUAUUAUAUUUAAAAAAACAAAUAUCAUCUUUAAUAAUAUUUUUUAUUUUUCUUAUUUGAUCUAAAAAAUUAAAUAUUAUCUUUAAUAAUAUUUUUUUAUUAAAUAUUUAAAGUCUGAUUGGUUUUAUUUUUUAUUUCUUGAUUUUAUGAUAAUAUAUUUAUACAGUUAAUGUGCAACGGUCGUCACGGGUAUUCUUUCUUUUGGGAUGUCGCCGGGAGUUUAAUUUCCGAGUGUAAAAAUUAUGUAUAAAUUUCUAUUCUUUCCUUUCAUCCAUUACUUGUCCUCUAUGAAGAUUCUAUGUAUGAAAUCUCGGAAUCUUUUCGAGUAUAACUUGGGAUCAACAGCUGAGAUAGACGUGGGAUCCACUUGUAAGGACUUUUAUGCAUGCUCUAGCUUUUUGCUGAUAUCAUAAUCCUGGAGGAUGUCAAUGAUACCAAAGUGAAGAACUACAUCGAAGAUCUCAUUACCAUUAUGUGAAGGUGUUGAAUUGUUACUUCCACCCCCCAUGCACUGAUCCAUUUCAGUAGUCCUCAUUACACUCUCGGCUCUUGCAGGCACAUUUGCCCCCAGCCGGAUGAAUGGCCCCCUGGAACAGAUUUCACAUGAGUACUACAGAUAAAAUCUAGACAUUGCAUCACAUAAUCACCAAAAUUCAAAGUAACAAAACGAAGAACAAAAUGUGAUAACAAUGACAAUGAUCACUCAACCACAGCCGAAUCUUACGCUUUGAAGACACUUUUCAUCAUUAAUUUUCCUUUUCACAUUGAUUUUCAAUGUUCCGGGCAGAUAAAAUAGCAUUGAUUUACAACCAUGGUUUUAAGGCAUCAUUAUUGGCAAAAACAUUGUAGGAUCAUGCACAUUUAACUAGUUGUUAAUUGAUUUUCAACCAGAUAAAAUAGCAUUGAUUUUCAAUGUUCCUUUAUCCUUGUAGUCUAAGAAAAUAUUAUUUAAUUCUUUUGUUUUCAUAUUCAUCUAUGAUUUAAUGUGUUGAUUGAAAUUGACAAUUGAGUUGUUAGUAAUAGCAAAAGGCAUGUACAAUCAUGCACAUUUAACUUUCUUUUUAAAUUUAAAAGUUCUAUUGAAUUUGAUGGUUUUUUAGGAUACAAAAGACUUGAAUUGACGUGAGAGUACAAGAUCAUUUUACGUGGAGAUGCUUGGAGUUGCUCCAAAUCAGUACAGUACUUCUACCUGACAUGUUGAUAUGUAUUUGUUGGCUUGAAGAUCAUUUUCCAAGUUUGGAAGUUUUAUUGAAUUCUCUUUCAAAUCUUUUCCAUCCGCUUUUAUGUUGGACAACCUAGUUGUUAAUUAUUUUCCAUGAUGUAAUUUAUAUUUUCAAGUGUUGAUCGAAAUUGACAACCUAGUUUUAUUUAAUUAAUGUGUUGAUUGAAAUUAAGAAUUAAAGGUUUAAUUAAAUGAAAUACAGCUUUAAAGAACACAUCAACUACAUUUCAUAUGCUCAACUCUCAGCAAAUUGAAAUUUCAAGGCUAUUUGAAUCUUGAAAACACAAUCUCAAUAAUCUUAAUGUGAUGAGUGAUUUCUUUUCUAUUUUUUUUUCUUUGGAUCAAAAGGGUCUUAUUGAAUUAUUAUUUGUUAGGUAACUAAGAUUUAUUGAUGUUAAAAAUAGCACUAAGUUUUUGGCAUGACAAUUGGUGAGAAGCAAAAGCAACAGCAAUCCAUCAGGUUCAUCACCAUCCUAUCGCUUUGCCGUACUGUUUAUCUUCUUGGCAUUGUUCAAAGGAACGCAAAAGACAUUCCAAGUGUGAAAGUGUGUGUGAAAGUGUAUUAUUGUCAUAAAGUUUUUCAAACUUCCAAUAUAGAGAGUGAAAUAAAGAGCAAAAGGAAACAUCUUUCUUGUUCCCUUCCCCUUCUUUACAUGGCUUACUCAAUGAAAAAGCAAUUAAACACCCCAUUUGAUUUUCAAUAAGUAUGAGAAUGCGAAAGAGAGAGGCCAAGGGGUUCCUUGAAUAUUUUCUUCUUUUUUAUCUCGCUCACUGGGGCAAACCAUCUUUUUCAAAAUUUUGAAUAUUAGCAUGCCAUCAAAAAGAAUUUUGUUCAAUCCCAAUCCCACAUUGUCUGUAGAAGUAUUUACUUUUGACUGUACACUUUGUUAUUUUCCAAUCCCUCCCCAGUUCUGCAACCAUUUCUCUACUUUCUAUGCUCUUGGCUUGCUAAAAACUUUUAUCCUUGAUUGUAGUUAGAAAUAAAUUGGUUUUCUAGGAAGAGAUUAUUGAUUGGGAUAUAAUAUUUAAGUUGGUUCUUCAUCAUUUAAUGUUAUAAUUUAAAAUAAUUGAUGAAAAUUACUGUACACAAAAAAGUUGUGAGAACAUCCUUAAUUAGUCUAAUAAGUAAAGUGUUGUUAGUUUUGACUAUAAGAUCUUGUUAUGUAUUAUUGCAUAGUUUUUACUAUUUUUUCGGUAUUUUUUCUUUUUUAUAUACAACUUUUAUUUUUCUUGCCAGUUUGUCAUGGCACCAACACCAAUUAAUAAUAAAUCUUAGACUAUUAUUAAAUAAAGAAAAAACAUAAACAUGGUUAAAAUACCAAACUUGAAUUGCUCAAACCUAAAGAAACCCUAUGACAAUAAUCUAAUUUAGAAAAUAAUUAAUUUAUCCUUGUAGUCCAAGAAAAUAGUAUUUAAUUCUUAUGUUUUCAUAUUCAUAUAUGAUUUAAUGUGUUGAUUGAAAUUGUCAAUGGAGUUUACUCACAUAUUGUUAUAUUGAUUUUGAGUUCAAAUAGAUGUUUAAAAAGAGAGUUUUUUCAUGAAUGCAACCCUUCAUGUAGUCCAAGAAAAUUAGAAGAAUUAAUAAGUUUGCGGACUUAAUUAAACUUUGAGUUAAUUAAUCAAAUAAAUUCAGGGAUUUAAUUAAAAUUAACCUAAGGGCACAAUUAGAAAUCAAUUAUUACUGAUUAGGAUCCCAAUUGUUGAGAUUAAAUUGAUUAGGGGUCAAAGUGAAUAUUUCCAUUCCUGUCGAAAUGACACCGUGGUUGGGGAACAGUCGUGUAUCUUCUUCAUUCCGAUUCAACAGGGAAGCUGGAAAAUCGGCAGUAAAACCGACCCAAUCGUGACCACGUUCUCUGCCCACAAUCCCGUUCGUGGAGGGAUAACAGUCCUGCAAAGCCAGGACUGGUUUGAGGGGCAAGCUCUUAGGGGCCUUAUAAAAGGCAGAGUAGAGCAGAAAAAGGGAGGGGAAGAACACCGGGAAAAGACCAGAGAGCCGAAAAAUCAACCCAGAAAAACAGAGUUGAAAAAAAAAAGGGCAGAGAAAACAGAGCACAAAUCCAAAUACAGAGAGAAAGAGAGAACAAGAGGGCAGGACACAGUGAGGAGAAUUAUCCUUGAAAUUGUCUUCGGACCUGCAAACAAAGAAAAACCCGGAUUCAGCCAAAGAACACUCACAACAAGCCGGAAUCUUCUUUGUAGCUGUCACACCCGGACAUCGCGGCGACCAAUUAAAAAUUAUUAAAUCUUUGGAAAAGAACGGAUUUCUGGCAUCCUGUUCUUUAAUGGGGAAUGGUCUUUGUUUAAGGAGUCGCCACCUAGUAUUAUGGUCACUAGGAACACUAACUGGUCAACAGAGAUUCUAUGGUUCGAGACUGGUUACGUAAAAGGGAAGAUAUUAUCACCCCUUAAACGUCCUGCCUAAGGCAGGCUGCAUUGCUAGUUUCGUCUUAAAUUGCUAAAUGUUUAUUACUUUAUGCUAUGAAAAUUUGCUUAUAAUAUUCCUGACUCUGGCGCCAGUGAAUAUUCAACUAUGAAUAUUUCCAACUCUGGCGUUGGUAAAUAUUACGUAGCUAUAAAAUAAAUUAGAUCAAUAUUUUAUUUUAUUCCCGACUCUGGCGCCAGUGAAUAAAUAAAUAAUAAUAAAUUUAUUUUUUACAAAUGCAAAUAUUUUUUAUAUUUCUAGCUAAAUAAAAUAAAAUACAAUGAAUAAAAAUAAUAUAAAUUUAAACCGGUAUUUUUAUUCCUGACUCUGACGUCAGUGAAUAAACCAAUAAAUUUACAUUAUUUUUAUUCAUGCAUACACAUUUUUAUUUUUUUAUUUUUUCUGUUUUUUUAUAUAUGUUUAUUUUUUUUUUUUUAAAGGACUAAGCUUCACACGUGUAUGCAAAAGUAGUGAAUUAAAUUUGCCUAUGUACAGUACCCAUGCCCGACACCCCACGUGAAUAAAAAAAAAAAGAAAAAAAAAAAAAAGAAUUGCAAAGCAAAGGGAAAUGAAGAACUUACCUGUGCAGGAGGCGAAGUCGAAGACGGUGGCGAAGGUGUGCUGAAUUGCCAAAGCUACCUUCUCUCCUUCUCUGUUUUUAUUCUUCGUCCGCUUCUCCUCUGGUUUUGCUUUUCUUUGCUUUGAUUGCUUCUCUUAUUCUUCCUGUCUCCCCCCUGUGUUUGCUUGUUCUCAGUUCGCUUGUGUUUUCUUUUUUAUAUGUUGUUCAGGGAAUGGAGGAGCUGGUGUAAGUGGAGACAAAGCAGCUGAUGCCUGAGAGGGCGUUGUACUGCUGCUGGAGCUGGAAGAGGCGCGCGUUGCUGGUUGCUGAUGCAUGCUCACGAUGCAUGGAAGUGGCUGAGUUGCUACUAAUCUUGACGAUACUGGUUUCGUCCGCUGUAAAAGUUUUCGUGCCCCUGCAUCCGAUCAAAGCUUGUGCUUUUCCAAGCAAAAGCCAUGGUCCCUUGAAACUCAGCAGAUUUUCGGAGCAAGGAGGAUCGCAUGCCAAUGUAGUUCAUGGUUCUGGUUUAGAGGCAGACGUGGCGGAGAUUAAUGGUGAUUGGGACCACAGCCUAGAAGGUGACCGGGAGGAAGAUGAUCUCAAGCCUUUAUUUGCUUUUUUUUUUUUUGUGAGGAGUUUGCAGAUCCCGGGGGUUGAGAAUGAAGAAUGAAAAAUCAAUUUGAUGGGGAAGAGAUUGAGGCCAGGCAAGAAGGGAGGAAAAGGCUGGGGGGAGGGGGAAGCGACGGCUAGUCUAGGACUCGGCCGCGCCCUCCUUUUUUUUUUUAAAUGUCUUUUGUUUCUUUUCUUUUUUUAUAGGUUUUUGGUAAUGGUCUUCUCUUGGGUUUUUUUUUUUGUGUCGUUUAGGGUUCCUCUCUAAUCAUCCCCUCUCCUUUUCUUUCCCCUGAGAUCUGUAUUUAUAGUGCCAGAGUCCCUUCGCUUGUGAGAAACCAAGUUUCAAUCAAACUCAUUCUUUUUUUUGAAGUUUGAAUUUUAUUAAGAAUCAAAUUUGAAAGCGGAUAACUAUCAUUAUCUUAAAGACAAGGAUUAUCUCGAAGAUAAAGAUUAUCUUGAAGAUAGGGAUUAUCUUGAAGAUAAAGAUAGAAUGAUAAAAGCACAUUGUAGUCCUUAAUUUUCACGGAAGUUGACAAAUCACACUUUUCAUUGAAAUAAAUCUCUGAUCUUUUAAUUUUUCAUUUUAAACCCUGUAAAAAUUAAAUUAAAAAUCAAAGGGCCAAAAUUGGGUUAUGACAGUAGCUUUAGAAGUUACAGAGAAAUCAAGAAGGAAAGCACAGACAAGUGGUCACAGAAGGAAAACCAGAGGAGCAUUAGGCGAGAAUCAUCAAGCAGCGCUGCAAGCAUCUUCGGUCUCCAGAAGCAGGUAUGACUUCGUCCCCUUUGCAUCUUCAUUUCAAAAAGUGAUUCUGUGUUACAAGAACACUGUGUGAAGGUAAUUUAAUUACCUUCACUAGUGUUCGGGCACGCGUGAACAAGUCACGCGUGCCUUUAGUUUUUGCCCAGCCGGGUCACUGGCUUGGGCCAGUGACCGGGCUGGGCUGGCUAGGCCCAGCCCAGCCCCAAAAUUUUUUUGCUGGGCUGGGCCCACCCCACCCAGUUCAAAAAAUAAUAAAAAUAAAAAAUAUGUAUGUAUAGAUAAAAAAUAAUGUAAAUUUAUUGGUUUAUUCACUGACGCCAGAGUCAGGAAUAAAAUACCAGUUUAAAUUUAUAUUAUUUUUAUUCGUUGUAUUUUAUUUUAUUUAGAUGAAUAAAAAUAAUGUAAAUUUAUUGGUUUAUUCACUGACGCCAGAGUCAGGAAUAAAAAUACCGGUUUAAAUUUAUAUUUUUUUUUAUUUGUUGUAUUUUAUUUUAUUUAGCUAGAAAAAAAUCAAAAAAAAUGUGCAUGCGUAAAAAAUAAAUUUAUUUUUGUUUAUUUAUCACUAGCACUAGAGUCAGGAAAAUAAAAAAAUAUUAAUCUAAUUUAUUUUAUAGCUACGUGAUAUUUACCAACGCCAGAGUUAGAAGUAUCCGUAGUUUAAUAUUCACUGGCGCCAGAGUCGGGAAUAUUAUAAGUAAAUUAUCAUAUCGUAAACUAAUAAACAUUUAGCAAUUCAAGACGAAACUAGCAAUGCAGCCUGCCUCAGACAGGACGUUUAAGGGGUGAUAAUAUCUUCCCUUUUACGUAACCAGUCCCGAACCAUAGAAUCUCUGUUGACCAGUUAGGGUUCCUAGUGACCAUAAUACUAGGUGGCGACUCCUUAAACAAAAAUCAUUCACCAUCAAAGAAUAGGAUGCUAGAAAUCCAUUCUUUUCUAAUUUUAAUUUUUUAAGACCGCCGCGAUGUCGGGUGUGACAAGGAGUGAUUUCUUUUCUAUUAUUUUUUUUCUUUGGAUCAAAAGGGUCUUAUUGAAUUAUUAUUUGUUAGGUAACUAAGAUUUGUUGAUGUGAAAAAUUUGGCAUGGCCAUCGGUGAGAAUCAAAAGCAGCAGCAAUCCAUCUGUGAAGCCGUACACCACAUCAGGGCCCCAACAUUUAGACUUUUGAUGGCAACCAAAGCUAAAUUUAAAAACAGGACCAUCUGAGAAGCCGGCAUACAACAACAGGUCAAAGAUCCAAUUUCCAAAAAUAAACCAUGUAUCAUGUAGUUUAACAUCUCUAAGCAUGAUUUUUGCAAUAAUCAUCUAUGCUUUACCAUUCAUAUCUUUCACCACAGUUCUCUGUCACCACUUCACAUGCACACAUUCCAAAAAAGAGAUAGCAUGGAAAAAUGUCUUUGCUUGCCGUAAAAAAUACAAGGGCUAAAACCUAACAUAAGGAAAAUAGAUUGGGAAAAGGAAAGCAGAACCAAAGCAAGGCACUAACAAUUAGGAGGGGCAAAAACAUGAAUUCUGAAAAGGAAAAUACAUUCCGGCCUUCCAUGACCCAAUCCAUAUUGGGCAGCAAAUGAUAACCCCGCAUCGAUGUUUCCUCGUGAUGUGAAUUUCUUUUUUCUGAUACAGAAACACAAAACCAAAUUACCUCAAGGUCUAUUGUUGUUGUAAAUUUUUAAGGUAGCAGAAUUACAGGAUAAAAGUAAUUUACCAAAAUGCUUAUGGAUAAUUGGCUCUUCCAUCCAGCAUUAAUUCUAUUAUCAAUUAUAGUUCAGUCACUGGUUGUAGAUAAAUUUUUUUAAGAUAUUAUCAAGUUUUAUUUUUAUCAUUAAAAUUUAGAAUUAAUUCUAUUACGUAUUUAAAUGUGUUUAGUUACCUUGUAAACCGUAUGGUAGAGUCCCUCAAAUAUUCUGGCCACAGCAAAUUGUAUGGGGCUUGCAACCACUAUAUUUUAUGCCAAGCUAAUAAUAUUUUUUUUUCUAAAUUAAAGAUUAAUAUUUUUUGUUCGCAUCAAAUAAUUAAAAAUGAGAAUUUCAGAGCAGAGGGUUUAAGAAAUAUUAAAAGAGAAGGUUUUACGUAAUUAUUAUAUAAUUGAAAUUGUCACUAAUCUCCUUUGUUCAUUUUCUUUUUCUAUUACCCCUUCCAAUCAGCAUGCACGAAACUUUAUGUCACUCAAAUGAUACAAAUGCUUUCACCGUUUUAUGCUGAUUGUUUAUUAUUAUUUUUUUUUUUUUAAUGAAAGUGAUUGUUCAGGCCAGUUUAUAUGUAUUUUGAAGUUAACGAUCAUAUAAACUUCCAGUGACCUUGAAGUUUGUAGGACUCGAACUGAUAAUUUCUAAAAAGUAAACUUAAAGUCUAAUUAGUUGAGUUAUACCUUUCAGAAUUACAAAAUUACAUUGCUUGUUAAAUUAAUAAAGUUAUUAGUUGCUAUAAAGUAAGAGAUAAGAAAGUAUCUAGGAAUAUGGUAAAUAUUGUGUUUUAAAAUAUAUUAAAAUAAUAUUUUUUUAUUUUUAAAAUUUAUUUUUAAUAUUAUUACAUCAAAACUAUAUAAAAUUUUUUUCAGAAUAUCAAUUCAACCGUACUCCAAAGAACACUCAUACUCCAAUAUCAGCAACCACCACGAAAGUUACCACUCAAUAAUUUAUUCUUUGACAAUUAUUGCAUUGCUAAUAAUUUGCAAGGAAACAUACUUUCUAACCGAUACUCAAUCGAUCUGCACCUACCACGAAAUUACCAAUAAGAGUCUGUUUGAUAUUUUUCCAACUUUUACUAUUUUACUUCAAAGUUUCAAUAAUUGUUUUUUCAUUACAUAUUCUUUCCAACGUGUAAUAAUUUGGAACCACUCGCAAUAAAUAAAGCCAGCAAAGCCAGAUGUGUUUGUCUAUAUAUACAUGAACUGCUGAUUCGAUUUGAACACCCCAUUUCUCCGAUUCAAUAACUUCAGUUGCAAAACUUCUCUCUCCGAUUGCUGCAAUUUCAAAGCUAACUCUUUAUUAUACAGAGGUAUAUAUGGCUAACUCUUCUUUGCUUCUUUCUCGUUUUAAUUUCAUGUCUUUACCAAGAAUAAUAAUGUGAAAGCUUUGCUUGUUUCAUGUUUAACUUCAGUUGCUAUUGUCUUAUGCUCUCUCAUUAUUAAGCUUAAAUUGCUGUAUUAUCUUCGAUGAUCACUUCACAUGUAUCAGCAAUUGCUAAUUGAUUGUUCCUUAAAUUCUGCAGCUGAAAUGACAGAGCCACAGUCUUCUCAUUCUAGACCAGAAGGGGCCUAUGAUGUCUUCCUGAGUUUUAGAGGAGAAGAUACCCGCAAGACAUUUGUAGAUCAUCUAUAUACUGCCUUAGUCCAAGCAGGAAUCCACACUUUUCGAGAUGAUGAUGAACUUCCUAGAGGAGAAGAAAUCUCCGAGCAUCUUCUCGAGGCAAUUCGAGAAUCAAAGAUAUCCAUAGUUGUCUUCUCAAAAGGAUAUGCUUCUUCUAGAUGGUGUCUCAAUGAACUUGUAGAGAUUCUGAAGUGCAAAAGGAAGAAAACCGGUCAGAUUGUUCUUCCUAUAUUCUAUGACAUUGAUCCUUCAGAUGUGAGAAAACAGACUGGCAGUUUUGCAGAGGCAUUUGAUAAGCAUGAAGAAGAGCGUUUUGAAGAGAAGUUGGUGAAGGAGUGGAGAAAAGCUCUUGAGGAUGCCGGAAACCUAUCUGGAUGGAGUCUCAAUGAUAUGGCAAAUGGGUAUUCCUUCUCUCUCUAAGAUUCACUUGCACACGUUUAUGGAGUAAUUUUACAUUACAUUUUUCAAUGUGAAGUAAUAAAAUAUUUCUUUUUAACAUACUUAAUUGACUUUCUAUCGAUGACUUGCCUUUUUUCUGUGAGCAGGCAUGAAGCAAAAUUUAUCAAAGGGAUAAUCAAGGAUGUGUUGAAUAAAUUACGUCGCGAGUGCUUAUAUGUUCCUGAGCACCUGGUAGGUAUGGAUCUUGCUCACGAUAUUUAUGACUUUCUAAGUACUGCAACAGAUGAUGUACGCAUUGUGGGCAUACAUGGGAUGCCAGGAAUAGGAAAGACAACUAUAGCAAAAGUUGUAUUUAAUCAACUCUGCAAUGGACUCGAUGGAAGCUGUUUUCUUUCGGAUAUCAAUGAAACAUCAAAACAAUUCAAUGGUCUGGCUCUUUUACAAAAGCAACUUCUUCAUGAUAUUUUAAAACAAGAUGUUGCUAACAUCAAUUGUGUCGAUAGAGGAAAGGUUAUGAUCAAAGAUCGACUUUGUCGCAAAAGAGUUCUUGUUGUUGCCGACGAUGUGGCUCAUCUGGACCAGCUAAAUGCUUUGAUGGGAGAGCGAAGUUGGUUUGGUCCCGGAAGUAGAGUAAUUAUUACAACAAGAGAUUCAAGUUUACUUCGUAAAGCAGAUCUAACAUAUGAGAUUGAAGAAUUGGAACCAGACGAGUCCCUUCAGCUUUUCAGCUGGCAUGCCUUUAAGGACACCAAGCCAGCAGAAGAUUAUAUUGAGCUUUCGAAGAAAGCUGUUGAUUUCUGUGGAGGACUUCCUUUAGCUCUUCAGGUUAUAGGAGCUCUUCUGUACAGGGAAAACAAUGAUAAAUGGGAAGGUGAAAUUGACAACUUGAGCAGAAUUCCAAACCAAGAUAUUCAAGGAAAGCUUCUAAUAAGUUUUGACGCACUUGAUGGUGAACUACAAAAUGCAUUCCUUGAUAUUGCAUUCUUCUUUAUUGGUAAAGAGAAAGAAUACGUCGCAAAAUUGCUAGGAGCCUGUUGCCGUUACAAUCCAGAAGUUUUGGAGAAACUCCGUGAAAGGUCUCUGAUUGAAAUAUUGGAAGAGACGGUAACCAUGCAUGAUCUAUUACGAGAGAUGGGAAGGGAGGUCGUUUUUAAAGCAAAAGGAUGCAUGGAAUGUACUUCAGAAAAACAUUAUGGAAUGUACUUCAGCAGCAGAAGGUACGAGCUCAAUGCAUACACAUAGCCAUGCGUAUUUUCUAGUCAAACUUAUUACAAAUAAUCAUAUAAAAGUUUUAUUGUUUUUUUUUUUCAGGGUACGGAUGUUGUAGAGGGUCUUGCACUGGAUAUGAGAGCAUCAGAAGCUAAAUCACUAAGCACAGUAUCAUUUGCAAAAAUGAAACGUUUAAAUUUACUCCAAAUCAAUGGAGCACAUCUCACCGGAUCCUUCAAACUGCUUUCUAAAGAGUUGAUGUGGAUUUGUUGGCAUGAAUGUCCUUUGAAAUAUUUGCCAUCUGAUUUUACCUUGGACAAUCUAGCUGUUCUUCAUAUGCAGUACAGUAACCUCAAAGAACUAUGGAAGGGAAAAAAGGUACGAAACAUUUUACAAUCCCCAACAUUUCUCCAGUAUGUAAUUUAUAUUUACAUGUUAUGACUUUCUAUGAUUAAUUUUCAUUAUUUUUCUCUCUAUUAUAACAGAUUCUUGACAAGCUUAAAAUCCUUAAUCUCAAUCAUUCUCAGAACCUUAUUAAAACACCAGACUUGCAUAGUUCAAGUCUAGAGAAACUAAUUCUGAAAGGUUGCUUGAGUUUAGUUGAGGUGCAUCAAUCAAUUGAAAAUUUGACGAGCCUCGUUUUCUUGAAUAUGAAGGGAUGUUGGAGGCUGAAGAAUCUCCCUGAAAGCAUUGGCAAUCUAAAGUCUCUUGAAACUCUGAAUAUUUCUGGGUGUUCACAACUUGAGAAAUUGCCAGAACGCAUGGGUGAUAUGGAAUCCUUAACUGAGUUGCUAGCCAAUGGGAUUGAAAAUGAGCAAUUUCUCUCUUCAAUUGGACAAUUAAAGCAUGUCAGAAGGUUAUCAUUGUGUGGAUACAGUUCGGCUCCACCAAGUUGUUCUUUGAUUUUAGCAGGUGCUUCGAAUUUGAAACGGUUGCUGCCAACAUCUUUCACUGAAUGGAUAUCAGUGAAACGUCUCGAGCUUUUUAAUGGUGGUUUGACUGAUCGCGCAACUAACUGUGUUGAUUUUAGUGGUUUGUCUGCUCUAGAAUUUUUGGAUCUAAGAGGAAACAAAUUCUCUAGCGUGCCUUCUGGGAUCGGCUUCCUUCCCAAGCUAGAUGUCUUGUUUCUUCACGGAUGCGAACAUAUUGUAUCAAUCCUAGAUCUUCCCUCAAGUUUAAGUUGUUUCAGUGCACCUUAUUGCAAAUCAUUGGAAAGAGUAAGAUUACCAAUCGAGCCAAAAAAAAAUCUAUAUAUAAAUCUACAGGAAAGUCAUUCGUUAGAAAAGAUUCAGGGCAUUGAAGAUCUAAGUAAUGGUGGCUGGAUAAUGUGGGUUGAUGACAGCAGUCAUUCACCAAAUAAAUUAUCGAAAAAUGUUUUUGAGGUACUAUUUCUUUAAGUUUCUCUUUCGCACAAAAAUAAACACACACAAUUGGCACAUACAUUGGUUAAUGUCUAAAUUCGCAACAUUUCUUAAAAUCAAUAUGUAUACAGGCAAUAAUCAUUAUUAUUAUUAUUAUUAUUAUUAUUAUUAUAUUUUAGAAAAUAAAUAUCAUCUCUAAUAAUAUUUUUUAUUUUUCUUAUUUAAUCUAAAAAAUUAAAUAUUAUAUUUAAUAAUAUUUUUUAUUAAAUAUUUAAAGUCUGAUUGGUUUUAUUUUUUAUUUCUUGAUUUUAUGAUAAUAUAUUUGUACAGACAAUGUUUAACGGUCGUCACCGGUAUUCCUGGUAAGAUGCCAAACUGGUUGAGCUACAGGGGAGAAGGAUGCUCAUUGUCAUUCCAUAUACCUCCAGUCUUCCAAGGCUUAGUUCUUUGGUUUGUCUGUCCAUAUACCUCAUUGCUCCUUCUCACCAUAUGCUGUAAAGAAAUAAUUCUUAGAUGGUCAUCAUAAGUAGGAUGAAUUACAUCUUAAAACUCCAUCACCGAAACAACGUGGCAAAAAUAAUCAAAGGAAAAGGUGGAUGAAUUGUUUCACGUGUCAAAAUAGAUUUAUACCAUGAUUUUGAAUUCAAGUGCUAAUUGAUAUUCAGCUUAGGUGAUAUCAUGUGAAGCAAUUAAUUCGUCCACUUUUUGUUAUGCAGAUCUUUCUCUCUCCAAAUCCAAUCUUACUAAAUAUAUAUAUAUAUAUAUAGUAAUUAGGAGAUCAAAUCUUAUCCUCUCAAUACUUAUCAUUCAACUAAUUAAUAACUUUAUUUAGCAUAAAUCCAUUAAUAAACUCACGAAAAGAACCUAACAUCCUCCUGAAUUCCUUAGCCGACACUCUCGUACACUGCUGAAUCAUUGAAAAAAUCAGUAGAAGAUCUGAAGUUAGCAUCUAUAACAGUGCCUUAGAAUUUAGAAAGAGAAAGGUUUUUUCUUUACUAUAUAUUCCAUUAUAUAAAGCAACUAAAAAAAGGUGGGUGUUAACUAUACAUUCCAAUGUUCAUCCUCUCACAAAAGUUUAUUUCUCCUUUAGGAAGUCCUUGAAAUUUUUAUUGUUUUAUAAUUUGGUUGCUGAACUUUUUUUCUUUUUCAAUUAGUCCUUUCAAGUCGCAUUAUUAUUAUUAGGAUAAGAAAUAAAAGCAAUGGUAUUCAAUUGUUUGAAUGUAAACGAAUAUCACCAAAAACUGAGGGAUGGAUAAGAUACAUAAGUAGAAGUGAAAUGGCAAUGGAAGAUUACUGUGGAGAUGACGAAUUGGAACUAUACAUUUCUUCAGUGCCAACAGUGGAUAAGAUAUAUUAAAUAUUUAAGGCUUUUCGGUAAGAAUACAUAUUUUCUUUAGUUAUUUAUAUUUUAUUCUAUUUAAUUUAAGAGAUUAAAUAUCAUCUUUAAUUAUUUUAUUUUUCUUAUUUAAUCUAAUAAAUUAAAUAUUAUCUUUAAUAAUAGUUUUUAUUAAAUAAUUAGAGUCUGAUUGGUUUUAUUUUUACUUCUCGAUUUUAUGAUAAAAUGUUUCUUAAUUAAUUUAAAAAAUAAAUAUUAUCUUUAAUAAUUAGAUCUAUUGAAUAUCACUUAAAAAAUAAAUUGUAACUUUAAUAAUUAUUUUUUGAAAAACAAAAAGCCAACAAUCACUAACAUAUUUAUUAAAAUCACUUUAGUUUAUUUAGAAAAUAUUGAAAAUUGAUUUUUGUUUUUUUACAUUAAAAUAAAAAAAUUGAAUAAUGUUUUUAUAUUUUAUUUCAAACUCGAUAUUUUAAAACAAAAAUGAAAAAGAUGUGAUAUUAACCUUUUUUUAUUAUAAAGUAAGUUUUUUAAUUAAAAGUAAUAGGAAUUUGUUCGUAAUAACAAAAUGCAUGUACAAUCAUGCGCAUUUAACUUUCUUUUCAAAUUUGAAAGUUCUAAUGAAUUUGAUGGUUUUUUAGGGUGCAAAAGACUUUGAUUGACGUGAGAGUACAAGAUCAUUUUUCAUAGAGAUACUUGAAGUUGCUCCAAAUCAGUACGAUACUUCCAUCUGACAUAUUGAUAUGUAUUUGUUGGCUUGAAGAUCAUUUUCCAAGCUUGGAAGUUUUAUAAAUUGAGCGCUCUUUGUAAUCUUUUCCAUGAUGUAAUUUAUAUUUUCAAGUUACAAAUUUUGAUGAAUAUUGUUUCAUUUUUUUCCUCACUUCAAAAGAUGAAAAUCCUUGAUUGUAGUUAGAAAUAAAUUGGUUUUCUAGGAAGAGAUUAUUGAUUGGGAUAUAAUAUUUAAGUUGUUUCUUCAUCAUUUAAUGUUAUAAUUUAAAAUAAUUAAUAAAAAUUAUUGUACACAAAAAAGUUCUGAGAACAUUCUUAAUUAGUGUAAUAAGUAAAGUGUUGUUAGUUUUGACUAUAAAAUCUUGUUAUGUAUUAUUGCAUAGUUUUUACUAUUUUUUUAGCAUUUUUUCUUUUCUAUAUACAACUUUUAUUUUUCUUGUCAGUUUGUCAUCAGCAUCAACACCAAUUAAUAAUAAAUUUGAUACUAUUAUUAAACAAAGAAAAAACAUAAACAUUGUUAAAACACCAAACUUGCAUUGCUCAAACCUAAAAAAACCUAUGACAAUAAUCUAAUUUAGAAAACAAUUAAUUUAACCUUGUAAUCUUAGAAAAUAGUAUUUAAUCCUUAUGUUUUCGUAUUCAUCUAUGAUUUAAUGUGUUGAUUGAAAUUGGCAAGUGAGUUUACUCACAUAUUGUUAUAUUGGGUUUGAGUUCAAAUAGACGUUUAAAAAAGGGAGUUUUUCAUGAAUGCAACCCUUCAUGUAUUCAAUAUGAAUGAUGGGAGAUUUUAAUGUCUUGUAAAUGCAUUCAUUUAUAUAUGGAUGAUUUUGCUAAGAAUUGGUUGGUUAAAAACUUAAUUUCGUUAUAUAAAAACUGAAGAGAUAACAAUAAAUAGCUAAUAAUUGAUGUGAUAAAAAUGAUUUAUAUGCGUGUAUAAGCUAAUUCAAAUGAAGAUUAAAAUAAAAAAGACAAAAAGAAAAAGAAAAAGGAAAGACUCGUUAAGAUUUUAUGUUAGUGUUCAACAUAUUUUUUCUUAUUUUAUUUUUUUAAUUGGAUUACCUUUGUCUUUCAUGUCAAGUAAAAUUCUGGUAUAUAACACUAAAUUAAAAAAAAUAAGAGGUGAAGUAAAGGUCUAACUAAAUGAAAUACAAGUACAAAGACUACAUCAAAUACAUUUCAUAUACUCAACUCUUAGGAAAUUGACAUUUCAAGGCUAUUCGUAUCUUGAAAACAUAAUCUCAAUUUCAAGGCUAUUAUUAUUUUUUUCUUUGGAUCAAAAGGGUCUUAAUUGAAUUAUUAUUUGUUAGGUAACUAAGAUUUGUUGAUGUGGAAAAUAGCACUAAGGAACACAAAAACAGCAGCAAUCCAUCAAGAUCAUCACCAUCCUAUCGCUUUGCCGUAUUGUUUAUCUUCUUGGCAUUGUUUAAAGGAACGCAAAAAGACAUUCCAAGCGUGAAAGUGUAUUAUUGUAAUAAAUUUUUCAAACUUCCAAUAUAGAGAGUGAAAUAAAGAGCAAGAGCAAAAGGAAACAUCUUUCUUGUUCCCUUCCCCUUCUUUACAUGGCUUACUCAAUGAAAAAGCAAACACCCCAUUUGAUUUUCAAUCAGUAUGAGAGUGAGAAUUAAAGAGAGAGGCUGUCACAGUGUCAAAUGUGCACGAGGUGCACGCUUCGGCAGGCUGGCCAAAACAAGGCCUGAGGGUGCUGGCAGCCAUGCCAUCAGUGGGAGAAAUCGUCAGCGCAGAUUUAUGCGGCUGUAGGUUCGUCAAAGGGAAAAUCAGCAGCGCAGAUUGUUGACGAACAUGGGCUGGACGAGGGACUGUCCAAGCCUCGUCAGGAGGAUAGGCUGACGAGAAUUGGGGCUAUCGCAGAAUUCAGCAGCGUAGACAGGGGCAGCCUGCACGCAGAUGCGAAUUCGGCAGCGCAGAGAUUGGCAGCACGCAUAUGCGAAUUCGGCAGCGCAUUGGCAGCCUGCCCGCAGAUGCGGAUUCGGCAGCGCGCAACAACUUGUGCAAGUCAGGGGCUCGACUUGGCACGAUCUAAAACUUGGGCGAAGGAUUGUCCAAGGCAUGGGUAAAAGAGCUCUAGGCGCUGGGACGCGCCAGCGAAGGCACACUGCCUAGAAUUCGGCAGCGAUGGAUCGCGGCAGCCUUGCAUAGGCAGAGAUGAAUUCGGCAGGCAGCAUGCAAUGGUCUAUGCGAGUCUUUGAGCUUGCGACUUGGCAUGGACGUGGGGGCUUAGAUGAUGGACCUUCUAAGUCAGCAGCUGACGCAGCAGAAGCUGGCAGCUGGGGCUGCCAAGUAGACAGCCAAGAAAUGGGGGAAGUGGCAGCUUCAUGGGAGGCAGAACGUGGGAGCAUAACUGGGGUGCUUUCCAGGCCACUAUGUCCUGAAAACAUGGGAUCAUGGGUGAGAGGUAGUGCUCCACCAUGUCCUGAAAACAUGGGAUCAUGGGAGAAAGGUAGUGCUCCACUAGGUCCCGAAAAUGGGGGAUAAUGGGGAGGAGCCUUUGCAGCUCCUUUGCUUGUCUAUAAAUACAAGAUGUAGCUCUUGGUUGUGAGGGAGCAUUCGGGUGGGAAUGUUCAGAUGUAAGGGCAUUCGGUUGGGAUUGUCCAGCAUGUAGGGGCAUGCAAGAACAUGUGUAGAACACUAGUUAGAGGUAGCUUAGUGUAGCAUGCAAUCUUUGUGCAUAGCACACAUACGGAUUUGUGUAUAGUUUCCUUUGUGUAUGAGAUUAAUAAAGGUUGGGAAAGAGUUCCUGUAAAGCUUGUUGUGCACUAUGAUUCUUAUCCUUGCUUGUGUAUUCUGCUUGCUUAGUUAUUAGGCAAACACGAGUGAGAUUGGUGAGGGAAGGCUGAGUCUAGUGAGGGACUAGGCUGCCGCACGGGUUUAUUCGCGUAGCGAAAAAUACCCCCGUGACAGUUGGUAUCAGAGCGCGGUUGCUUUCGUGGCAGGAUGACGAGAAGAAUUCUGCGGCCAAAUCAACGGACUGAUUUGGGAGAGCUACUGCUUCUGCCGAUGGAGAAGCAGAUUUCAGCGCAAUGAUCAGCGACGAGAAUGCUGGUGUUUCUCGGGACAAAUCGAAGGGACUGAUUUGGGAGAAACAUUGCUGCUGCCGAUGGACUGGCAGAAACUUUGGAGCAAGAGCGCAAUAUGCGUUCAUGACGAAACGAUGGGCUGUUUCGUAGCACAGACGAUGGGCUGUUCUGUGGGGGCAGAUCGAAGGGCUGAUUUGUUCCAAGCCAUUUGAGGGAAAAACUUGCUAGCGUUUUGGGCAGUGUUGGUGUUCAAAAGGCCUGCGGAGUUUUAGGGGUUUAACUACUCCAUGGGCGAUGCAAAGUGACGACGAAGGGAUCAGCUCAAGAUGGGUGCUGAUUCGGCCAUUGAAACUGUCAGGUGGACUGGCAGGCUUGAGAGUAGGGGCCAGCGGAGGGGCUGCUGGGCGCUUCUGUAUUUUCGUCAAAGCCUUGAGGGAAGGAUGGGGCGAGACAGAAGAAGAAGCAAGUCAAUGUGGAGAGCCUAAACUUGUUGCUGCUGAUGAUGGACAGUCAGACGAGAAGGCAAAUCGGUAAGGGUUCGAAACUGAAACUUGCAUUGUUGUUCUCUUGCGAUGGAAAUUACUUUGUGCGAGAUUGUUGCCCAAAGGAGGGGAAACCUUGAUGUUGUCAUUGUGGAAGAUGGUGUUUGAGAUUAGGCAUACGUAAACCUUAUACGUUUGCUAGAUGACCGAGAUGGAAUUCAGUCAUCAUGAGCCAGCAUAUCGGAGUGGAUGCGGUCUGGCCUUGCUUGCUGCCUUGGUGGCAGAACUUAGGGAUUGUUGUGCAUCUCAAGGAAGGAAUGUUCAGGGAGAUGAAUGUUCAGGGAGGUGGAAGCAAAAUCCAGAGACCAAGUUGAGGACAGACGAAUCUAUGAGGAUUUGUUGUGGCUUUGCUGCCUUUGUGGAGGCAGAAUUGAUGUCUUCGGUGGAGACCUUGAUGAUGGACAGUUCAGGGUGAAGAAGACAGAACAGUGGCUGAGAUAGACUUUAGUCACGUUGAGACCAGGAUUGGAGGCAUUAAAGAGGAGGCAGUACCGUGGGGGUGUGUCUCAAGGAGUCUGCACGUUGUCGAGGGACAGACUGGGUGACAGAUUCGGCAGCCGAUCCAGUGGGCUUGGCGUGGAAGCCAAAAUCUUCGAUGAAGAUGAUUUUGUGUAUUGUCUUGGAAUCAGUACGAGUGGCUAUUCUGUGCAUUGUGAUGGUUGGCAGUGAUGGAAGCAGAAUGGUAAUGACCUUGUUGGGACAAAGUGUUGCGAGUUUUCGGUUGACGAAACAUGCAGCGAAGGUUGAAAACAGUAGGGGCUGUUUUGCGUCAGCGAAAUCUUGUGUGAUGGACGAAGUUCUAGCGCAUGACAGUAGCGCAUGGGGGAACCAGGUCAGACGAAACUUGAUACUGGGAUGCUAUGUAUUGGUGCUAUGGCAGGUUACAGAUGGACUUAGAGGGACUUGCCGAAAGACUUCGACAUGAGAUGGAGUUGAUCAACGAAACUGAGUCGGUGCUAGGUUCAACAGCACUGUCUCAUUCUUAUUUCUUGCAGGUGGAGAACCUAAAAGGGCUGACGGCAAUGGGAAGUCAGAAGCCAAGGGCAAGGAAAAGGUUUCGGAAUCAUGUUUGGGCUGUUUUAUUUGUGAGGGGAAGCACUUCACAAGGGACUGCCCGUUAAGAGCACAGUUUAGUGCUACUUCCGUGGAGAAGAAUGGAGAAGGAACGGCAUACGUAAAUCCUAUACGUGUGCUAAACACUAAGUAAAGAGUUAGUGUGAAGGGGCCAGCACAGUUGAUGAAGACUUAGGCGUGGCCGAACUGCCUUGUGCGAGGCAGAUUUGGGGGAGUUUCAUAACUUGGACGAUGGACAGAUCAUGGUUUAACUCCAGGCGUGAGGAUGCGCCAACGAAAAACACACUGCAUAGAAUUCGGCAGCGAUGAACAGCAGCAGCCUUGCAUGGGCAGAGGUGAAUUCGGCAGGAUGUGUUGAUUGCUGAGAAGCGGACAAGUAAGCAAUAUUGGUAAUACUUGCAGUUUUGGGGCACGCAGAAUGGUUGGAGAACUAGAAUGUUCGUAUGGGAGCUCAUGCGGUUCUUCGAAGUGAUUUUGUGUGGAUGUAUUUUGUGAAGGAAGGGACGGAUUCCUUGGGUGCUAGGCGUGGCAUCUAAACUUUGCGAAAACAUGCUUGCGAGUAUGAUGUGUUUGACAUUUGUGGAAAACUAACGAGCCAAAACAGAAUGUGUCACAGCUUGGUUUUUCGAAACAGGUUGACAAAGAUUCGGUGGACUGAAUUUGUUGUUGAAUGUGGGAAAAGCUAAGGGGUUUCGUGCGGAGAAACGUGGAUUGUGACGAGGAACAGAUGCGGUGCAAGGGUACUUCAAUUCUGUCCGACGAGGGCGUCGGGUUCUUUUGGUGGGGGUGGUUUGUCACAGUGUCAAAUGUGCACGAGGUGCACGCUUCGGCAGGCUGGCCAAAACAAGGCCUGAGGGUGCUGGCAGCCAUGCCAUCAGUGGGAGAAAUCGUCAGCGCAGAUUUAUGCGGCUGUAGGUUCGUCAAAGGGAAAAUCGGCAGCGCAGAUUGUUGACGAACAUGGGCUGGACGAGGGACUGUCCAAGCCUCGUCAGGAGGAUAGGCUGACGAGAAUUGGGGCUAUCGCAGAAUUCAGCAGCGUAGACAGGGGCAGCCUGCACGCAGAUGCGAAUUCGGCAGCGCAGAGAUUGGCAGCACGCAUAUGCGAAUUCGGCAACGCAUUGGCAGCCUGCCCGCAGAUGCGGAUUCGGCAGCGCGCAACAACUUGUGCAAGUCAGGGGCUCGACUUGGCACGAUCUAAAACUUGGGCGAAGGAUUGUCCAAGGCAUGGGUAAAAGAGCUCUAGGCGCUGGGACGCGCCAGCGAAGGCACACUGCCUAGAAUUCGGCAGCGAUGGAUCGCGGCAGCCUUGCAUAGGCAGAGAUGAAUUCGGCAGGCAGCAUGCAAUGGUCUAUGCGAGUCUUUGAGCUUGCGACUUGGCAUGGACGUGGGGGCUUAGAUGAUGGACCUUCUAAGUCAGCAGCUGACGCAGCAGAAGCUGGCAGCUGGGGCUGCCAAGUAGACAGCCAAGAAAUGGGGGAAGUGGCAGCUUCAUGGGAGGCAGAACGUGGGAGCAUAACUGGGGUGCUUUCCAGGCCACUAUGUCCUGAAAACAUGGGAUCAUGGGUGAGAGGUAGUGCUCCACCAUGUCCUGAAAACAUGGGAUCAUGGGAGAGAGGUAGUGCUCCACUAGGUCCCGAAAAUGGGGGAUAAUGGGGAGGAGCCUUUGCAGCUCCUUUGCUUGUCUAUAAAUACAAGAUGUAGCUCUUGGUUGUGAGGGAGCAUUCGGGUGGGAAUGUUCAGAUGUAAGGGCAUUCGGUUGGGAUUGUCCAGCAUGUAGGGGCAUGCAAGAACAUGUGUAGAACACUAGUUAGAGGUAGCUUAGUGUAGCAUGCAAUCUUUGUGCAUAGCACACAUACGGAUUUGUGUAUAGUUUCCUUUGUGUAUGAGAUUAAUAAAGGUUGGGAAAGAGUUCCUGUAAAGCUUGUUGUGCACUAUGAUUCUUAUCCUUGCUUGUGUAUUCCGCUUGCUUAGUUAUUAGGCAAACACGAGUGAGAUUGGUGAGGGAAGGCUGAGUCUAGUGAGGGACUAGGCUGCCGCACGGGUUUAUUCGCGUAGCGAAAAAUACCCCCGUGACAGAGGCCAAGGUGGUCCUCGAAUAUUUUCUUCUUUUAUGUCUCGCUCACUGGGGCAAACCAUCUUUUUCAAAAUUUUGAAAAGCAUGCCAUCAAAAAGAAUUUUGUUCAAUCCCAAUCCCACAUUGUCUGUAGAAGUAUUUACUUUUGACUGUACACUUUGUUAUUUUACAAUCCCUCCCCAGUUCUGCAACCAUUUCUCUACUUUCUAUGCACUUGGCUUGCUAGAAACUAAAGAAAACACAUUGCUCUACUUGCCUGCCUUCACUCUUCAGAUUGCUCAACAAAUCCCUUGAGACCUUCUCCAUAGUUAACACAUCACAUAAUGGCUAAUCUCAAAAAUUUAGCCAUAAACAUUGAACACCUUAAGCAAUCAACGUCCCUUCCUUCACAAUAUGCAUCACCCAUAAAUCUUUCUUUUGGGAUGUCGCCGGGAGUUUAAUCUCCGAGUGUAAAAAUUAUGUAUAAAUUUCCAUUCUUUCUUUCCAUCCAUUACUUGUCCUCUAUGAAGAUUCUAUGUAUGGAAUCUCGGAAUCUUUUCGAGCAUAACUUGGGAUCAACAGCUGAGAUCAUAGACGUGGGAUUAAUUGACAAAAUUUAUUUUUAACCAUCAAUAUUGAAUAAUGGCUUAUUUUAUAAUAUAAAUUAUGUUUGAAAUAAAAUUGAUAAAAUUAAAAGACAUGAAACACAAUUAAUGACGACAUAGUAUAUUUUGAGACUAAAUUGAGGUUUUUCAAUUACCUUUAAACAUAUCUUGGUUUUAAUAGUGGACGGUACAUCCUUUGGAUUUAUUAGAAAAAACAUGCAAUGUAAAUUUAAAAAAUAUAUAUAUUUAGUUUUCAAAUACACAUAGUAAUAAAAAAUUAGAUGAUAGUAAAAAGAAAAUAAAAAUUAGUCUGAAUAAUUGGUAUCAGUUUCUAUUAUGAUAUAUCUAGCGAAGAAGUUCAAAGAAUAGAAUGAAGUAAAAUAUUCUUAAUAAAAAAGAAAAAAAACCACAGAAAAAAAUAAAAUAUGUUUUUAAUAAAUAUGAAAGAUGGAUAAAAUUAGAGAACAAGAAAGAGAAAUAGAAUCUCUUUGUAAGAACUUCUAAAAAUUUAAUUAUAAUUUAGUAUUUCUUCCUUAUAAUUAUUCAACGCUAGGUUUUAAUAUAUAAUUAAAGAGUCUCUCUCCUGAACCAGAUAAUAAAAAGAUUGUAUAACUCUUUUGUAUGAAUUGUAAAUCCAGGGACUGUUUUGGUCCCUGACUUCGUUGAUUUGAUUUGAAUAUAUUAUUUAUAAAUUAGAUAAGAUUCAAACUAAGGGGAUUAAAGUGUAAAAUAAAGAAAAACACCCUUGGCAAUCUAAAAUAAUUGAAGUAAUGAAUGCAUGAAGCAAGAUAAUUAGUGGUUGAAUACAGAUUAUAACUAAUUAUUUGUUCUGAUGAACAUUACCAAAUACAAAAAAAAAUGUUUCUAAAAUAAUAAGAUAUGAAUUAACUAUAGGCGGCAAAUAAUUAAAAGAGAUAUAAAUUUUGUGAUGAGUUAUGGUUAAUGCAGAAGCAAAUAAAAGAGGAACAGAAAUGAUAGGCAAAUAUUGUUUCUGGGGUAGUGUUUGUCACUGCGGUUAGAAAAUGUUUUUAAAUUUUUUUUAUUUUUUUUAUUUUAAAUUAAUAUAUUUUUAAUAUUUUUAAAUCAUUUUAAUAUGCUGAUGUUAAAAAUAAUUUUUAUAAAAUAAAAAAAUAUUAUUUUAAUAUAUUUUCAAAUAAAAAACACUUUAAAAAACAAUCACUCCAAACUUUUAAACACUUAAUUAAAACCCAACCUUACAGCUUCUCUCUCCAUAUAUCGUCUUCUUCUGCUUUUGUCAUGGCAUCAACUCAUCGAGUACAGGUAGAGAUACUUGAGGUCUGUCAAGUCAUCUCGUCCUUGAACUCACUUGACCCAGCCACCGAGUUAUCUUUUCUGCUCAUCCUUUUUCCUACAAACUCACCAAGGCAACACCAGAUUAUUUUAACUAAGUGAUCCUUCCAGGUAGCCCCAGGCCACAUUAAUUCUGUUUUUUUUAAAACAAACUCGGCUUAGUUAUUAAUAACAUGUUGCAUCCACAGUCUUACCACUAUAUUAUAAUUAUUUAGGAGGAUAGUUGAACCAUACUUUUUAAAAAAAUUAAUUUUUUUUUUAUACUUUUUAAACAUGUUAUUAUAUUCAUUUCUAAUUUAAUUUUUAUCAUCCAUUUCAUCGUUUUAUUUAUUUAAUAACUAAAUUUUUAAGUGAAAGCAUAUAGUCUUACGAUAAAAAGCAUUUUUUUGAAAUAAAAUAAUAUUAAAUUAACCAUGCUCAACAUUGUUCAAAUUAUUAAUUAAUUAUAAUUAACUCGAGGCCUUUAGAAGAAACAAAAUGGAAAGACAAAAUUAUCUUCCCCACAACCAUAGUUGGGAUUUUUAAAAAAUUAAUUUUAUUUUUAAUUUUUUAAAAAUAAACAACCAAUAAUAAUAUAGUUGGGAUUUUUAAAAAAUUAAGAUGAUUAAAAAAUCGUAUAAAAAGCAAUUUGAAACCAAUUAAUGUUAAAAACAAAAAAAACAAAAUGAAACAUGCCAUGAAAACAAGAGGGUCUUAUUGAAUUAUUAUUUGCUAGGUAACUAUAUAAUAUAAUCUGUUGAUGUGGAAAAUAACACUAAGUUUUUGGCAUGGCAUUGGUGAGAAGCAAAAGCCAUAGGACCAUCACCAUCCUAUGGCUUUGCCGUGCUAUUUGGUUCAAAGGGACGCAAAAAGACAUUCCAAGUGCGCAGUGUUUAUUGUCAUAAAGUUUUUCAAACUUCCAAUAUUGAGAGAGAAAUUAAAAAAAAAAAAAAAAACCAAAAGGAAAAAACCCCCACCCCAUCUUUCUUGUUCCCUUUUCCUUCUUUACAUGGCUUACUCAAUGAAAAAGCAAGCACUAAUGCACCUUCUCCACAAGCUACCCCCUAUUUGGCCACUAUAUAAAUAUAUUAUGGAAAGCAAGAUAAAAAGAAAUCUUUGAUGACUUGCAUUAUCAAUGCAAAAUCUAUUUAUAUAAUUGCUAAAUCUAUAAAGAUAAAUCGAAAAUAACUAGUAAAAUCAGUGACUUGCAUUAUCAAGCUUGACGAAUUUUAAGCUUAAUCUAUUGUAUUAUCUUUGAUGAUCACUUCACAUGCAUCUCUUGCUUGUAUUUGCAAGAGAGUGGAUACCUUCUGCAAUUGCUCAUCGCUAAUUGAUUGUUCCUUCUGCUCUCUCAUUAUUAAGCUUAAACUGUUGUAUCAUCUUAUCUUCCACAAUAAGGAUAUAAUUAAUCAAUCGGACCGACCAUUAUGUUAAGGAUAAGAGAUUGUUGGCACCUCUUUUUUCCUGUUGACAACUCAUGAUUUAUUUAUAGCAGUUAAGGAUAUAAUUAAUCGGACCCACCAUUAUAUAUGUUCCACAUUAAAGAUAUAAUCCAAUGUUUCAUAAUGAUCAUCUUGAAGUUGUUUUUUUCCGCCUUAAUGUUCAGCAUUUUUUAUUUUAUGAUCAGAUAUUAUUUGGAUGUGAUAAUAUAAAAAAUAAUAUUUUAAAAUUUUAAAAAUAAUUUUUAUUAUAUUUUUUUUAUAAAAAAAAUACUUUAAAAAACAGUUAUUAUUACUUACAUGUGAUCUUUCAAUCUUUCAUGAUUGCCUUGUAUUGAUUAAAAGGAAGAAAUAUGAAUACCUCGGCAUUCUGCCACUCAUCAUUUAUCCCUAGGGGAGGCCAGGUAGGUCUGGCCAUUGCUUGCUUCUGUUAAUAAUGAACCUCAUUCAGCUUACGCAUCAACUAUUCAUAACCUAAUUUUAGGUUAUUUUUUAAAAUUUAUUUUUUUUUAAAUAAAAAUAAAAAUAAUUAAAUAAAAAUUGACAGUGCGAAGAAAACAGGUCGGGAAAUAUAACUAUAAUUAUACCCCAUUAUAUCUAAAAAUUAAAAAACAAUGUAAAUUCAAAGUUAAAUUAAAUAAUUAUUGAACGAAUUUGCAUAAAUAUAAAGUCCAAUAACAUAAUUAAAUUUUUAAUAAGUCAAUUUAAUUUAAUCAUAGACCAAAAUGAUUUUUAAUUACGUUUAAGAAUUAAUUUUAAUCCAAUUAAAAGGUUUAAUUAAGUGAAAAGGUUUAAUUAUACUUUAAAGAGGUUAAAUUAACUUUAUUAAAGAUUUAAUUGAUGAAAAAUUGAGUUUAAAAACUCAAUUUAAAUUUAAUUAAAAAGAUUAAUAUUUUAAAUAAUCAAAUUUAAUUUUUAUCAAAUUAAUUAAUUAAAAUCAGGAUGCAAAAUCACAAUAAAUUGAAGUUUAGCUUUUAUCAUUUCAAAAGUUGCAGCCUCAUCUUCACUACUUGUAAAAUUGGGGCAGAUUAUGGACUUAACCGAGCAAUUACCACUCGAAAUUCCUCGCAAUUUAUGAAGGAAAUUUCCGUGUUCUUUCUCUGUAUAUUAUUAGAAAAACUGUCAUUGACUAAUUUAAUUGUAAAGUCUUUGCAAGAAAGCUAAAAGAAUUAGAGUUUUUUAAUUUCUAAAAUUAUAAUUUUAAAUUGUAAAAAGAAUUCAAUUAUUUUUACAAUUCAUCAACAGGUAUAAAAAACAAUUAUACCACUAGCUGUCUUCUCCCAAUGAUCUUUGUAACACUUCCAUUUCCACAUCAUGCAUGAUCAAUUUAUCAGAAUUUUAAUUAGUGGUUGAAUAUAGAUUAUAACUAAUUAUUUGUUCUGAUGAAGAUUACAAAAUUAAAAUGAAAUUACAGCUUCUCUCUCCAUGGUCUUCCUCUGCUUUUGUCAUGGCAUAAAUAAUAGGAAAUAAAUUAACUAUAUAAAUUUAGUGAGGAGUUAUGAUUAACGUAGAAGCAAAUAAAUUAAAAGAGAUAUAAAUUUUAUGAUUAACGCAGAAGCAAAUAAAAGAGGAACAGAAAUUAUAAGCAAAUAUUGUUUUCGGUUUCGACUUUAAAUCAAACCUAUAAAACCUAACCAUUACAUCUUCUCUCUCCAUCGCCUUUUCCUCUGCUUUUGUCAUGGCAUCAACUCAUCGAGUACAGGUAGAGAUACUUGAGGUCUGUCAAGUCAUCCCGUCCUUGAACUCACUUGACCCAGCCACCGAGUUAUCUUUUCCGCUCGUCCUUUUUCCUACACCAAGGCAACACCGGAUUAUUUUAACUCAGUGAUCCUUCCAGGUAGGCCCAGGUCACAUUGAUUAUGUUAAAAAAAAAAAAUCUAAUGUCUUACCAUUAUAUUAUAAUUAUUUAGGAGGAUAGUUGAACAAUACUUUUUUAAAAAAAUUAAUUUUUGACGAGUAAAAUAAUGUGGAACCAAUCGCAAUAAAUAAAGCCAAAAAAGGCAGACGAGUGUGUCUAAUUCAUGACUUGCAUUGACUAAAAAUUACCACUAGAAAUUCCUAGUUUUAUCCUAUAUAAAGAAUACAAAAAAGGCAGACGAGUGUGUUUCGUGGUGCUUUCUCGGCCUGCAAAUGAAUAGAAAGCAUAUCCUUUUAUCCUAUAUAAAGAAUAAUACAAUUAACAAAGCAUAUUUCAAUAUCCUUGCUUUACUCUCCAGCCAUAUGGCCAUUGAUAGAAAGGUGUGUUGAAGCAAAAUCUUUUUUUAUCUGUAGCGACCUCAAUAAUGUUAUCGCGUGGGACCCAGUUGUUGCGACCACCACGAAAUUACCACUCCAAAUUGCUUGUUCUUUCUCUUUCUCCGUAUAUUAUUAGAAAAACUGUCAUUACUAAUUUAAUUGGAACUUAUUUGAGAGAAAGCUAAAAGAAUUAGAUUUUUUUAAUUUAUAAAAAAAUUCAAUUAUUUUUAAAAAUAAAACAUCAACUAUUUACAUAAUAGCUAAAUAAAUCUAUUAAAAUAAAUUGAAAAUAACUAGUAAAAUCAAGCAAAUAAUCCAAAAAUAAUAAGAAAAUAAAUAUAUUUUCUAGAUCUGAUUUGAGUAUUUUUUUAUCUUGAUUGACUGACUUGUUAAGUCUCACUAAGUAUAAAUGAAGUCUGUUUGAUAUUUCUUCAUUUAUUAAUGAAAUAUUACUUCUAUUAUAUAGUUAUUGGGUUUCGAGUUGAUCCAUCGGGUCAAUAGGUAAAUAGUAUAUUCUUUGAAUUUAUUAGAAGAAACGUGUAAUGUAAAUUAUAGAAAAAUAUUUAUUUUUCUGAUAUACAUAAUAAUAAUAAUAAAUUAGAUGGUAGUAACAAAAGAAAAUAGAAAUUAAUUUGAAUAAAUGGUAUGAGUUUCUAUUUUAAUAUAUCCAGGGAAGAAGUUCGAAGAAUAGAAUGAAGUUAAAUAUUUUUAAUAAAAAAAAGAAAGAAAAAAAUAAAAUAUAUUUUUAAUAAAUAUAAAAGAUGGAUAAAAUUAGAGAACAAGAAAGAGAUAUAUAAUCUCUUUGUAAAAACUUCUAAAAUUUUAAUUACAAUUGAGAAUUUCUUCCUUAAAAAUAUCCAAAAAAUUCCUAUUAUUUAUGAAUCAAGACAACAGUAGAAUAACUUUUACAUAUUUUUCAAGUCUACUUAGAAUAAUUAUUUUAAUAUUUUAAAAUUAAAAAAAUACUGUGUAGUUGUUUUGUAUAAAUUCUAAUGUUGAGAACUCUUUUGUGCUUGGUAAAAUAUGAUUUUCAACUUUCGCAGGCGAGCACUAAAGUCCCAAACUUGAAGAAUUUCUCUUCUUUUCCUUUUGUAUUUUCUCAUUUUUUUGGCAUGCGCGCAGCUGCUUCAUGGAAAAAACGUUUCAGAUGCGGAAAAUAAAGAUAAAUGUAGAAAAUAAAAGUGGAAAAAAAAUCCCAAAUAUCGACAAACAUCACAAGAGAAGCUUGAUAUCAACCACAUGCUGCAGUCCACAGUCUUUCCAUUACAUUAUAAUUACUUCUAAAAAAAAAUUAAUUUUUAUUUAAUUAUAUGCCAUCAGCAACUACCUCAAAAUUACCACUCUAAAUUCCAGCUCAAUAUCGAUUAACAUGUGGCUAAAAAAUUUGAUAAUCUCUUAUAGGAAUCUCUUUAUUUAUUAAAUCAUCAAAAUAUCAGAGUAUAUUUCAAAAGACUAUGACUACAGUUUAUAUAUAUAUAUAUAAAAAUAGAAACAACUAAAUAGAAAAAUUAUUAUUUUUUAAAUAAAAAACUAGAAAAGCCUGAUAAUAUUAUUGAAUAAAAAAUAAAAUAGAAAUUUAAUCAAUUAAAAGUUAAAAAAAAUACUGUUUAACUGUUUUGUAUAAAUUCUAAAGUUAAAGAGCCUUUUGUGCUUGGUAAAAUACGUCACACUAAAAUUAAUAAAUAAUAACACAAGAAAGGACCAAAGUUAAUAAAUAAUAGCAUGCACGAAACUUCAUGAUACCCAUGUUUUCCACGUUUUACACUGCUUUAAUAGAUUGUUACAGCAAGAGCACAGAGAGAGGAACGGUUCAAGACAGAACAAUAAAGGAGGGGCUGACGCUCAGUGAGGACAUCCUCCAGCUCAUCUGAUCCAGCUCAAAUGGUUGCAACCACCACGAAAGGAACGCAUUAAUGUUAACGCGUGGACCCAGUUGCUGCACCAGCAUGAAAGUACCACUCCAAAUUCCAGCUCAAAUUGAAUAAUGAUUUAUUUUCUAGCAUAAAUUAUGUUUGAAAUAAAAUUGAUAAAAGACAUAAUUACACAAUUAUUGAUGGGAUCGUAUAUAAAAAUAAUUAAAUUGAGAUUUUUUAAUUAUUUUUAAACAUAUCAUGGUUUUAGGUACAUCAUGUAAAUUAUAAAAAAAAUAUUUAUUUUUCUGAUAUAUAUAUAUAUAUAACAAAUGGUGUGAAAGGGGGAAGUACUAUGAGAGCUUUAUGCCACUUUCUAUCUUUGAUGUAAUGGCUUUGGCAAAAAGAAGCAAACAAAAGUUAGUGUUCGCACUACUUUAGCCGAAGAGUCUUUCAUGGGUGCCUUGGAUUGAUUGAUAGGAAGAAGUCUGCUUUGUUUUUAGAAAGAAGCAGUCUUCAUUGCUUUAAUAAAUUAUUACAAUAAUAGCACUAAGAGAAGAGAAGAAUGAGAGAUGAUCCGAGUUUCAAAACUAUAGUUUAUAUAUAAAAACAACUAAAUAGAAAAAUUAUUAUUUUUUAAAUGAAAAAACCAGAAGAGCUUGAUAAUAUUUAAUAAAAAAAUAAAAAUGAAAAAAUAUGCCUUUUUAAGUACAAACAAAAUUAUAAAGAUUUAAUAAUACUGUAUAAAAAAAUUAAAAAUUCUAACCUAAAUUAAAAAAAAUAAAAAUAACUGAAAAAAUAUUUAUAAAAAUUACGGUAUGUAAAUCUAGGGACUAAAGAUAAUACAACUGCAUUGACCGGAGAUUUCACUUAGAAUUUCUAGUAAAUUAUAAAGGAAAUUUCCUUGUGCUUUCUCAUAUACAUGAAUUUAAAAAUUAUCGUUGCUGGAUUGACUUGCAUUGACUGACUUGCUAAGUAUUUGCUGCUCUUGUGCUCUCUCUUGUAUAUUAUUAGAAAAAUUGUCAUUGACUAAUUGACUUGCAAAAGUAUUUGCAAGAAAGCUAAAGAAUUAGAGUUUUUAAAAUUUUUAAAUUAUUAAAAACAACCAAUUAUUUAAAAAAAAAAUCAAGAAUACAACAUCAACUAUUUAUAUAAUUGCUAAAUAAAUCUAAUAAAAUAAAUCGAAAAUAACUAGUAAAUAAUUCAAAAAUAACUAGAAAAUAAAUAUAUCUCCUCAAUAUGAUUUGAGUAUGUUUUCUAUCUUAAUCGACUGACUUGCUAAGUAUUUGUUAAACAUAAAAAAACUUUACUUUAAAAGUCUAUUUAAUAUUUUUCUUACUUUUAUUAUUUUACUUCAAAGUUUCAAUUUCAUAUUUUUUUACAAUGUAUAUUUUAUUUGAUUAAGGAUAUGUUAAGCAUUGACUCGAAAUUACUACUUGAAAUUCUGGACUGGAAACUAGCUUAAACGCUGGCCACCAACUCUUUUUUGCUCGAUUCAUAGGGAGAGAUCAGGGUAGAAAAUGUGAUUUUUUAUUCAAGAUCGUGGAUAGUACGUUUAAGAUUAUGGAAAUGUGUUUUUUUGUUUACUAGAAGGAUUGGGUCGAAAAGAGGGAAAAAAGUGACAACCUUCCAUAUACGUUUAAGGAAAUCUAGAUUUCUGUAAAUUUUAGGAAAAAACAAUGUCAUUUUUGUUUUUCUUUCAAUAUCAAAAUUUUUUCUUUCCCUAAAUUAUGAUAUAAAAACUCUCAAACUUAAUUUUUACGUAUAAUAUUUAAUUAUUGGUCUAAUUUCAAUACUAACUAUAUAUUUUAUUAUUAUUAUUUGUGUAUUUUUUUUCUGAUUAUUUCUAACCACUUAAAAAAUUAAAAAAAAUAUCAAAAUAAUAAAAUAAUUAAAAUGAACUAAAUUUACUGAAAAUAUUUUUUUAUAAAAAAAUGAAGGGUAAAAAAAUUAAAUUAUGACAUAUAUCAUUAAUUAUUGAGAUUCUUAUAACAAACACGGAACUUCAUGUCACUUGAUGAUACCCAUAUUUUCAACGUUUUACACUGCUUUAAUAAAUUGUUACAAUAAUAGCACAGAGAGAAGAAUGGUUCAAGAGAAAACAAUAAUGGAAGGGAAUCAAAAUCUUUGUUUGAUUUUCUGUUGUGUUUUUGGUACAUUGGUCAACAAUAGCUUGGAAGAGUUUGGUAGCAGUAAGUAACCUUUUCGACCUCAAUAAUGUUAACGCGUGGACCCAGUUGUUGUGGAAACUUUGCAGAGGAAGAAAAAUGAUUGCAUUGCUAAUAAUUUGCAAGAGAGAAUUCUUUCUCUGAAUAUAUAGAAAAAACUAUUAUUUUUAAAAUAAAAACAACUAUAUAGAAAAAUUAUUAUUAUUUAGGUAGAAAUGAUUUAAUUAAGGAAGUAUGUUAAAAAAUAAUAUAAAUUAUAUUUUAGAGUUUAUUUUAAUAGUUUAAAUUUUUAGAUGGAUAGUUUUUGGCAUGGCCAUCGGUGAGAAGCAAAAGCAGUAGCAGCCCAUCAGGACGAUCACCAUCCUAUCGCCGACAUUCCAAGUGUGAAAGUGUAUUAUUGUCAUAAAGUUUUUCAAACUUCCACUAUAGAGAGAUAAAUAAAUAAAUAAGUAGAAAGCGCAAAAGAAACAAUACGAUAAAUUUAAACUAUACUAAAGGUCAGUUUUUCACUCUGUGUGAAUCUACAGUGAAAGUUUGAUUUUGCACAUGGUAGAUAAAUUUAGGUUUAGGAGUAUAAUUUUUUAUAUAUAUAAUUACACUAAAGAAGAAUAUUAAUCAAAUAACCCUUAAAAAAUUCCUUUUAAUUUAUGGUUUAUUUUUUUUAUCUAAUUUAAAGUGAAUUUUAUACCUGAUAAUAUUUUAUCUAAUUUUAUUACACGCUAAAAAAAUUAUGAAAACUGUAGUUCUUGUCGGAUGUAUUUCGUACGUAAUGGAAUUGUAGAUGGUUUCAUGGAAUAAUAAAAAAUAUUUUAUAUAAAGUAUAAUUUAUUUCAUGAUGUAAUAGCAAUAGUUAAAUUCAUAAUAUUUAAAUUAAAAAUCAUCAAUAUUAAUAUAUAUUUUUUAAAAUUAUUUUAUAACCUCAAUUUUAAAAACAUUAUUAACCAAACACAUUAAAUUACUUUUUCUUCAGCCUCAAUUUCAACCAUAAUUUUAACCAAACACCUAUUUUUUCAAACCAACUUCAACUAAAAGUACUUUUUAUAAAACAAUUUUUUUCAAAUCAUAACCACAACAGCUACCGCAAUACCAAACACACUCUUAAUCAACUUAAAUUUGAGUGUACCUUCCGAGUAAGACAAACCCUGUAUUUUAAAAUACUAUUGCCAAAAGAUCCCCUUAUAUAUGGAUCAAGACAACAGUAUCACUCCCAUUUUAGUAAUAGAAUAAGUUUUACAUAAUUUUCAAGUUUAGUAGAAUAGUAGUGGAUUAAUUUUUUUAAUAUUUAAAAAUAAAAAAAUACUGUGGAGCUGUUGGUAUAAAUUCUAAAGUUAAGGACUCCUUUGUGCUUGGUAAAAUACGUCAAUUUAAAGUUAAUAAAUAAUAGCAUGCACGAAACUUCACGAUACCCAUGUUUUACACUGUUUUAGAGUAUGUUUGGUAUUGCGGUAGCUGUUGUGGUUGUGAUUUGAAAAAAAUUAUUUUAUAAAAAGUACUUUUAGUUGUGGUUCGUUUGAAAAAAUAGGUGUUUGGUUAAAACCGUGGUUGAAAUUGAGGUUGAAGAAAAAGUAGUUUAAUGUGUUUGAUUAAGAAUGUUUUUGAAAUUGAGGUUAUAAAAUAAUUUAAAAAUAUAUAUAUUAAUAUUGAUGGUUUUUAAUUUAAAUAUUAUGGAUUUAACUAUUGUGGUAACAUCAUGAAAUAAAUCAUACUUUAUAUAUAAAAAAAUUUAUUGUUCUAUUAAACUAUCUACAAUUCCAUUACGUACAAAAUUCAUCCGACAAGAACUACAGUUUUCAUAAUUUUUUAGCGUGUAAUAAAAUUAGAUAAAAUAUUAUCAUGUAUAAAAUUCACUCCAAACUAGUUUUUUUUUAAAAAAAAAUGUUAAAAAAAUUAACAAAAAAAAAACUUAACACACUAAAAAAAAAAAGAAAAAGAAAAAGAAAAAGAAAAAAGAGUCCACGCAGUGCAAGUGAACAGUGCAAGAGAAUUGCACCGUUCACUAUUUUUAAGUGAACAGUGCAUCACUUGCACUGUUCAAUGAACAGUGCAAUUAACGUGAACAGUGAAAAAAGUAAGAAAUGACUGCUUUUCCUUUCCUGCGUUGCUAACGCAGAAAUUAAGUGGGGCCCAGUAAACAGUAAAUCAAUUUUUUUCUUAACCAAAUAGCUGCGAACUGCAUUUUAAAUAAAACGCAGCCGCAGUCGCAGAGCCAAACAGGCUUAAUAGAUUGUUACAGUAAAAGCAAAGAGACAAGAACGGUUCAAGACAGAACAAUAAUGGAGGAACGCAAAAAGACAUUCCCUUUCUUGUCACUAAAGAGUAGCAAAAGUAGUAGUGAUGUUUUUUUCAACUUGCAUGUCUGUUAUGACUAUUUAUUAUGGGCUAUGCAUGACAUGGUCAGGGCAGCCUCUAAAAUCAUCCGAUCAGUCAAUUAUGCCAAGCGAUAGGCCUAGCUGAAGAGAAAUUUGUUGCCCAAACCUUGACUAACCUAGCAUGUCUAAGAGGAGACUUUGACUCCAAAACUAGCAAGUAAAUUUCCUCGUCUUUUGUUUAAUUUUUCUCAAGAUGAAGAAAUGGCUGGAUUAAUUUUCAUAUACGAAAAUCAAAAUUUUCUUAAUGGGAUCUUAAGAAAAUUUCUUUUCUUGUCCAAAUCAAGCCUCGAGAAAGCAUGUGCAAUUUAUAUAAGAAGCAAAUUCUAUUUCUUGACUUGUAUUUGCCUUUUGGAAUUUUCUGUACAAAUUUCUUGCCAGGAGUUGGAGAUAAUUCAAUGAACUUCCCCAAAUUUUGAAUUCCCCUCCUGUUCUGCGGUGGUAUCAUAGGACUUCAUUGCACUAUUCUGUGCAUGGAUACUUUGGAAAACAAAGGCUCUUAGCUGAAACCAAAGAACACUCUCUGGCACAUUCCAUUCACUAUACCAGUAAAUAGACAGAUAGAAAUGAAAAUGUUGAUGGAAAAUAUUUUAUUAAUAAUUUCAGAUAAAAAUAACAAUAAAAAAUUUCAAAUCUCUUAAAAUUCUGACCACAAUAGCAACAAAAUAGAAAAAAAUAAAACGGAUCAGAUUGCUUUUGAUGCAUACUGUUUCAUUCUUUUUCUCACUUCUUCGACGUAUUUUCAAGAAGAUGGAAAUUCUUGAUCUUAGUUAGAAACAAAUUGGUUUUUCAAGAAGAGAUUAUUAGUUGGGAUAUUGCAUUUGAGUUGGUUCUUCACCAUUUAAUGUUAUAAUUUAAGAUAAUUGAUGAAAACUAUUGAUAUAUACAGGAAAGUUCAGAAAGCAUCUUUAAUUGAUUUGAUAAGGAAAGUCUUGUUUGUUUUGGCUAUAAGAUUUUUCUAUGUAUUAUUGCAUGCUUUUUACUGCUUUUUGGCCUUUCAUUCGAAGGAUAUAAAAAUAAUAAGAACAUUUUUUAUUCAUUAUCAAUGCUUGAUUUUAGCACGAUAAAAUCCAAGGGAUUGAUGGUCUGGUGUUUGUGGUGCUGGUAAAUGUAAGAACGGACCGAGAGAUGAAAUAGGAAAAACCCAUGUCUAUUAGUUGGCACCGGUGAUCAUUAGGCCCUUGCCGCCCACGAAAUCGCUUUAUCCUGUUGUUAAUUUUUUAAUGAAGCGUAUCAAGUGUUUGAUAAAAUUCCUUAACUGGAAAAAAAAAACCUUUUUUUAAUGAAGCGUAUCAAGUGUUUACACUUUACAGUGCUUUAGAAUAAGUUUGGUUUUUAAAAUAUUUUUUAAAAAAAUACAUCUAAUUAAUUUUUUGAUGAUUUAAAAAUAAUAAAAAUAUAUUUUAGAAUAAAAAUAUAUUUUUUUAAAUACUUUUACACCACAAAAACAACUACUUUUCAAGUCUUCCUACCCAUCGUUAAAUCAAACCUAUAAAACCUAACCAUUACAGUUUCUCUCUCCAUCGUCUUCCUCUGCUCUUGUCAUGGCAUCAACUCAUUAAGUACAGGUAAAGAUACUUGAUGUCUGUCAAGCAUAGGUUUUAGAACCGGCUUGAGGGCCUGGUUAAAUAUUUGGGUUUCAAGUUUUUAUCUGGUUAAUUUUUUUAAAAAAAUUAAAAUAAUAUUGUUUUAGUAGAAGAAUAAAAAUUAACAGGUUGUAAUUAGGUUUUUGACCGGAUCUUAUCAAGUUAAUCUGCCGGAUCACACCAGGUUUUUUCUUUCUUUUUUUUUCCAACCCGGCUCAGUUCCAGUUGCAAGUCAGCCGGAUCCUGAAUCAACCUACCAAAUCAGGCCGGGUUUCAAAUCUAUGCUGUCAAGUCACCCCGUCCUUGAACUCACUUGACCCAGCCACCGAGUUAUCUUUUCCGCUCAUCUUUUUUUAUAUCCUGUUCUUGAAAGUCGCUCCAGCUGAACACGCUUAUUCCUCUACAAACUAUUGCAUUUACCAAUACACGCUUGAGAAAUUUCCUUGCUUUUUUUUCCUUGCAUGUGUUACAUUUUUGUCUUUUAUAAUUAUAAUUAUUGCAUUGCUAAUAAUUUGCAAGAAAUAAUAUUCUUUCUCUGAAAAAGGCUUGAAGCAUUAUAGAUAAUCUCUUAUAGGAAUCUCUUUAUUAAAUCAUCAAAAUAUCAGAAAAUAGCGGAAAUGAUAAACUGUGCAGAAUUGAUGCAGUCUUCCUUAAUGCUUUCAACCUUUUACACUGAUUGAGUCCUCUAGAAAACUAUUAGAUGCCAUAAAGCAAGAGAGGAAUAUAUUUUGGAGUGACAUAGAUAUUAUGUUUUAAAAUGAAAUGUAUUUAAAUUUAUUUUUAAAAAUUUAUUUUUAAAAAUUUAUUUUUAAUGUUAACACAUCAAACUAAUCUAAAAAUAUUUAAAAAAUCAUUUAAAAAAAUAAAACAUUCAGCAACCACCAUGAAAUUACCACUCUAAAUUACCACAUAGAUUGUUGCUUGCUCUUUGACAAUUAUUGCAUUUCUAAUAAAACAUACUUUCUCAAUUUCCUUCUUUUUUUUCUUUUUUAACUAUACUCAAUCUGCACCUGCCACGAAAUUACCAAUAAGUAAAUUCCAGCUCAAUAUUUUCCAAUACGCACUUUUGAGAAAUUUCCUUGCUUUUUUCUUUCCUUGUACGUGUUACCUUUUUAUCUUUUAUAAUUAUAAUUAUUGCAUUGCUAAUAAUUUGCAAGAAAUAAUAUUCUUUCUCUGAAAAGGGCUUGAGAAAACCCGAAGCAUAGUAUAUAAUCUCUUAUAGGAAUCUCUUUGUUAAAUCAUCAAAAUAUCAAAGUCUGUUUCCAAAGUUAUGACUACAGUUUAUAUAUAGAAACAACUAAAUAGAAAAAUUAUUAUUUUUUAAAUAGAACAACCAGAAGAGCUUGAUAAUAUUUAAUACAAAAAUAAAAUAGAAAAAUUAUUCCUUUUUAAGUAGAAACAAAAUUAUAAAGAUUUAAUAAUACUGAAUAAAAAAAAUUAAAAUUUCUAAACUAAAUUUAAAAAAAUAACUGAGAAAAUAUUUAUUAUCCCAAUAGUUCUAAUAUUAAAAUCUCAUUUAUCAUAUGUUAGAUCUAUCAAAUAAUAAUAAUUGAACAGUUUUUAGUGAAUUAAGUUCAAUUCAAGAUAACAAAAUAAAGUUUGUUGAGGCUUAUCUUGGAACCGGUAUUAAUUAGUGAGAAUAAGAAAAUCCUAUACAAAUUAUACAAAAUUAAUUAUUAAUUAUCGAUAUUUAUUAUUGAUAAUCAAUAAUGAAUAAUAGCUUAUUUUCUAGUAUAAACUAUGUUUGGAAUGAAAUUGAUAAAAGACAUGAUACACAAUUAAUGAUGGGAUCAUAUAUAUAAAUAAUAAAAUUGAGAUUUUUCAAUUACCUUUAAAUAUAUCAUGGUUUUAAUAGGUGAACGAUACAUUCUUUGAAUUUAUUAGAAGAAAUGUGUAAUGUAAAUUAUAAAAUAAUUUUUUUUUUAUAUACAUAAUAAUAAUAAUAAAUUAGAUGAUAAUAAUAAGAAAAUAGAAAUUAAUUUGAAUAAAUGGUACGAGUUUCUAUUCUAAUAUAUCUAGGGAAGAAGUUUGAAAAAUAGAAUGAAGUUAAAUAUUCUUAAUAAAAAAAAAAGAAAUAAAAUAUCACAGCAUAAAGAGAUGUGGUAAAUCUUAUGUUGGGAGACUGCUCUUCCAAGGAUCCUACGGUUGCGAGCCAUACACGCUUGAGAAAUGGUGUGUUAUCCUUGCGACCAUAAAAUAUCCUUGCGACACAUCUUCCAAGGAUCCUAUGGAUAGCACUUGCGAGCAAUCUUGUUUUUUCAAUGCCGCCAUUCAGCAAGUCCACAUGUCAUGAGUCUACACGGCAUCAAAUUUGCAAAAUCAUAUGGCCCAUUGAUAAAAAGAUGUGUCGAAGCGAAAUCUGUUUUAGGCUUUUAGGUUGAUUUUAUAUGGGUCUCUGACUUGGCUGAUUUUAUUUGAAUAUAUUAUUUGAUUAGUUCAUUUAUAGGUUGACUCUACUAUAUAUUCUGCCUUGCAUUGACAGGAAAUUUCACUAGAAAUUUCAAGUAAUUUACACAGGAAAUUUCCUGCAUGUGUUACAUUUUUAUCUUUUAUAAUUAUAAUUAUUGCAUUGCUAAUAAUUUGCAAGAAAUAAUAUUCUUUCUCUGAAAAGGGCUUGAGAAAACCCUAAGCAUUGUAGAUAAUCUCUUAUAGGAAUCUCUUUAUUAAAUCAUCGAAAUAUCAGAGUAUGUUUCCAAAUACUAUUACUACAAGAAACAACUGAAUAGAAAAAUUAUUCUUUUUUAAAUAAAAAAAAACUAGAAAAGCCUGAUAAUAGUAUUGAAUAAAAAAUAAAAUUGAAAUUUAAUCAACAAUAAUUUCUCAUCUCCAAUAAAAAUUUAGGUUUAUCAUUUGGGUAACACAAACCCUGUAUUUUAAAAUACUAUUGCAAAAAAUUCCUAUUAUAUAUGAAUCAAGAUAACAGUAAAUAACUUUUACCUAUUUUUUCAAGUUUGUACGUAGAAUAGUAGUGGAAUAAUGUUUUUAAUAUUUGAAAAUUUUAAAAAAAAUACUGUGUAACUGUUUUGUAUAAAUUCUAAAGUUAAGGACUCUUUUGUGCUUGGUAAAAUACCUCACAAUAAAAUUAAUAAAUAAUAACACAAGCAAGGACCAAAGUUAAUAAAUAAUAGCAUGCUUUUAUAGAUUGUUACAGUAAAAGCACAGAAAGAAGAACGGUUCAAGACAGAACAAUAAUGGAGGAACGCAAAAAGACAUUCCCUUUCUUGUCAUAAAGUUUUGAAUAGUACUUUUGUGUAUUAUUUUCGUAAAGUUUUUCAAACUUCCAAUAUUUACAUGGCUUACUCGAUGAAAAAGCAAGAGCAAAAGGAAACGCACCCCAUAUUUAUUGUUCCCUUUCCCGUCUUUACAUGGCUUACUCGAUGAAAAAGCAAACACCCCAUUAGUUGUUGCCACCAAAUUCCAGUACACGCUUGAGAAAUUUCCUUGCGUUUUUUUCCCUCUACGUACGCGUUACCUUUUACCUCUUUUAUAAUUUUGAUUAUUGCAUUGCUAAUAAUCUGCAAGAAAGAUGAUGAAAAUUUUUUAGUGAAUUCAAAAUAACAAAAUAAGGUUUGUUGAGGCUUUUCUUGGAACCUCGCUUGGGGUUUAAUUAGCGAGAAUGAAUUCUACAAAGAUAUCGGACUGUGAGUUUGUUUCUAAUGCAAUUCACAAUAAUGACCUUGUGGAUGGACUCUCAGAAUACGUUAGUGAGACAGAAUAUAAUGAGGUUAAUAAUGGGCUUCUACAACUCAUCAUUUAUCCCCAGGGAAGGCCAGGUGGGCCUAGGCCACUGCUUCUGUUAAAAAUAAACUAAAAUAACACUUGUAAGGUGAUACAUAUUCUUGCAAUAAAUAAAGCCAGCAAAGGCAGAUCUGUGUGUCUAUAUAUACAUGAACUGCUGAUUCGAUUUGAACACCCCAUUUCUCCGAUUCAAUAACUUCAGUUGCAAAACUUCUAUCUCCGAUUGCGGCAAUUUCAUAGCUAACUCUUUGUUAUACACAGGUAUAUAAUUUCAUAGCUAACUCUUUGUUAUACAGAGGUAUAUACGGCUAACUCUUCUUUUCUUCUUUCUUGUUUUAAAUAUUUCAUGUCUUUACCAAUAACAAUAAUGUGAAAGCUUUGUAUGUUUCAUGUUUAACUUCAGUUGCUAUUGUCUUAUGCUCUCUCAUUAUUAAGCUUAAAUUGCGAAUUGAUUGUUCCUUCAAUUCUGCAGCUGAAAUGGCAGAGCCAGAGUCUUCUCGUUCUAUACCAGAAUGGACCUAUGAUGUCUUCUUGAGUUUUAGAGGAGAAGACACUCGCAAGACAUUUACAGAUCAUCUAUAUGCUGCCUUAGUCCAAGCAAAAAUCCACACUUUUCGAGAUGAUGAUGAACUUCCUAGAGGAGAAGAAAUCUCCGAUCAUGUCCUCAGGGCUAUUCAAGAAUCAAAGAUAUCCAUAGUUGUCUUCUCAAAAGGAUAUGCUUCUUCUAGAUGGUGUCUCGAUGAACUAGUAGAGAUUCUGAAGUGUAAAAGGAAGAAAACCGGUCAGAUUGUUCUUCCUAUAUUCUAUGACAUUGAUCCUUUAGAUGUGAGAAAACAGACUGGCAGAUUUGCAGAAGCAUUUGUUAAACAUGAAGAGCGUUUUGAAGAGAAGCUGGUGAAGGAGUGGAGAAAAGCUCUUAAGGAGGCAGGAAAUCUAUCUGGAUGGAAUCUCAAUGAUAUGGCAAAUGGGUAUGCCUUUUUUUCUCUAAGAUUCACUUGCACACAUUUAUGGAGUGAUUAUACUUUACAUUUUUCAAUGUGAAACAAUAAAAUACUUAAUUGGCUCGCUAUCAAUGACUUGCUUUUGUCUAUGAGCAGGCCUGAAGCAAAUUUUGUCAAAGAGAUUAUCAAGGAUGUGUUGAAUAAAUUAGGACCCAAGCACUUAUAUGUUCCUGAGCACCUAGUAGGUAUGGAUCGGCUUUCUCGCAAUAUUUUUUACUUUCUAAGUACUGCAAUAGAUGAUGUACAAAUUGUGGGCAUACAUGGGAUGCUAGGAAUAGGAAAGACGACUAUAGCAAAAGUUGUAUUUAAUCAACUCUGCAAUGGAUUCGAGGGAAGCUGUUUUCUUUCGGAUAUAAAUGAAAAAUCAAAACAAUUCAAUGGUCUGGCUCUUUUACAAGAGCAACUUCUUCAUAAUAUUUUAAAACAAGAUGUUGCUAACAUCAAUUGUGUCGAUAGAGGAAAGGUUCUGAUCAAAGAGCGACUUUGUCGCAAAAGAGUUCUUCUUGUUGCUGAUGAUGUGGCUCGUCAGGACCAGCUAAAUGCUUUGAUGGGAGAGCGAAGUUGGUUUGGUCCCGGAAGUAGAGUAAUUAUUACAACAAGAGAUUCAAAUCUUCUUCGUGAAGCAGAUCAAACAAAUCGGAUCGAAGAAUUGGAACCAGAUGAGGCCCUUCAGCUUUUCAGCUGGCAUGCCUUUAAGGACACCAAGCCAGCAAAAGAUUAUAUUGAGCUUUCAAAGAAAGCAGUUGAUUACUGUGGAGGACUUCCUUUUGCUCUUGAGGUUAUAGGAGCUCGUCUGUCCGGGAAAAACAGAGUUACGUGGGAAAGUGAAAUUGACAACUUGAGCAGAAUUCCAAACCAAGACAUUCAAGGAAAGCUUCUAACAAGUUAUCACGCACUUGAUGGUGAACUACAAAGAGCAUUCCUUGAUAUUGCAUGCUUCUUUAUUGGUAAAGAGAAAGAAUACGUCGCAAAACUGCUAGGAGCCCGUUGCGGUUACAAUCCAGAAGUUGUUUUGGAAACUCUCCAUGAAAGGUCUAUGAUUAAAGUAUUGGGAGAGACGGUAACCAUGCAUGAUCUAUUACGAGACAUGGGAAGGGAGGUCGUUCGUGAAUCGUCUCCAAAAGAACCUGGAUAGAGGACCAGAAAUUGGAAUCAAGAGGAUGCAUGGAAUGUGCUUGAGCAGCUGAAGGUAAAAAAAAAUAGUCAUGGAACACUUGACUGAUCAAAGAAAAAAAAUUAUUUAUUUUCUCUUAUUGAGUUCCAUAGUUUAAACUUUCUCGUUACACAUAAUUUUUAGUUUGGUAUAUAUAUUCUACUGUUUUUUAUAAUCUUUAUAUUUAUAUUUUUAAAUAUAAGUACACAUAGCAUCAUUUGAAUCUUUUGAUUGAAAGUAAAAGCUUUAUCUCGUAAAAUCAUCUCUAGAAGGUUUUAUUUGGUCAAUCUUCAAAAACUUAGGGAUUAAAAAAAAAAAACUUCUUACUUGAUUCAAUUUGGAAACCUCAAGGAGAAAAUUGAAACAAGUAUAACCUCACGGGGAGAAGUUGAAUUCUCCCCAAACUCAGGGGUUAAUUAAAAUUAACCUUUAAAUUUCUAUCCAUGCCCAGUUGCCCACGAAAGAGAAGAGGUACAUCCACGUGAAGCUCAUUUUGGGUUUGGGUUAGUUGAAAAUAUCUAGUGGGUGGGCCUUUUUUCUGUUUUUCUGUUUUUUUUUUGUUUUUAUGCACAGAAUACAUGAAAUAAUAAAUUUAAAUCCAACAAAUCCAAUAGAGAUAUAAUAUUGUAUACGAUCAACAUGAAAGAAUUUUACGAAAAGACAUGAAAAUAUCAUAUAUUAUGUGUCUCUGCCAGUCAUAAUUGUAUUGUUUUGUGUAUUAUCAAUUAUCUUUCUUGUAUAGGAAAUAUCAUGUUGGAUUUUGCUGAUGACAAACUUAAUCCUAGAGAUUGCAUCUGCGGUUUUUGACCAGACGGGUUAUGCAUUAAUUGGCAUGGUGUUGGCAUUUGUAGCUUUGCUUCUUGCUGCCGUUGAACUCAUUCACAUGGCUCGAAAGGAAAGAACUAAACGGGUGGGCCUAUUGCCACCUUUUAUUCUCCAUGCAACUAGAAAGCCUGUUGGCUGGUGCUGUCUGGCAAUGUGUUUAUUCGACUGUGGAGUAUAUGUAUACUCGUCAGAAGAAAGAUAAUCCAAUUAAGAUGUGUCUUUUACCUUUCAUUUUCUUAUUAUGCGUGGCGAUUUCCAAAUUAUUAGUCGACAAGAGUUCCGUUGUAAAUAGUUCUUAGCAAUAGUAUUUUCUUUGAACUAGAAGGAAUUUCUAGUAUUGUGUUCUAAGGACUCUUUUUAGUGGGAAUGAGUCAAAGAUUUUGAUUCCUAGAUUUUCUUAUCGAAGACCCAGACUUGUAAUGCAAUUAAGACACUAUAUUUUAGACAGUGAGCAUGAGUUGAUGUGGACAAUCUAGCUAUUAUUGAUAUGCGGUUCAGUAACCUCAAAUAACUAUGAAAGGAAAAAACUGUCAUUCACUGAUUUAAUUGGAAAUUAUUUGCGAGAAAGCUAAAAAGAAUUAGAGUUUUUUAAUUUAUAAAAUUAUAAUUCUAAAUUCUAAAAAAAAUUCAAUUAUUUUUAAAAUUAUUUUAAAAAAUAAAACAUCAACUAUUUAUAUAAUAGCUAAAUAAAUCUAUUAAAAUAAAUUGAAAAUAACUAGUAAAAUCAAGCAAAUAAUUCAAAAAUAAUAAGAAAAUAAAUAUAUUUCCUAGAUCUAAUUUGAGUAUAUUUUUUAUCUUGAUUGACUGACUUGUCAAGUCUUUAUUCCGUAUAAACAAAUUUUAUUCUAAAAGUCUGUUUGAUAUUUCUUCACUUAUCUAUGAAAUAUUACUUCUACUGUACAGAAUAGAAAUAAAAAUUAGAUGAUAAUAUUUAUUCUAAAAGUCUUCGUUAAGGAUAAAUGAACUUUAUUCUAAGAGUUUGUUUGAUAUUUUUUUAUUUAUUAAUGAAAUAUUACUUCUACUGUAUAGUUAUUGGGUUCCGAGUCGAUCCACCGGGUCAAUAGGCGAACAGUAUAUUCUUUGAAUUUAUUAGAAGAAAUGUGUAAUGUAAAUUAUAAAAAAUAUUUAUUUUUCUGAUAUAUAUAAUAAUAAUAAAUUAGAUGAUUGUCACACCCGACAUCGCGGCGACCUUAAAAAUUUAAUUCUUUGGAAAAGAACAGAUUUCUGGCAUCCUAUUCUUUAAUGGGGAUAUUCUUUGUUUAAGGAGUCGCCACCUAGUAUUAUGGUCACUAGGAACCCUAACUGGUCAACAGAGAGUCUACGGUUUGGGACUGGUUACGUAAAAGGGAAGAUAUUAUCACCCCUUAAACGUCCUGCCUGAGGCAGGCUGCACUGCUAGUUUUAUCUUUAAUUGCUAAAUGUUUAUUAGUUUACGAUAUGAUAAUUUACUUAUAAUAUUCCCGACUCUGGCGUCAGUGAAUAUUAAACUACGAAUACUUCCAACUCUGGCGUUGGUCAAUAUCACGUAGCUAUAAAAUAAAUUAGAUUAAUAUUUUUUAUUUUCCCGGCUCUAGCGCCAGUGAAUAAAUAAACAAAAUAAAAUUUGAUUUUUUUACGCAUGCAUAUUUUUUUAUUUUUUUUAGCUAAAUAAAAUAAAGUACAACAAAUAAAAAUAAUAUAAAUUUAAACCGGUAUUUUUAUUCCUGACUCUGGCGUCAGUGAAUAAACCAAUAAAUUUACAUUAUUUUUAUUCAUCUAAAUAAAUUUAAUUUUUUACGCAUGCACAUUUUUUAUUUUUUAGCUAAAUAAAAUAAAGUACAACAAAUAAAAAUAAUAUAAAUUUAAACCGGUGUUUUUUAUUCCUGACUCUGGCGCCAGUGAAUAAACCAAUAAAUUUACGUUAUUUUUAUUCAUCUAAAUAAAUUUAAUUUUUUACGCAUGCACAGUUUUUAUUUUUUAGCUAAAUAAAAUAAAGUACAACAAAUAAAGAUAAUAUAAGUUUAAACCGGUAUUUUUAUUCCUGACUCUGGCGCCAGUGAAUAAACCAAUAAAUUUACAUUAUUUUUAUUCAUCUAAAGAAAAUAAAAUACAACGAAUAAAAAUAAUAUAAAUUUAAACCGGUAUUUUAUUCCUGACUCUGGCGUCAGUGAAUAAACCAAUAAAUUUACAUUAUUCUUAUCCAUACAUGCAUAUUUUUUUAUUUUUUAUUUUUCUGCCUUUUAUUUUUUUAUUUUUUUUAUUAUAUAUUUUUUUAACUGGGCGGGGCCCGGCCCGGCCCAGAAAAAAAAAAAUUGGGGGCUGGGCCCAGCGCAGCCCACAUGGACUGGGCUGGACCCAGCCAGCCCAGCCCGGUCACUGGCCCAAGCCAGUGACCCGGCUGGGUAAAAACUAAAGGCACGCGUGACUUAUUCACGCGUGCCCGAACACUGGUGAAGGUAAUUAAAUUACCUUCACACAGUGUUCUUGCAGCACAUAAUUAUCUUUUGAAAUGAAAAUGCAGAGGAGACGGGGUCAUACCUGCUUCUGGAGACCGAAGAUGCUGCUUCUGGAGACCGAAGAUGUUGCUUCUGGAGACUGAGAUGCUUGCAGCGCUGCUUGAUGAUUUUCGCCUAAUGUUCCUCUGGUUUUCCUUCUGUGAAUACUUAUCUAUGCUUUCCUUCUUGAUUUCUCUGUAACUUCUAAAGCUACAAAGAAGAUUCCGGCUUGUUGUGAGUGUUCUUUGGCUGAAUCCGGGUUUUUUUGUUUGCAGGUUCGGAGACAAUUUCAAGGAUAAUUCUCCUUACCGUGUCCUGCCUUCUUGUCCUCUCCUUCUCUGUGUAUUUGGAUUUGUGCUCUGUUUUCUCUGCCUUUUUCUUUUAACUCUGUUUUUCUGGGUUGAUUUUUUCGGUUCUCUCCCUCCUUUUCUUACUGUGUAUAAUUUCUCUGGUUUUCUUGCUUUUUUUCUUGCUCUCCCUCCUUUUUUUUUCUUUAGGUGUUCUUCUCCCUUUUAUAAACCCAGCCGAUUGCCCCCCAUCAGUCCUGCCUUUGCAGGACUGUUAUCUUCCACGAACGAGAUCGUGGGCGAGAGACGUGGUCCUCGAUUGGAUUGAAUCCGUUGCAGAUUUUCCAGCCUGUUGAAUCGGGAUGGAGAAGACGAACACGACUGUUCUACCCGCAGCGGCGACGUUUCGGCAGCAAUGGAUUUCACCAGCAACGACGCCGUUUCAAGCAGCAAAUGGACAUUUUUAUUUUGAUCCCUGAACUGUUGGAAAUUCGGCAAUUGGACCUUAAAAAAAAUUCCACUUAAUUUUGUCCCUUUGGAUUAAUUUCAAUUAAAUCCUUAAAUUAUAACACUGUUUACAAAACAGUCCUUAAUUCCUGGAUUGUUCAAUUUAGCCCUUAAUUAAAUCUUUAACCUUUCAAAAUUGAUCAAUUAACUCUCAAAUUACAUCCUCAAACUUCAAAUUUUGUUGUUUUAACCCCAUUGGCAACUAUAUUUAAUUUUUUUAUUAUUUGUUCAAAAAUUGGUUAUGACAGUUGCUCCCUCUUUAUAAUAUUUACAAUACAAAGAUAUUGAAAAAUUUCAUUUUUCCUUAGCUUUGUGUAGUAAAUUUAUAAAGAAAAGUAGAUAAAAAAAAAAUCUUGAAAACAGUAGAUUGACAUAUGACUUUUUACGGAGAGAAUAAGUUAUUUGGAAGAUGACUUUUUUUUUUUUUUUUGAAACUGAUCAAAUUAUUUUGGGUAACCUACCUAAUGAUAAAAGAAACGCGAAGAAUUUCGCGAGUGGUCUAAUUGUUCCAGGCGACCUACCCAAUGAUUGAAAAAUACGAGGAUUUUUUUUUUUGUGAUGGUAUAUUGUAAUGGGUUACCGGCCCAGAAUAAAGUGGUUUAUUGUAAAGGGUUACCGGCCCAAAUGGUCACAUUGUAAUGGGUUACCUGCCCAGUGUAGGAUGGUAAAUUGUAAUGGGUUACCAGCCCAGUCUAGGAUGGUAAAUUGUAAUGGGUUACCAGCCCAGUUGGUCACAUUGUAAUGGGUUACCUGCCCAGUUGGUCACAUUGUAAUGGGUUACCAGCCCAGUUGGUCACAUUGUAAUGGGUUACCUGCCCAGUGGAUAAAUACGUGGAUUUUUUUUUAAUAAGAUAUGAUAGGGCUCGAAGACGCACUCCAAAGGAGGUAGGAUAGGAAAUGCACUACCUUUGAUGUUCGAGGGCUCGAAGGCGCCCUCGAAAUGGAGAUAAAACGAGGGCUCGAAGACGCGCUCGAAUGGAGAUAAGAUGAGGGCUCGAAGGCACGCUCGAAUGGAGACAAGACGAGGGCUCAACGGCACGCUCGAAAAAGAACUCAAAAGGAGGUAGGAUAGGAAAUGCACUACCUCAGGAGUGGAAACUGAAAUGUGGUGGAAAAAUAUAGAGAGAGAUUUUUUUAGGUGGCCUAAUUCUCAUGGGCGGCCUGCCUAGGUUGAAAAAUUCUCAAAAGCGAAAAUUUUUCAAAAGCAAUUUCAAUGUUGGCCAUCCACUUGAUGGAUUCCGUUAGAAUUUUCUCUAAUAAAAUUUGCAGCACUCAUUGUCCAAUGUUUCAAAGUUUAAAUGAUAUGCAUGCAUCUUUACCUGACUUGAAAUAUAGGCCCCCCAUUUCUUCUUAAUCUUCUCAUUGUAUGGUUGAUGAGAUCUUGCUAUCUGAUUUGAGUCAUCUUUGUCGUUUGGAUUUCUAGCGCACUCGAGUUAGCCCAUAUAAGACUUUUUCCAGAUUUGUUUGCACAACUCAGCCUUUGUGGUGCCCAUCGUGACCCACAUGCUUGAUGGACUCGUCAAAUAAUUUGAGAGGAUCAUUCAUUACCCCUUGACUCACUGCUAAAAACAUUCGGUGUCACUAGCUGAAAGGAUCAAGCUGUCUUUCAUAAACCAAAAUGCCCCCUUGUCUUGUUGAAGGAAAUUACCAUCUCUUUUUUUUUUAGAAUUUUCCUUCUGAACACAAUAUCCCCUUGUAUUGGUCAUUCCCCCUAAGUGUGCUCUGUCAGCGACUUUAGACAAAUAAUGGUUUUAAGAGACCCUUUUCUCAUUUCUAUCCUUUUUCAGUUUGGUGAAGAAGUAUGGGUCUAGAAUAAAUCUUGAAAUCUUGAUCUUGCAUUUUUGAAAACAAAAAUUAUUUCAAUAUGAGUCUAAAACAAUUUACUUUCAAAAUCUUGCAACUCCUUGGUUAUUUUCUUUCUUGGAAAAGAGAUUAUUUGCUCUUGUGUUUGGCAAUGAGAUCUUCGGUGAAAAAUACGUUAUGAGAUGACCUUUUGUGUCAAAGUGAAGGGCUCGAGAGAAAGCUCGAGAUUUUGUAUGAGAAAAACAUCUCUUUUUAACUUUUAUUUUUAUCAGCAUGAAUAAUAAUGGGUAGUUUAUUCUUGAUGCCAUGAAUUUCAUGAAAAACUAUUCUUUGGAUUUUGAGAGCAUUGUUUAUUGUUCCAGGUUGCUUGCUUGCUUGAUUAGAAAGGACUUCUACAAGCACGUAAUGUAGGCUGUGGUUUUUGGCUAUGAAAGAAAAGGACUCGUAGGGCUCAAAGAGUGUUUCAGGGUUUCAAAGACUGAAGAUCACUAUUAAUAGUUUGACUCUUGACGUCAUUCAUAUUUUCUUUUGCCGCUCUUCUUUGAUUUGCCCUUUUUUCUUCUUUCUUUUUCAUUGCUUUGCUAGAGCCUACUCAUUUUAUCUUGGUUAUCACUUUUUCUUGUGAUUUGGGCAUGCCCCCUAGCACUUGAGUUUCUUGGGCUCUUUUGCCUUUUGGCUUUCUCACGGCUUUAUCAUUUUUCUUGAUCAUUGAAAUUUCACUUGCCCCCAGUGUGGGGUGUGAUCUUAGUCAGGAUUUUUAAUGAAAGAAAAAUUAUUCAGGCUCAAAAAGGGAUCGCAAGGGAUGUACUUAUUUUAGAACGUGAAAGGAAUAACAAAGAUGGCCUUUCCUCAUUUCAAACGUAAGCAACUAUGAUCAAUAAACUUUGACCUCAUCCAGUGUGAUGGUUUAGUCUUUACGAGGAUGCAUUUCAUGAGUUAUGAGCAACAAGUUCACUACAUACCAUUAUUCAUACAUUUAAAAACACAUGAUUCAAGAGUUAUGGGAUAAGGGUAUUUAUUCAUUUUUUUUUUGUUUUUAGAGUUUGGUCACCUCUAUGUAGGAGUUGCUUGAUUCAUUUGUCAUUCUACACGUAGAAUGUCAAAAAUCAUUUUUGAAUAAACAUCAAAUUACUUUUGAAAUCAAAAUACCAGAUCAAUUUUUCAAAACUCAAAUAAGAAAACUGAUUUUGGUAAAAGUAAUGAAUUCAAUCUAUGAGAUCAUGCAAGGCUUCAAGAGUGUAUUUACUGAUUCUUUAAUAUCAAUAACAUUUAUGAGAGAGAAAAGAUAUGCAAAGUGAAUUUCUUGGCAAAACUUUUAUUGAUUUGAUGAGAACUUAUACAAUCAUGGAUAAUAUUUCUUCACAGAAUUGGAAUUCACUGGCCUACUCAAAUCUUCUCCAUCCAUUCCUGUCAGUAUCAACGCCCCUCCAGAGAAUGCCUUCUUUACUACAUAUGGACCUUCAUAAUUAGGUGCCCACUUGCUAUGAUUCUCACUAGGUAGUAAUAGGAUUUUUCUCAAUACAAGAUCUCCUUCUUUAAACUCUCUUGGUCGAACUUUUCUCUCAUAGGCUCUUGCUAUCCUGUUUUGAUACAGUUGGUGGUGACAAAUUGCAGCUAAUCUCUUCUUACUGAUCAUAUUUAGCUGUUCGUAUCGUAUCUCAGCCCAUUUAGCCUCUUCUAGCUCAGAUUCCAUGAGAACCCUUAGAGAAGGAAUCUCUACUUCUAAAGGCAUCACUGCCUCCAUUCCGUAAACUAACGAAUAAGGUGUAGCCCCCGUUGACGUCCUUAUUGCUGUUCGAUAUGCAUGUAGAGCAUAAGGAAGCCAUUCCUGCCAAUCUUUAUAUAUGACCACCAUUUUCUGGACAAUCUUCUUUAUGUUCUUGUUAGCAGCUUCAACAGCACCAUUCAUCUUUGGUCUGUAAGGGGAUGAAUUAGAAUGCUUGAUUUUCCAUUUAGUGCAUAAUUCCAUGAUCAUUUUCCCAUUGAAGUUCUUGGCAUUAUCGGUUACUAUCCUUUCUGGCAAACCAUACCUACAAAUUAGAUCUCUCUCAAUGAAUCGCUUGACCACCUUCUGAGUCACAUGAGCAUAUGAGCAGGCCUCUACCCACUUUGUAAAAUAAUCAAUUGCGACCAAGAUAAACCGAUGACCAUUGCUGGCUUUUGGAUUAAUAGGCCCAAUCACAUCAAUUCCCCACAUCGCGAAUGGCCAAGGUGACACCAUAUUGAAUAAGGGCACUGGGGGUGCAUUGAUUUUGUCACUAUACACCUGACAUUUAUGACAUUUUCGAACAAAUUCUAUACAAUCUUUUUCCAUGGUCAACCAAAAAUACCCAGCUCUUUGCAUCUGUCUUGCCAUCAUGUGCCCAUUUGCAUGGGUGGUGCAAAUUCCUCCAUGCACUUCAUACAAUGCUUUAUUGGCUUCUGAUCUGUCUAGACAUCUUAAUAAAGUCCCAUCAAAUGACCUUUUGUAUAAGAUUUCUCCAUCUAUAAAGUAUUCCAUUGCCAUUCUUCUUAGAGUCUUCUUAUCUGUCUUUGAAGCUUCAGAAGGAUAUUCCCGAUAUUGGAUGAAUCUUUUUAUAUCUGCAUACCAAGGAUUGCCAUCCACUUCUUCUUCUAUUAAACAACAAUGAGCAGGAGAACUUCUAAUAUCAAUGCUUAUAGGAUGUACUCUGAUACCACAAUCGAUCGUAGCCAUAGAGGCCAAGGUUGCUAAAGCAUCCGCAAACUGAUUCUUAUCCCUUCCUAAAUGAUUGAACUCUAUCUUUUCAAAGUUUUCAGCCAAUUUGGAGAGAUAUUCCUGAUAUGGUUUCAAUUUCUCAUCUUUUGUCUGCCAUUCCCCCUUUGUCUGACAGAUUAUUAACAUAGAGUCUCCAUAUACCUCUAAUUUCCCUAUCUUCAGUUCCAAUGCAGCUUCUAAUCCAUGAAUGCAAGCCUCAUAUUCAGCUGUGUUAUUCGUGCAACUAAACUGCAGUUUGAUGGAGAUGGGAUAUUGUUUUCCUUCUGGAGAAAUUAUUACAGCACCAGCUCCAUUACCAGACACAUUCACCGCACCAUCAAAGUACAUAGUCCACCAAUCUCUUUCUAUUACCAACACAUCUUCAUCAGGGAAGUCAAAAUUUAAUGGCUCAUAGUCCUCAAUGGCGUUAUCAGCUAAAUGAUUCGCAAUUGCACUUCCUUUCAUAGAUUUUCUUGUUUUGUAGAUGAUAUCAUAUUCAGCCAACAACACUUGCCAUCUGGCCAGCCUAUUUGACAUAUAUGGCUUUUCAAAAAUAUAUUUCAGAGGAUCUACCUUUGAAAUUAACCAAGUGGUAUAGUAUAACAUAUAUUGUCGGAGUCUUUUCGCACUCCAUACCAAGCCACAACACAGCUUCUCAAUCAUACUGUAACGAGAUUCACAUUCAGUGAAUUUCUUACUAAGGUAGUAGAUGGCUUGCUCCUUUCUCCCGGACUCAUCAUGUUGGCCAAGCACACAGCCCAUUGCUGAUUCAGUCACUGUUAAGUACAAAAUGAGAGGCUUCCCAGGCACAGGUGGUACCAAUAGCGGUGGUUUCUGCAGAUAUUGUUUGAUCUUAUCAAAGGCUUCUUGACAAUCUUCAUCCCAUACUCCGGGGUUUUUCUUUCGAAGUAAUCGAAAGAUUGGUUCACAAGUGACUGUAAGUUGUGAAAUGAAUCGAGCAAUGUAAUUUAAACGCCCCAAAAAGCUUCGAACUUCUUUCUCAGUCUUAGGAGCUGACAUGGCUUGUAUGGCCUUCACUUUAUCAGGGUCUACCUCUAUACCAUUACUGCUUACCACAAAUCCCAAUAACUUCCCAGACUUCACUCCAAAUGUGCAUUUUGCAGGGUUCAACUUUAAUUGAUACUUUCUCAACCUUUCAAAUAAUUUCUUUAGAGCUGGGAUAUGAUUUUCCUCAUCUUUAGACUUAGCAAUCAUAUCAUCCACAUAGACCUCAAUUUCUUUAUGCAUCAUGUCAUGAAAUAGUGUCACCAUUGCUCUUUGAUAAGUUGCUCCAGCAUUUUUUAAUCCGAAUGGCAUAACUCUAUAACAAUAUGUUCCCCACGGAGUAACAAAUGUUGUCUUCUUCUUGUCUUGCUCGGCCAUUUUGAUUUGAUUAUACCCAGAGAAACCAUCCAUAAAAGAGUAAGUAGAACUCUUAGCAGCAUUAUCCACAAGUACAUCUAUGUGGGGUAACGGAAAAUCAUCCUUCGGGCUUGCCCUAUUCAAAUCUCGAAAAUCCACGCAUACCCUGAUUUUGUUGUCUUUCUUGGGUACUACUACAAUAUUGGACACCCAUUGAGAAUAAUCAACAACUUCUAAGAAUCCAGCAUCCCACUGUUUCGUUAUCUCUUCUUUUACUUUGAUUAGCAUAUCAGGCCUCGUCCUCCUCAACUUUUGCUUAAUCGGUUUACAACCCUCUAUCAAAGGUAGUUUAUGUACCACAAUAUCAGUAUCCAGACCAGGCAUAUCGGCAUAUGACCAGGCAAAAACAUCAACAUAUUCUUGUAAAAGAAUGACCAACUCGCUUCUCACACCAGCAGAUAUUAGCUUCCCUAUUUUCAACUCUCUUUUAUUAUGUUUGGUGCCCACAUUUAUCAGUUCUAGUUCUUCUUUAGCAGGCUUCCAUGUGUGAUCAGAUUGUUCCACUAACCUUGCGAACUCAUCGAUGUCUUCCUCACCCAACUCUUCCUCAUCCAUUGCAAUUAUAGUUUCAUCAAAGUUAGGCCAAUUAUCCACAGUGCAUUGAGUUUGUGAGCACAAUCCGCUUUCAGAUCUCCUGAAAGCGGAAAGUGUUUCGGUUAUGAGUGUAUAAUUCUGGGAAAGCAAAUAAAUAAACAAAUAACAAGAAAACAUGUUUGAAAGAAAAUAUGCAUGAUCUCAUUGAAUUUUAAAGGAUAGACGGGCUCAACAACAAAACCUUAUUGCCAAUCUCUUGAGCCACAAUGGUUUUGGCAAGGCACAAUUGUUCAAACAAUACAAUAAAAACAAAGAACAAACAAACAUUACUUUUUAAAAACAACUGGGACUUCAUGAAUUUCCCAAUUUUCCAACUCUUCUCCCUCAGCCAGCUUCCUCACGAAUUCGGAUGAGCCAUCUUCCAAAACACCAAUAGUUAGUUGUGGUAGCUGUUCGUAAGGACUCUCUUCUUCCUUUACAUCUUGCUCACUAACAUUUUCAAGAUAAUUGAUAGUAGCACCACUGAAUUCUUUUCUUAGCCCCUCCUCAUAAUCCUCAGCUUUUAUCACAUACGCGGCUCUUGGAAAUGUUACAUAGAUAGGUGGGAUUUCCAUUCGAUCUUCAUCUGGCUCUCUUCUUUCAAUCCGGGCUACUCUCUUUUCCCUUCUAUUUUCAGCUGCUCUUUUAAAAUCUGCUUUGCCAGGCUUAAACCCUAAGCCAAACCUCUGAUCGGCGCAUUUUAUUUUUACCGCAUUAACCCUCUCAGGCAUUCCAGUAGUUAGGUCAUAUUGAAAUGGUAAUCCAUGCUUCAAGAAGUAUUUAGCAGCCAUUUUUGCUGCUUCAGAAAUUUCUGGCUUUCUUCGUAUCAUAUUUUCAGGUACCCAUUCAGCAUUUACAACUUCAAAUGCAUGCAGAUUUCCAUCCUUACUUUCUUCAGCUUCUAUAUAAGGGAUCGAUACAUUUCUCAUCAUUGACAAAGUUUCUUCAGCUCUCACAGUCACCAAAUUCCCAUUGAUGAUGAACUUGACCCGUUGAUGUAAAGAAGAUGCGACAGCUCGAGCUGCAUGGAUCUAAGGUCUCCCUAGCAAAAUGUUGUAUGAUGGAUGAAUAUCCAUUACUUGUAAUGUGACUUGGAAUGGUUGGGGGCCAAUGACUAGUUCAACAUCAAUACUUCCAAUGAUUGGUCUAGGUGACCCAUCGUAUGCCCUUGCAGUCAUAGUACUUGGCUUCAUGUGAGAGGCAUCAACUGGCAUUUUAUCAAGUACAUGUCUCGGCAAUACAUUGAGAGCGGAACCAUUAUCCAUAAGCACCUUAGCAAUCACACAAUCCUUGCAUUUUACCGUGAUAUGCAAUGGUUUAUUAUGACCGGUCCCUUCAUGAUCCAACUCAUCAUCGGUAAAAUAGAGGUAGUUGGUGGCUUGAAUCCUACCCACCAAAUGUUCUAUGGAGUCUUGUGUGAUAUCCUGAGGAAUAUAUGCUUCAUUAAGAACCUUCUGAAGUGCGUUCCUAUGCAAUUCUGAACUCAAUAUUAAUGACAACAAAGAAAUCCUAGCGGGUGUUUUCUUUAGUUGAUCAACCACACUAUAUUCGCUGUGCUUCAUCAAUUUCAGGAAUUCAUUAGCCUCUUCAUCACUUACUGGCUUGUUAACCUCAUUUGACUUUGUCAAAUCCACCAUAUCCUUUCCUUUGGCUUUUCUUUGGUUUUCCAACUCUUCAGGAGUAAAACAUCUCCCACUCCGAGUGAGUCCUCCUAUUUCCGCAUGGAAAACGGGGGCAGGAUUUGUGCUGUGAAAGGAACAACCAUAAUUAUAGGGUUGGGCAUUAUAGCUUCCGCUAACAGUAUUCAUAGGCUUGGCUAGUAUCAUUUUUGGUGGACCCUUUUCGGUUGGUAUAUAUCUACAAACUUCCACUUUUUGGUUACAACCAGUCAUUGUUCCUACUAACUCAUCUUCUUUGGGUUUCAUCAAUCUUAACAUUCCCAACGUCAUCAUAUUUUCUACCUCCAAAUGAAACUCCUCGCACGAGUCAAUAUCAUGCCCAAGCUGCUGAUGAUAUUUACAAUAUUCAUUUGCAUUCCUUACAGCUUGUGUUUUGACUGGUGUCUUUAGAUAAUUUGUUUGCCUCAACAUCCCAUACAAUCUAUCCAUAGUCACCCUUAAAGUUGUUGUACUUCUCCUUCCUAUCUCCAAGUUAUUAACUCCCCCACUUCCCGAAGCAUGAUUUGGUAGAGGAUUAGAUUUCACAUUUGGAGAUUCAUCAAAAGAAAUCCACCCAGCUUUGAUGAGCUGAAGGAUUUUUCUUUUGAAUGCAACACAUCCAUCAAUAUGAUGACCAACAGCGCCAGGAUGGUAUUCACAUUUUUUAUCGGGUUUAUACCAAAAAGGAAAUGGUGGUUGUAAAGGUUCUAAGGGAACAGGUGCUACCUGGCCAAUACUAAGCAAUCUUUGGUGCAUUUCAGUAAGAGACAUGGGUAAUGGCGGAAGUUGCACUUGCUCUAUUGGAAAACUUCUUCUUGGGCGGUAAGUAGCAUUGGUUUGGUUGUUUAUUGGGUUAUUUUGGGUGUUUGUAGGUGAUGAGAAUUUUAUAUUGGAUAUAGAAGGGGUAGGUGUAAUACUUUUGAAACUGUAAUUAUCUUGGUAGGUGUUCUUCCCUCUACUUUCCCUUUCAACAUUGUGAACUUCCGUUUCUUUCCUUUUUCCAGUAAAACCUCUUUUUUCAGUAGGAUCCACGAUCCUACCUGUCCGAACAGCUUGUUCGAUCCUUUCAGCUAUGACAACCAAAUCAGAGAAAUUUUUUGCAGCACUACCUACCAAGUAUUCAAAGUACGGGGCUUUGAAAGUGUUGGAAAAUAAACCAGUCAUCUCCCUUUCUGACAAUGGAGGAUUUACUUGCGCGGCUGAUUCACGCCACCUUUGGGCAUAUUCUCUUACAGACUCCCUAUUCCCUUUUUCCAUGGCUUGCAGACUUGACCUUUCAGGGGCAAUAUCCAUGUUGAACUUAUAUUGUCUAAUAAAAGCUUCAACCAAAUCCUUCCAUCCUUUAAUCUUGGUAUUAUCUAAGCGCAUAUACCAAGCAAGAGCCGCAUCACUUAAACUGUCUUGAAAGAAAUGGAUCAAUAGCUUCUCAUCAUGGACUACCUCAGCCAUCUUAUUACAAUAUGCUUUAAGAUGGGUGAUCGGGCAUUGAGUUCCAGUAUAUUUAACAAAAUCUGGUACACGGAAUUUUCUGGGAAUAACCACAUUAGGCACCAAACACAUUUCAGCAGCUUUCACCGGAUCAUACAAACUAUUCCCUUCCAUUGCCUUCAUUCUUUCUUCUAAAGCAGCUAGCUUUUCAUGACCAUUUUCCUCCACUAUCUUAUUCCUUUGAGGUUCUUCUUCUGUCAAAACUGCAAUGGGGACCCUCGUUGGAUAUGCUGAUUGGGCAGGUAAGAAAUGAGCAGCAUGCUAAGGUUCAAAUGGCGGAAUAAAAGGAGGCGGAGGCUGAGGUGUAAAUGUUUGUUGAGAAGAUGUUCCUUCUCCAGCUCUAGGCCUCAAAGCCUGUUCAAGCAAGCUGGUAAGCCUUGCUACAUCCUCCUUCAGGCUUUCCAACUCUUUUUGGUGUUGAAUUUCUAACUGAGUUCUCUCUUCAUUUUCCAUUUUCUUCCGUAAACGAGUAUUAUGGAUACGUUUCAGUUGGGGACCUAUAUUUCACCUGUUAUAUGUAGAAUAUGACAAUUUAUAAAACAAAUGUAUGAAAUGCAUGAAUAUGAAUGCAACAUAUUGGAUAUGGAUUUGCUUUUCAUUGGUGACAUAUGGUCGUCAUUCUUUGGAUAUGAGGUUUGAGCUUGAACUUGAUAUCAUCGUUGUGAUGCCGAGAAGAGAUCUGUUUAGCUUUUUGACAUUUCAGCUUCCAGCCAUAUACGCAUAUUUUUGAAUUGAAAAGGUGGGUCUCAGCCCUUUAUUACUUAUUCAGAAGCUUACAAUGAAAAAUUGAUCUAAUCUAUUACAGGAGAAAAAACACUGCCUCUAUUAGCUAUUGCUUUUAAGAAAAGAUCGGUGUUAUCCAAGCUUCUUCGAUACUUUAUUAUAUCACCUCCCACUUGGCGAGCUUCCACUCGUAAUAAAUGGGCUUCUGCAGCUGCUUGACCAACUUGAUCUUGUAGUUCCCUUAUCCUCUCAGUAUGUAUCAAGUUGUUUCUAGACAGAAAGUUAUUGGUGGCAUCCAAUGUUUGAUUAUGUUGUUCUAUCAUUUUCUGGCUUUCCAUAAGCUGUGCAGUCUUUGAUUUUUCUUUGUCCAGCUUAAAUCUCAAUGCUUCCACCUCAGUAUUGUGAUUGUUCCACUCUGCUUUUUGCUCUUCAUGAAUUUUAGUUAAAGCCUCAGCUUUUCCCAAUUGGCCUUUAAACUUAACAAUGUCCGCCCGACGCAUUUUCAAUGUAGCUUGUGUCUUGAUGGCUAAUUCUUCCCAAUGCUUAGCUUUGUCCAUAUAAUACAUCAUAUCCUGAUUAAUUAUUUUUUGUGUUUCCAAGUCAGCCUUUGCCUUUAUCAAGUCUUGACCUACAGAGUCCCUUUCUUCUUCAGCUACUUUCCUUACACCCUUUUCUUUGGCUAGUUGCCGCUCUAAGGACACUCUUUGUUCUUCCUUUGCUUUAAGCUCAGCUUGUAACGAUUUUACUUGUUUUCUUAAUUCUUCUUCACAAUUCACUCUUUUCCUUCGAAGGCCCACAGAUUCAGAAACUUCUGCCGUAUAAGAGACUCCUCUAUUACGCCAUUCAGGAUACUUUUCACUAACUGUAGGAUUCCUUACACCGAUCUCUUUUUUAACUAGCACCAAAGAUCCCCAAUCAUGUUUAAUGCUCUCCAGCAUCUCAUUAUAUGCACCCUUAUAGACUCCGGUGAAUUGAGCUAAGCCAACUGUUCUUGGAAUGCUUUGUAUGCCCCCAAGCUGUCUUGCAACCAAAGCAGACGCAUAACUAAUAUAUCCAGUCACUCCAAUCAAAGGUACCCAAGGCCUCUUCCCACAACCCAUUAGGCAUGUUACAUUUUUCAUCCAAGGAGCUCUCCAAUUAAAAUUGCUUUGUGGAAUUCCUUGCAAUUUUACCCUCCAAUCAUCUUCAGAAAAGUUUUCCCAUUCACUUGAUACAAAUAACUCGAGUGGCUUUUGGUCAAACCACCAAAAAUUUCGGAAUAUUAGUGUUUCAGAUUCUAUAUGGCUUACCAUCCAAAUGAAUAACAAUGGAACACAACAUCUCAUAGAACCUUUCCCAAUCCUUUUGCAAUGAUUGAGAGACAAAAAAGUUUCAGCCAAGAUAGCAGCAGAAGGAUUAAUUUUAGUCUUCUCAUACUCAACAAACAGAUUAGCUGCCUCUAAACUGAUAAUUCCAGCAGUCGAAGGACACAAAAUCAGCCCAAAUAUUCCCAAAGCCAAUAUUCGGUAUACCUCCAAAUUAGCACCAGGAUUAGAUGUUUUAGCAAUCAACAGCUCUUCUAGCCGUUUCCAUCUCAAACCCCCAGAAUUGUUUUUUUCUCUAUAUAAGCUCAUUUGAUGGAUUCCCAGUAGCUUAGCAAGCUCCUAUACAGUAUUCUCAAUCUUUUGAUGAAAAUAAACCUUAUGGAUAUCCUCAGGGAAUUCUGUCAAAACACCGUAUUCUUCAAUGGUAGGAACCAUAUCGACAUUCCCAAAUGUAAAACAUCGAUAAUCAGGAUCCCAAAAAUGAAUUAGGGCUUUUAUGGCUAAUGGCAGUACUGGAACAUUCAGAAGAUGCAAAACUCUCCCAUAUAUCUUAGUAAAUUCUGUCUCAUCAGCCAAGUAUUUGGUGAAUGGAAGCAAACGACUGGCAUCAUUUAUUACGCAUCUCACAUCCUUUAGCAGCGGUAUCCCACUGUCAUCCAGUCUAGGGCAGUCUCCCUCAGUCAUAUGCAAUGAUUCAGAUUCGAGCCCAUACUCAACAGUUGUGAUUUAACGAUUAACGACCAUUAUGUCACCCAAAAACAAUCCUGUAAUGAAGAUGCUAUACGUUAAGCUUGCCUUAGUGAAAUUUACAUAGGGAACAACCUAAAUGGUAGGUUCUAGUCAUUUAAAUGCUUGAGGUAGGUUGCUAUCUAGUCUUGAAAGGUCUUUCGCAUGCUCAGUGAUCUUCCUCGAAAGGUUGAUGUGAGGUUUACAAGUAGCGUGAAAAUAGAGGCCCUGAAUGAUAUCAGUUAGGCAUAUCAACCACUAUCGAGUAAACAAUCAAGCGAAAGUUGGAUGGUUUCACGAGUCUUACCCAGGCUAAAGCCAUUGGGGUACCGCUACUCUCCCACUUAACUUAAAGUUGAUAUAACAGAUGUUUAUUAUGAAAUGCGUGGUGUGUGAAGGCCUAAAUCUAUAUCCAAUAUAUGUAUGAUGACAUAAACAAAUAUGGAUGCUAAAACUAUAAAAAUAAAUAAAAUAAAAUAAACCAAAUAAAAUAAAAACCAAAUAACACAACAAGCAUUUGUAGCAAUUAAAAAAAAUCAAAGGCAAAGCUUAGUCCAUUAGUCCCCAGUGGAGUCGCCAUUCUGUCACACCCGACAUCGCGGCGACCUUAAAAAUUUAAUUCUUUGGAAAAGAACAGAUUUCUGGCAUCCUAUUCUUUAAUGGGGAUAUUCUUUGUUUAAGGAGUCGCCACCUAGUAUUAUGGUCACUAGGAACCCUAACUGGUCAACAGAGAGUCUACGGUUCGGGAUUGGUUACGUAAAAGGGAAGAUAUUAUCACCCCUUAAACGUCCUGCCUGAGGCAGGCUGCACUGCUAGUUUUAUCUUUAAUUGCUAAAUGUUUAUUAGUUUACGAUAUGAUAAUUUACUUAUAAUAUUCCCGACUCUGGCGUCAGUGAAUAUUAAACUACGGAUACUUCCAACUCUGGCGUUGGUCAAUAUCACGUAGCUAUAAAAUAAAUUAGAUUAAUAUUUUUUAUUUUCCCGGCUCUAGCGCCAGUGAAUAAAUAAACAAAAUAAAAUUUGAUUUUUUUACGCAUGCAUAUUUUUUUAUUUUUUUUUAGCUAAAUAAAAUAAAGUACAACAAAUAAAAAUAAUAUAAAUUUAAACCGGUAUUUUUAUUCCUGACUCUGGCGUCAGUGAAUAAACCAAUAAAUUUACAUUAUUUUUAUUCAUCUAAAUAAAUUUAAUUUUUUACGCAUGCACAUUUUUUAUUUUUUAGCUAAAUAAAAUAAAGUACAACAAAUAAAAAUAAUAUAAAUUUAAACCGGUGUUUUUUAUUCCUGACUCUGGCGCCAGUGAAUAAACCAAUAAAUUUACGUUAUUUUUAUUCAUCUAAAUAAAUUUAAUUUUUUACGCAUGCACAUUUUUUAUUUUUUAGCUAAAUAAAAUAAAGUACAACAAAUAAAGAUAAUAUAAGUUUAAACCGGUAUUUUUAUUCCUGACUCUGGCGCCAGUGAAUAAACCAAUAAAUUUACAUUAUUUUUAUUCAUCUAAAGAAAAUAAAAUACAAUGAAUAAAAAUAAUAUAAAUUUAAACCGGUAUUUUAUUCCUGACUCUGGCGUCAGUGAAUAAACCAAUAAAUUUACAUUAUUUUUAUCCAUACAUGCAUAUUUUUUUAUUUUUUAUUUUUUAUUUUUCUGCCUUUUAUUUUUUUAUUUUUUUUAUUAUAUAUAUUUUUUAACUGGGCUGGGCCCGGCCCGGCCCAGCAAAAAAAGAAAAAAAUUGGGGGCUGGGCCCAGCGCAGCCCACAUGGACUGGGCUGGACCCAGCCAGCCCAGCCCGGUCACUGGCCCAAGCCAGUGACCCGGCUGGGUAAAAACUAAAGGCACGCGUGACUUAUUCACGCGUGCCCGAACACUGGUGAAGGUAAUUAAAUUACCUUCACACAGUGUUCUUGCAGCACAUAAUUAUCUUUUGAAAUGAAAAUGCAGAGGAGACGGGGUCAUACCUGCUUCUGGAGACCGAAGAUGCUGCUUCUGGAGACCGAAGAUGUUGCUUCUGGAGACUGAGAUGCUUGCAGCGCUGCUUGAUGAUUUUCGCCUAAUGUUCCUCUGGUUUUCCUUCUGUGAAUACUUAUCUAUGCUUUCCUUCUUGAUUUCUCUGUAACUUCUAAAGCUACAAAGAAGAUUCCGGCUUGUUGUGAGUGUUCUUUGGCUGAAUCCGGGUUUUUUUGUUUGCAGGUUCGGAGACAAUUUCAAGGAUAAUUCUCCUUACCGUGUCCUGCCUUCUUGUCCUCUCCUUCUCUGUGUAUUUGGAUUUGUUCUCUGUUUUCUCUGCCUUUUUCUUUUAACUCUGUUUUUCUGGGUUGAUUUUUUCGGUUCUCUCCCUCCUUUUCUUACUGUGUAUAAUUUCUCUGGUUUUCUUGCUCUCCCUCCUUUUUUUUUCUUUAGGUGUUCUUCUCCCUUUUAUAAACCCAGCCGAUUGCCCCCCAUCAGUCCUGCCUUUGCAGGACUGUUAUCUUCCACGAACGAGAUCGUGGGCGAGAGACGUGGUCCUCGAUUGGAUUGAAUCCGUUGCAGAUUUUCCAGCCUGUUGAAUCGGGAUGGAGAAGACGAACACGACUGUUCUACCCGCAGCGGCGACGUUUCGGCAGCAAUGGAUUUCACCAGCAACGACGCCGUUUCAAGCAACAAAUGGACAUUUUUAUUUUGAUCCCUGAACUGUUGGAAAUUCGGCAAUUGGACCUUAAAAAAAAUUCCACUUAAUUUUGUCCCUUUGGAUUAAUUUCAAUUAAAUCCUUAAAUUAUAACACUGUUUACAAAACAGUCCUUAAUUCCUGGAUUGUUCAAUUUAGCCCUUAAUUAAAUCUUUAACCUUUCAAAAUUGAUCAAUUAACUCUCAAAUUACAUCCUCAAACUUUAAAUUUUGUUGUUUUAACCCCAUUGGCAACUAUAUUUAAUUUUUUUAUUAUUUGUUCAAAAAUUGGUUAUGACAAUGAUAGUAACAAGAAAAUAAAAAUUAAUUUGAAUAAAUGGUAGGAGUUUCUAUUCUGAUAUAUCCAGGGAAGAAGUUCGAAGAAUAGAAUGAAGAUAAAAAAAGAAAAAAUUUGUGUUACAUUUUUAUCUUUUAUAAUUAUAAUUAUUGCAUUGCUAAUAAUUUGCACGAAAAAAUAUUCUUUCUCUGAAAAGGGCUUGAGAGAACCCUAAGCAUAUAUAGGAAUCUCUUAUAGGAAUCUCUUUAUUAAAUCAUCAAAAUAUGAAAGUCUAUUUCCAAAUACUAUUACUACAGUUUAUAUAUAUAUAUAUAUAUAUAUAUAUAUAUAUAGAAACAACUAAAUAGAAAAAUUAUUAUUAUUUAAAUAAAAAACUAGAAAAGCCUGAUAAUAUUAUUGAAUGAAAAAUAAAAUAGAAAUUUAAUAAAUUAAAAGUUAAAAAAUACUGUGUGACUGUUUUGUAUAAAUUCUAAAGUUAAGGAGUCUUUUAUGCUUGGUAAAAUACGUCACAAUAAAGUUAAUAAAUAAGAACACAAGAAAGGAUCAAAGUUAAUAAAUAAUAGCAUGCACGAAACUUCAUGAUAUCCAUGUUUUUCACGUUUUAUACUGCUUUAAUAGAUUGUUACAGCAAGAGAAACGGUACAAGACAGAACAAUAAAGGAGGGGCUGACGUUCAGUGAGGACAUCCUCCAGCUCAUCAGAUCCAGCUCAAGUUGUUGCAACCACCGCGAAAGGAACGCAUUGAUGUUAACGCGUGGACCCAGUCGCUGCAACCAGCACGAAAGUACCACUCCAAAUUCCAGCUCAUUUGUUAUAUAUAUAGUAAUAACAAAUGGUUAGAAUGCUUUAGUCCUUUUCGAGUGGAAAGUGGUGUGAAUGUGGGAAGUACUGUGAGAGCUUUAUGCCACUUUCUAUCUUUGAUGUGAUGGCUUUGGCAAGAAGAAACAAAUAAAAGUUAGUGUUCGCACUGCUUUAGCCCAAGAGUCUUUCAUCGUCGUUGCCUUGGAUUGAUUGAUUGAUUGACAGGAAGAAUUCUGAAUGUUUUUAGAAAAGUCUUCAUUGACAGGAAGAAUUGUGAACGGAAUGAGAUUUUAUUUUGUUUUGUUUUUUAAAUUAACAUGGAAUAUUUCAGUUAUUUCAGGUGAAACGAAACAAAAUUAACAACCUUGAUAAAAACUCUAAAUCACGAGUAAAAUCUGAAUGUUUUUUUAUAGAAAGAAGCAAUCUUCAUUGCUUUAAUAAAUUGUCACAAUAAUAGCACUAAGAGAAGAAUGGGUAGACCCUCGAGCCGGGCCAAAUUUUAAAAUUAUAGUUUAUAUAUAGAAACAACUAAAUAUAUAAAUUAUUAUUUUUUAAAUGAAAAAACCAGAAGAGCUUGAUAAUAUUUAAUAAAAAAAAUAAAAAUGAAAAAAUAUUCCUUUUCAAGUACAAACAAAAUUAUAAAUAUUUAAUAAUACUGUAUAAAAAAUUAAAAAUUCUAACCUAAAUUUUAAAAAAAUUGUCAUUGGCUAAUUGACUAAUUGACUUGUGCUAUCUCUUGUACAUUAUUAGAAAAAUUGUCAUUGACUAAUUGACUUGCAAAAGUAUUUGCAAGAAAGCUAAAGAAUUAGAGUUUUUAACAUUUUUAAAUUUUUAAAAACAUCCAAUUAUUUUUUUAAAAAAUCAAGAAUAAAACAUCAACUAUUUAUAUAAUUGCUAAAUAAAUCUAAUAAAAUAAAUCAGAAAUAACUAGUAAAUAAUCCAAAAAUAACUAGAAAAUAAAUAUAUCUCCUCAAUAUGAUUUGAGUAUGUUUUCUAUCUUAAUUGACUGACUUGCUAAGUAUUUGUUAAGCAUAAACGAACUUUACUCUAAAAGUAUGUUUAAUAUUUUUCUUACUUUUACUAUUUUACUUCAAAGUUUCAAUUUCAUAUUUUUUUACAAUGUACAUGUUAUUUGAUUAGUCUGAUCAUAGGAUAUGUUAAGCAUUGACUCGAAAUUAGCACUUGAAAUUAUGGACUGGAAACUAGCUUAAAUGCUGGCCACCAACCCUUUUUUGCUCGUUCUAUAGGGAGAGUAGAAAAUGUGAUUUCUUAUUCAAGAUCGUGGAUAGUACGCUCAAGAUUAUGGGAAGGUGUUUUUUGUUUACUAGGAGGAUUGGGUCGAAAAGAGGAGAAAAAGUGGCAGCCUUCCAUAUACAUUUAAGGAAACCCAGAUUUUUGUAGAUUUUAGAGACAAAACGAUGUCAUUUUCAUUUUUCUUUCAAUAUCAAAAUUUUUUCUUCCCUUUUCCAGGCAAAACGCACCAUUUCAAUUAGUGUGAAAAGGCAUCAUUUUGCUUUAGGUUUUCUUCAUAUGUAAUAAUGCUAAACACACCAUGUGGAACUAUGUUAAACGCAACAUUUUAGCAUCUUUUGUGCUUCGAUCCCUAGAAUUUUAAUUCUUUUAUUUUGAUCAAUUUUCAACUCUUUUCCUUUAAUUUCAUUUAAUUUGCUAUUAACUGAAUUACAAUAUGACCUUUAAUUUCUUUAUUUUUUUCAUUUCAGUCACUGAUUCUUUCAAUCUUCAUUUUUAAGCCAAAUGAAUUGCAGUUUCAAUUUUCUUUUUUAAUUAAAUCUCUAAUUGAUUUUUUAAAUUGGUUAUUCAUUUCAAACUCAUUCUUGAACUGCUAAUAAUUUUAAUAGAUGUAUGGUACAUCCUAUGAAUUUAUUAGAAAGAAUGUUUAAUGUAAAGUAUGAACCACUUGCCAUUAACUAGCUUUUUCAAUUGGAUCUUUUAUUUAAAUGAAAAGGAAUAUUUAUUUUAAUAUGAAGAAAAUAAUUAUUUUUUUUGAUAUAUCUAGUGAUAAUAAAUUAGAGGAUAGUAACAAGAAAAUAGGGAUUAGAUCGAAUAAAUGGUACCAAUUUGUAUUAUGAUAUAUCUAGUAAUAAUAAAUUAGAGGAUAGUAACAAGAAAAUAUGAAUUAGAUCGAAUAAAUGGUACCAAUUUCUAUUCUGAUAAAUCUAGCCAAAGAGUAGAAUGAAUUAAAAUAUUCUUAAUAAAAAAGAAAAACAGAAAACACAGAAAGAAAAAAAAAAUGCUCUUAAUAAAUAUUAAAGAUAGGUGAAAUUAGAGAACAAGAAAGAGAUAUAGAAUCUCUUUCUUAAGAUUUCUAAAAACUUAAUUACAAUUACAUUAUAAUUUCUUCCUUAAAAUUAUUCAAAAUAUAGUAUUGUAAUUACAUAAUGCUAGGUUUUAAUAUAUAAGUUUUUAUAUUGUUGAAGAGUCUCUCCUAAAACAAAUAAUAAAAAUAUUGUUAUGAACUGUUUUGAAUGAAUUGUUAAUGCACGGACUAUUUUGGGUCCUGACUUGGCUGAUUUAACUUGAAUGUAUUAUUUGAUUGGUCCAAGUAAAGAUCAACUCGAAAUUUCUAUUAAUUUAUGUCGCACCCGACAUCGCGACGGCCUUAAAAAAAAAAAUCAGGUAUAUUGCGGAAAAAGAACAGAUUUCUGGCAUCUUGUUCUUUUAGGAAAAAUGUCUUGUUUAAGGAGUCGCCACCUAGUAUUAUGGUCACUAGGAACCCUAACUGGUCAACAGAGAUUCUAUGGUACGGGACUGGUUACGUAAAAGGGAAGAUAUUAUCACCCCUUAAACGUUCUGCCUAAGGCAGACUGCAUUGCUGGUUUUGUCUUAAAUUGCUAAACAUUUAUUCGCUUAUGCUAUGAUGAUUUGUUUAUAAUAUUCCUGACUCUGGCGCCAGUGAAUAUUCGAUCGCGAAUAAUUCCAACUCUGGCGUUGGUAAAAAUUCCACCCGAAUAAUUCCAACUCUGGCGUUGGUAAAAAUUCUACUACAAAUAAUUCCAACUCUGGCGUUGGUAAAAAUUCAUAGCCACCAAAAAUAAAUUCAGAUUAAUAUUUUUUUAUUCCUGACUCUAACGCUAGUGAAUAAACAAAUAAACUAAAUUUAUGCAUUCACAUAUUUUUUUAUUUUUUAUGUAGUUAAAUAAAAAAAACAAAGAGAAUAAUUAAAUAAGUAUUUUUAUUUUUGACUCUGAAGUCAGUAAAUAAAAAUAAAUUUAUUUUUCAUACAUGCACGUAUAUUUUUUUGCUAAAUAAAAAAAAUAUACGAAUAAAAAUAAUAUAAACUUAAACUAAUAUUUUAUUCCCGACUCUGGCGUGGGUGAAUAAACUAGUAAAUUUAUAUUAUUUUUAUUCAUGCACACACAUAUUUUUUUAUUUUUUUAUUUUUUAUUUUCUUAUUUUUUUUAUAUAUAUAUAUUUGUUUUUUGCUGGGCCUAGCUCAGCCCACAUGGGCUGGGCCCAGCCCAGCCCAGCCCAGCCCAGUCACUGGCCCAAGCCAGUGACCCGGCUGGGUAACAUGAAGCACGCGUGAACUAAAUCACGCGUGCAUUAGCAGAUAAAGGAAUUAAUUGAGAGUGUACAGUAGGAAGUGAAUUAAAAUGAAAAACGGUGAAAGGUGAAAGAGAAACUUACUUACCUGGCUCUGGAUACAACGAAGGCAGCAGCAACAAUGGUUCUGGUCACGGUGGCUUUCCUCUGCUUAUGUUCGUCCCCUGUUUAUUGGCUUGUUCGUCCCCUGUUCUUGUUUCCAGUCGCUCUCCUUUUGUUUCCUUGCUCUCGUUCUCUGUCUUCUGCGUUUGUUUUUCUUCUGUGUUUCCCUGGUUCUCUUUUUGUUCACCUUAUCUUCUCUGCUUUUCCUUUUUUUUUCGUCUGUGUCUGUCCCUUCUCUCUCGGUCUGUUUUUUCUUUUUUUUUCUCUUGCUCUCACAUGCUCUGUCUUUCUCUGUUUUUUUCUGUUCUUGGCUCUGUUUUGGGUUGAUUUUUCUUGUGCAGGGAUGAAGAUGAUGGCGGGGUUGAUCUCUGAUUCCUUUCUGCCUUUCUCCCCUUCUCCCUGGGUAUUUCUUUUUGUGUUUGUGCUCUGUUUUGCUCUGCUUGUUUCCUCACUGAUUUCCGGUUCUUGCUUUUUCCAAUCUUCCCCCUCGUUUUAGUCCAAUUCAUCCCCUGUUUCCAGUGUUCUUUUUCCUGCGUUUUGCUCGGUUCCCCUCCUCCGGUUUGUUCGGUUCUUUGUCCAGCCCCGUUGUUCCCCUGUUUCCUGAGUUUUUCUAUGGGUUCUGCUCCAGUUAUCCCCCCUCUGUUCGUCCCCUUGCCUCUGCUCUGCUCUGCCUUUUAUAGAGCCCGAGCACGCAGAAAAAACCCGUUCCUCUGUUCAUCAAUCCAUGAGCGGGAUCAUGGGCAAGAAAUCAUGGUGUCGUGGUCCACGAUUUGCUGCAAAUUUCCUGUUAAAACGGCUUUUUCCGCUCAAACGUGGGAGACGAUGAACAAUGCUUCCAAAACGGUGCCGUUGUGUCCUUGGGCAUGGCUUUUUUUAAUUUAGUCCCUAAACAGUUUAAACUUAACAAUUGGGAUCCUAAUCAGAAACAAUUGAUUUCUAAUUGUGCCCUUGGAUUAAAUUUAAUUGAAUCCUUGAGUUAUAACGCCAUUUACACAACAGUCCUAGAUGUUUGGACUAUUCAAUUUGGUCCUUGGACUUUAAUUUUCUAGCAAUUUUUCCUUGAAUCAGCUCUAAACUUUGAUAUUCUUUCAAUUACACCCCUGAUUCCUUUAAUUAAUUAAAUCAAAGUUUAAUUAAGUCCUUAAACUCAUUAAUUCUUCAAUUAAACUCUUGAUUUCAUUAAUUAAAAUAAUCUGAAUUUUAAUUAAAUCAAUUCUCCAAUUAAACCCUUGAUUUAAUUAAUUAAAAAGAGUUUAAUUAAAUCUUUAAACUUCCAAUCAUGCUGCCCUUAACCUAAAUUUUAAUUCAUUCUUCAUUUAUUUUAUUUUUAUUUGUUUUUUCAUCAUUUUUUAAAUAAAAAUAAUUAAAAUAAAAAGGUUAAAAAUUGGGUUAUGACAGUUGCCCCCUCUUUAUAAUAUUUACCUUGCAAAGAUAUUUAGAAAAUUUCAUUUUCUUUUAGCUUUGUGUAGUAAAUUUAUAAAGAAAAGUAGAUAAAGAAGUUUUUUUUUUUUUUUUUUUUUGCUUUUUUAGUUUGAAAACUUCAAAAACAGUAGAUUGACAUAAGAUUUUAACAGAGAGAACAAAUCAUUUGGAAGACGGUCCAUUUUUUUGUUGUUUUUUUUUUGUUCGAAAUGGAUCAAAUUGUUUUGGGCAACCUGCCCAAUGAUAAAAGAAACGCGAAGAAUUUCGCGAGUGGUCUAAUUGUUCCAGGCGACCUGCCCAAUGAUUGAAAAAUACGAGAAAUUUUUUUGUGAUGGUAUAUUGUAAUGGGUUAUCGGCCCAGAUGGUCACAUUGUAAUGGGUUACCUGCCCAGUAUAAGAUGGUAUGUUGUAAUGGGUUACCCGCCCAAAUGGUAACAUUGUAAUGGGUUACCUGCCCAGUAUAGGAUGGUAUAUUGUAAUGGGUUACCGACCCAGUUGGUCACAUUGUAAUGGGUUACCUGCCCAGAUGGUCACAUUGUAAUGGGUUACCUGCCCAGUGGAUGGUAUAUUGUAAUGGGUUACCGACCCAGUUGGUCACAUUGUAAUGGGUUACCUGCUCAGGUGGUCACAUUGUAAUGGGUUACCGGCCCAGUUGGUCACAUUGUAAUGGGUUACCUGCCCAGUGGAUGGUAUAUUGUAAUGGGUUAUCGACCCAAUUGGUCACAUUGUAAUGGGUUACCUGCCCAGAUGAUCACAUUGUAAUGGGUUACCUGCCCAGUGGAUGGUAUAUUGUAAUGGGUUACCGACCCAGUUGGUCACAUUGUAAUGGGUUACCUGCCCAGGUGGUCACAUUGUAAUGGGUUACCGGCCCAGUUGGUCACAUUGUAAUGGGUUACCUGCCUAGUGGAUGGUAUAUUGUAAUGGGUUAUCGACCCAGUUGGUCACAUUGUAAUGGGUUACCUGCCCAGUAUAGGAUGGUAUAUUGUAAUGGGCUACCGGCCCAGAUGGUCACAUUGUAAUGAGUUACCUGCCCAGUAUAGGAUGGUAUAUUGUAAUGGGCUACCGGCCCAGAUGGUCGCAUUGUAAUGGGUUACCGGCCCAGUUGGUCGCAUUGUAAUGGGUUACCUGCCCAGUUGGUCGCAUUGUAAUGGGUUACCUGCCCAGUGGAAGAAUACGAGGAUUUUUUUUUUUAAGACAUGGUAAGGCUCGAAGGCGCUUUUAUUCAAUAGAUGGAAGCUCAAAGGAAAUGAGGGCUCGAAGACGCACUCAAAAGGAGGUAGGAUAGGAAAUGCACUACCUUUGAUGGUCGAGGGCUCGAAGGCGCGCUCGAAAAGAAACAAGACGAGGGCUCGAAGGCACACUCGAAUGGGGAUAAGACGAGGGCUUGAAGGCGCGCUCGAAUGGAGAAUGAAAGGUGGUGGGAAAAUACAUAUAUUUUUCAAGUGGCCUAAUUUUCAUGGGCGGCUUGCCCAGGUUGAAAAAUUCUCAAAAGUGAAAAUUUUUCAAAAGCAAUUUCAAUGUUCGCCAUUUCAAGUUGGCCUUCCGCUUGAUGGAUUCUGUUAGAAUUUUCUCUAAUAAAAUUUGCAAAACUCAUUGUCCAAUGUCUCAAAGUUUAAAUGAUAUGCAUGCACCUGAUUUGAAAUAUAGGCCCCCCAUUUCUUCUUAGCCUUCUCGUUGCUUGGUUGGUGAGAUCUUGCUAUCUGAUUUGAGUCAUCUUUGUCGUUUGGCUUUCUAGCCCACUCGAGUUAGCCCAUAUAAGACUUUUUCUAGAUUUGUUUGCACAACUCAGCCUUUAUGGUACCCAUCGUGACCCACAUGCUUGCUAAAGAUUUUCGGACUCGUCAAAUAAUUUGAGAGGAUCAUUCAUUACCCCUCGUCUCAAUGCUAAAAACAUUCGGUGUCACUAGCUGAAAGGAUCAAACGGUCUUUUGUAAACCAAAAUGCCCCCUUGUCUUGUUGUAAGGGAUGAUAGAUUUUCCUUAAACAUAAUGUUGUCCCCUUGUACUGGUCAUUGCCCCCAAGUGCGCUAUGUCACUGACUUAGAUGAAUAAUGAUUUUAAGAGGCCAUUCUCUCAUUUGGUGAAGGAAUAUGAGUCUAGAAUAAAUCUUGAAAUCUUGAUCUUGCAUUUUAAAAACAAAAAUUAUUUCGAUGUGAGUCUAAAAUAAUUUGUUUUUGAAAUCUUGCAACUCCUUGGUUAUUUUCUUUCUUGGAAAAGAGAUUAUUUGCUCUUGUGUUUGGUAAUGAGGUCUUUGAGGAAAAUAUGUCAUGAGAUGACCUUUUGUUUCGAAGUGAAGGGCUCGAGAAAAAGCUCGAGGUUUUAUAUGAGAAAAACUUGUCUUUUUUAGCAUUUAUUUUUAUCAGCAUGAAUAAUAAUGAGUAGUUUAUUCUUGAUGUCAUGAAUCUUAUGAAAAAAUAUUCUUUGCAUUUUGAGAGCAUUGUUUAUUGUUCUAAGUUGCUUGCUUGCUUGAUUAGAAAGGACUUCUACAGGCAUGUAACGUAGGCUGUGUUUUUUAUUUUUUUGCUAUGAAAGAAAAGGAUUCAUAAGGCUCAAAGAGUGUUUCAGGGUUUCAAAGAUUGAAGAUCACGAUCAACAGUUUGACUCUUGAUGUCAUUCAUAUUUUCUUUUGCCGCUCUUCUUUGAUUUGCCCCUUUUUUUUUAUAGCUUUGCUAGAGCAUACUCACUUUAUCUUGGUUAUCAUUUUUUUCUUGUGAUUUGGGUAUGCCCCCUAGCAUUUGAGUUUCUUGGGCUCUUUAUGCCUUUUUGGCUUUCUCACGGCUUUUUCUCAUUUCACAUUGAAAUUUUCUCUUGCCCCCCAGUGUAGGGUGUGAUCUUAGUCAGGAUUUUUAAUGAAAGAAAAAUUAUUCAGGCUCAAAAAGGGAUCGCAAGGGAUGUACUUAUUUUAGAAAGUGAAAGGAAUAACAAAGAUGGCCUUUCCUCAUUUUAAGCGCAAGCAGUUAAGAUCAAUAAACUUUGACCUCAUCUAGUGUGAUGGUUUGGUCUUUGCAAAGAUGCAUUUCAUAAAUCAUGAGCAACGAAUUCUCUACAUACCAUUAUUCAUACAUUUAAAAACACAUGAUUCAAGAGUCAUGGGGUAAGUGUCUUUCUUUUUCUUUUUCAUAAUUUUUAUGGUUUAUAAUUUAGUCACCUCAAUGAUGAAGCUGCUUGAUUCACUUGUCAUUCUACAAGUAGAAUGUGAAAAAUAUCAUUUUUGAAUGAACAUCAAAUUAUUUUUGAAAUCAAAAUACCAGAUCAAAUUUUCAAAACUCCAAUAGGGAAAUGGAUUUUGGUACAAGAGAUGAAUUGCGUCUAUGAGAUCACGUAAGGCUUCAAAGGUGGAUUCGUGAGUUCUUAUAAGAAAAACUCUCUUAAUCAGAAUAAUGCUUGGUCGUGAACACGAUUGAAUGACAAACUCAAUAUUUCAUUGAAGCUUAGGAAAAGAAGUUCAACAACAAAGAUCUUAUGCCAACAUGAAUACUGGCAUGAUAACACAUAAAGGAGCUAAACAUUUAGUGAUCAUUCUCGACCUAAUAUCACCAUAGCUUUCUCUUCAAGGUAGUUGAUUUCUAGGAGUCGGCGUAAAGAAAUUAACCAUAGGAACAGUAAGAGCCUUGGCCACCCCCUUCAGUGUCCUUUCCUUUUUCGGUGAAACCGUUCUUUUCAGUUGGAUCAGCAAUUUUACCUAACCCAAUGGCUUGUUCAAUCCUCUCAGCUACAACAACCAGGUCAGUGAAAUGUUGUGCAGAGCUUCUAACCAAGUAUUCAAAGUACGGAGCUUUAAAGGUGUUGGAAAAUAAACUGAUCAUCUCUUUUUCCAACAUGGGAGGAUUAACUUGUGCAGCUACCUCACUCCAUCUCCGGGCGUAUUCCCUUAUGGACUCCUUGUUGUCCUUCUCCAUAGCUUGCAAGCUUAACCGAUCAGGGCCCACGUCUAUAUUGAACUUAUAUUGCCUCAUAAAGGCAUCCACUAAAUCCUUCCAUUUUUUAACCUUGGUAUUGUCCAACCGCAUAUACCAAGUGAGGGCAACAUUACUCAGACUGUCUUGAAAGAAAUGAAUCAGCAGUUUCUCAUUAUCAACCACCUCAGCCAUUUUGUUGCAGUAUGCUUUGAGAUGAGUUAUAGGACAUUGAGUUCCCGUAUAUUUAACAAAUUCGGGCACUCUAAACUUUUUAGGAAUGACAACGUUGGGCACCAAACACAUCUCAACAGCCCUUAUAGGAUCAUAUAGGUGAAUUCUCUCAAAUGCCCUCAUCCUUUGCUCUAGGGCAAUGAAUUUGUUCAGAUCAUCUUCUUUUACCACCUUGCCUUUUUGAUAUUCCUUCUCUAUAGAAUCAAUGGUGGACAAAACUCUCGCAGGGUAUGCUGGCUGGAAAUGCAUAGGUUGUUGAAAUUCAGAUGACACCCUAUUUGCCCCCAGAUUCUGUGGAUCGAAAUGAGUUACAUGCAUAUCUUCAGGCUGAGCUAUAAGUGUUGCUUUUCCGGAUUUAUUUCUCAAGACCUGCUCGAGUAGACUAGUAAUCCUUGUGACUUCUUCCUUAAGAUUGUCCACCUCUUUUUGAUGUUGGGCUUCCAACUGGGCUCUUUCUUCGUUUUCCAUUUGUCUUUUUCUCGAACGAGUGUUAUACAUGGGUUUCAAUGGGGAACCUAUAUUUCAACCUGUUAAAUGUAAAUCAUGCAAUUAUGCAAAAAUGCUGAAGCAAUUAGAAAAAAUGCAAAUGAAAUGCGGACUUGCCCUUUUACGGGAUGACAACCUAAUAAACAGAUCCUAAUUGUUGAGUGCAUCAAAGGGUUGGUCAUUAUCUAGUUUUAAAGGGUCUCUCGCACGCUCAGUGAUCGUCCAUGAAAGGUCGAUAUGAGGCUUACAAGUAGUGUGAAGAUAGAGGCCCUAAGUAAUAUCAGUUUGGCAUAUCAACCACUUCCAAGUAAACAAUCAAGCGAGAGUUGGAUGGUUUCACGAGUCUUACCCAGGCUAAAGCCAUUGGGGUACCGUUACUCCCCCCAUUUAUCCUAGAUUUUAAGGUAUGUGCUUUUAACGUGAUGCAUGACAAUAUAAACAUAGAUGCAUGCUAAAGCAGUAAAUGCAAGAAAAAUAAACAAAUAAACACAACAUAACAAAUAUUAUAGCAAUUGACAAACAAAAGGCAAAGCUUAGUCCAUUAUUCCCCAGUGGAGUCGCCAUUCUGUCGCACCCGACAUCGCGGCGGCCUUAAAAAAAAAAAUCAGGUAUAUUGCGGAAAAAGAACAGAUUUCUGGCAUCUUGUUCUUUUAGGAAAAAUGUCUUGUUUAAGGAGUCGCCACCUAGUAUUAUGGUCACUAGGAACCCUAACUGGUCAACAGAGAUUCUAUGGUACGGGACUGGUUACGUAAAAGGGAAGAUAUUAUCACCCCUUAAACGUUCUGCCUAAGGCAGACUGCAUUGCUGGUUUUGUCUUAAAUUGCUAAACAUUUAUUCGCUUAUGCUAUGAUGAUUUGUUUAUAAUAUUCCUGACUCUGACGCCAGUGAAUAUUCGAUCGCGAAUAAUUCCAACUCUGGCGUUGGUAAAAAUUCCACCCGAAUAAUUCCAACUCUGGCGUUGGUAAAAAUUCUACUACAAAUAAUUCCAACUCUGGCGUUGGUAAAAAUUCAUAGCCACCAAAAAUAAAUUCAGAUUAAUAUUUUUUUAUUCCUGACUCUAACGCUAGUGAAUAAACAAAUAAACUAAAUUUAUGCAUUCACAUAUUUUUUUAUUUUUUAUGUAGUUAAAUAAAAAAAACAAAGAGAAUAAUUAAAUAAGUAUUUUUAUUUUUGACUCUGAAAUCAGUAAAUAAAAAUAAAUUUAUUUUUCAUACAUGCACGUAUAUUUUUUUGCUAAAUAAAAAAAAUAUACGAAUAAAAAUAAUAUAAACUUAAACUAAUAUUUUAUUCCCGACUCUGGCGUGGGUGAAUAAACUAGUAAAUUUAUAUUAUUUUUAUUCAUGCACACACAUAUUUUUUUAUUUUUUUAUUUUUUAUUUUCUUAUUUUUUUUAUAUAUAUAUUUGUUUUUUGCUGGGCCUAGCUCAGCCCACAUGGGCUGGGCCCAGCCCAGCCCAGCCCAGCCCAGUCACUGGCCCAAGCCAGUGACCCGGCUGGGCAACAUGAAGCACGCGUGAACUAAAUCACGCGUGCAUUAGCAGAUAAAGGAAUUAAUUGAGAGUGUACAGUAGGAAGUGAAUUAAAAUGAAAAACGGUGAAAGGUGAAAGAGAAACUUACUUACCUGGCUCUGGAUACAACGAAGGCAGCAGCAACAAUGGUUCUGGUCACGGUGGCUUUCCUCUGCUUAUGUUCGUCCCCUGUUUAUUGGCUUGUUCGUCCCCUGUUCUUGUUUCCAGUCGCUCUCCUUUUGUUUCCUUGCUCUCGUUCUCUGUCUUCUGCGUUUGUUUUUCUUCUGUGUUUCCCUGGUUCUCUUUUUGUUCACCUUAUCUUCUCUGCUUUUCCUUUUUUUUCGUCUGUGUCUGUCCCUUCUCUCUCGGUCUGUUUUUUCUUUUUUUUUCUCUUGCUCUCACAUGCUCUGUCUUUCUCUGUUUUUUUCUGUUCUUGGCUCUGUUUUGGGUUGAUUUUUCUUGUGCAGGGAUGAAGAUGAUGGCGGGGUUGAUCUCUGAUUCCUUUCUGCCUUUCUCCCCUUCUCCCUGGGUAUUUCUUUUUGUGUUUGUGCUCUGUUUUGCUCUGCUUGUUUCCUCACUGAUUUCCGGUUCUUGCUUUUUCCAAUCUUCCCCCUCGUUUUAGUCCAAUUCAUCCCCUGUUUCCAGUGUUCUUUUUCCUGCGUUUUGCUCGGUUCCCCUCCUCCGGUUUGUUCGGUUCUUUGUCCAGCCCCGUUGUUCCCCUGUUUCCUGAGUUUUUCUAUGGGUUCUGCUCCAGUUAUCCCCCCUCUGUUCGUCCCCUUGCCUCUGCUCUGCUCUGCCUUUUAUAGAGCCCGAGCACGCAGAAAAAACCCGUUCCUCUGUUCAUCAAUCCAUGAGCGGGAUCAUGGGCAAGAAAUCAUGGUGUCGUGGUCCACGAUUUGCUGCAAAUUUCCUGUUAAAACGGCUUUUUCCGCUCAAACGUGGGAGACGAUGAACAAUGCUUCCAAAACGGUGCCGUUGUGUCCUUGGGCAUGGCUUUUUUUAAUUUAGUCCCUAAACAGUUUAAACUUAACAAUUGGGAUCCUAAUCAGAAACAAUUGAUUUCUAAUUGUGCCCUUGGAUUAAAUUUAAUUGAAUCCUUGAGUUAUAACGCCAUUUACACAACAGUCCUAGAUGUUUGGACUAUUCAAUUUGGUCCUUGGACUUUAAUUUUCUAGCAAUUUUUCCUUGAAUCAGCUCUAAACUUUGAUAUUCUUUCAAUUACACCCCUGAUUCCUUUAAUUAAUUAAAUCAAAGUUUAAUUAAGUCCUUAAACUCAUUAAUUCUUCAAUUAAACUCUUGAUUUCAUUAAUUAAAACAAUCUGAAUUUUAAUUAAAUCAAUUCUCCAAUUAAACCCUUGAUUUAAUUAAUUAAAAAGAGUUUAAUUAAAUCUUUAAACUUCCAAUCAUGCUGCCCUUAACCUAAAUUUUAAUUCAUUCUUCAUUUAUUUUAUUUUUAUUUGUUUUUUCAUCAUUUUUUUAAAUAAAAAUAAUUAAAAUAAAAAGGUUAAAAAUUGGGUUAUGACAAUUUACAAAAGAAAUUUCCUAGUACUUUCUACUGUAUAUAAUUUGAAAAAUUGUGACUGACCAACUUACUUGCAAAGUAUUGGCAAGAAAGUUAAAGAAUUAGAGUUUUUAAAUAUUUAAAAUUAUAAUUUUAAAUUCUAAGAAAAAAAUCAAUUAUUUUUAAAAUUGUUUUCAAAAAUAAAAGCAUCAACUAUUUAUAUAAUAGCUAAAUGAAUCUAUUAAAAUAAAUAAAAAAAUAACUAGUAAAAUCAAGUGAAUAAUCCAAAAAUAACAAGAAAAUAGAGAUAUUUCCUAAAUAUGAUUCCAGUUUGUAUUUGCUAACAUAAAUAGCAUACAUGAACUUUAUUAUAAUAGUAUAUUUGAUAUUUAAAUAAAAACUUAUAGAUAUUAUAUGGGUUGGAAACCCAUUUUUUAUUAAAUUUUAAAUUUUAUAUGUUUAAAAAUAUUUUUUUAUAUUUUUUAAUUAUUUUAAUGUGAUAAUAUUAAAAAUAAAUAAAUAAAAUUUUUCUAACUUUUACUACUUCUGACUUGCUUUGACUCGAAAUUCGCGGUGCUUUCUCCUGCAAAUGAAUAGAAAGCAUAUCAUUUCUCCUCCUCCUAUAUGAAGAAUACAACUCGCUUUGAAACCUCAAUUAAAUUUCCUUGGUUUACUCUUCAGAUUACUUCUCCUAAACUCCUUUGUUCAUUUUCUUUUUUAUUACCCCUUCAUGCCAAUUGUUAGAUACUAAAAACAGCAAGAACUGUACUCAAUUAGCAAAAAAUAGAUUUUUGACUAGAAAAAUUCUAUCAAAUUCUCUACUUUAUUAGUGUUCAUUUUCAUUCUUUUUUAACAUAUCUUUUCCAAUUGUUUAGAAAACUUUUAUGUCAAUCAAUAUACACCUACUUUCAACGUUUUACACUGCUUUAGUCCUAAAAAAUAAUUCUAGAUAUAGUUGUAUUGUAAUAGAUAUUAUAUUUCAAACUAUUUUUGAAAUAUAUUAAAGUAAUAUAUUUUUUUAAAAAAAUAAUUUUAACAUCGCUACAUUAUAAUAAUAAAAAUAAUAAUUUAAAACAAUAAAAAAAUUUAAAAUAUUUUUAAAAUAUGAUUUUACUGCACUCCAAAACAUACCAUCCUCCCUCAGCAACCACCACGAAAUUACCACUCUAAAAACUCUUUGACAAUUAUUGCUUGCUCUUUGACUAUUAUUGCUUGGCUAAUGAUUUGCAAGAAACUUUCUCAAUUUCCUUCUAUUUUCUUUUUAUCAUGGAAACUUUAAGUCACAUCUACGCCUACCACGAACUACCAAUAAGUAAAUUUCAAUAUGUAAUUGUGUAGGUUGAAUUAAAAGUGCUUUAAUGAAGUAUGUUAAAAAAUAAUAUAAAUUAUAUUUUAGAUUUUAUUUUAAUAAUUUAAAUUUCUAGAUGAAUAGAUUUUUUACAAAUAAAAGAUAUAGUUUUACGAUAAAAUGCAUUUUUUGAAAUGAAAUUAUAUUAAAUUAAACAUGCUCGAGAUUGUUUGAAUUAUUAAUUAAUUAUAAUUAACUUUAUGUUUUUUGAGGAAACAAAUGGGAAGGACAAAAUUAUCUACCCCAAACGAUAGACCUAGCCCACUUUUCAAACCAAUCCCCAAAUAAAUAGAAUGAUGGUCUCAUAAGUUGCUUUUUUUCUUUCUAGGCCGCCAAGCAGUUUGGUCUCCCUCACUAGACCACUUUAGCACAAGAAUCACACUAGAGGAUUUAAAAGUAGUUUGAAGUAUCAUUAAACCUGAUAAAAAUGAAUAACUGAUAAUAAUAUAGUUGGGAUUUUAAAAAAAAAUUCAUAAAAAACUAUAUAAAAAGCAAUUUAAAACCAAUUAAUCUUAAAAACACCAAAAUGAAACAUGCCAUGAAAAACAAAUUAAAAAAAAACAAAAUACUUGAAAAAAAUUAAUUCAACCCUUUUUCAUAUAAAAAAAAGUAAUUGGGUAUUAAUUUACGGUAAAAAGAGUAUAUUAAUGCAAAAAAAAAAAAAAAGAGUUUGAGGGUAUUGAUUUUAUUACUUGUUAGGUAACUAUGUAAUCUAAUCUGUUGAUGUGGAAAAUAGCACUAAGUUUUUGGCAUUGCCCAUUGGUGAGAAGCAAAAGCAGUAGCAGUCCAUCAGGACCAUCACUAUCGUAUCGCUUCGCCGUACUGUUUAGCUUCUUGGCAUUGUUCGAAGGAACGCAGAAAUACAUUCCAAGUGCGAAAGUGUAUUAUUGUCAUAAAGUUUUUCAAACCUCCACUAUAGAGAGAGAAAUAAAUAAAAAGCGCAAAGGCAACUAUACUAAAGGUCAGUUUUUCACUCUCUGAAAAAUCCUUAAAAAAUCUUUUUUAGUUUAUUUGUAAUUAAAUUAAAGAAAAAUAUUAAUUAGUAAUUUUACAUUUUUUUCUAUACUAUAAUUAUCAAAUAACCCUUAAAAAAUUUCAUUUUAACCUUUAUUCUCUCUUCUUCUUUUUCAAUUCAUUUGUUAAUUUGAUUUUUUUUUAAUUUUGCUUUUUGAUUCAAAAUUUUAGUUUAUCCUCUCAAUUUUUUUUCAAAUAAUGUUCUUAUUCUCUUAAUUGCUAUUUUUUUAUCCUUUAAUUUUUUUAUUUUAUUAUUCGACAAUUCAUUAAUUGGAUCUGAUCUCAUUGGUUUUUUCUAUUGUUUCUAAACCCUACCCAAUAAUCAAUCCAGGAUAAUUAUCGAGUUACGAGUCGAGUGGGUUGACUCGAGUGAACCCAGACAACCAAAUCCUUUUGUUUUAUAAAAAGCCAAAAUGAUACCAAUUUUUUAUUUUUAAAAAAUAAUAAACGAGUUUUGACCCUGUUUCGGCUAGAUUUUCUUAGGAUUAACUAAAACAUUUAUCAACCCAAGUUUUUUAUUGUAUUACAUUAGAUUAAUUCUCUCUCAAUUAUUUUUGAAACUCGUGCGUUUUAAACCAAAGGUCACAUGGGACACAAUUUCUUUGUGCUUUGUACUGUACAUAAUUUGAAAAACUGUGAUUAACCGACUUACUUGCAAACGAAGCUAAAGAAAAAAAUCAAUUAUUUUUUUUUAAAUUCAAAAAUAAAACAUCAACUAUUUAUAUAAUAGCUAAAUGAAUCUAUUAAAAUAAAUAAAAAAUAACUAGUAAAAUCAAGUAAAUAAUUCAAAAAUAACAAAAAAAAAUAGAGAUAUAUUUUUUAAAAACUUUUAUCUUAUAUGGGUAGGGGUUGCCAUGCAACUUAACCGGGAUCACCAUGAUUGUCGAGUAAAGUAAAUAAAUUACUUAACCGGGAUCACCAGAGGAGUUAUUUGCCAAGAUUGAGUUAUAUAACAGUUUAUAAAUCAUGCUAUCAUCUCCAUCACCAUAUAUAAAGCUAGACAAAAUAGGAUAAGAGGGGAUUAAAUUUAGUUUUAGAAUAUAUUUGAGAAUAUAGUUGAACCAUGUUUUUUAAAAUGUUUUUAAAUUGUUUUAAUAUGCUGAUGUUAAAAAUAAAUUUUAAAAAUUAUUAUUUUAAUAUAUUUAUAAUUAAAAAAUAUUUUAAAAAGUAAUUUUCAUCACAUUCUCAAAUUAGUUAAAGUUUUUCAAAUGAAUAGAUUCAUGUCGAUGACACUCUCUAGUCAGUUUUGAGAAUUUUAAAUCCAAACAAGUGAAUUUAUAUUAUAUAUGGAUCAAACAAGCAUGCUUGUACAAUAAUUUCUCAUACUCAAUAGAAAUUUGGGUUUAUCAUUAGGGUAAGACAAACCGAAUAAUUCUUUUAAUAUUUAAAAAUUAAAAAAUACUGUGUAGCUGUUUUGUAUAAAUUGUAAAAUUGAGUCUUUUGUGCUUGGUAAAAUACGUCACAAUAAAGUCAAUAAAUAAUAACACAAGAAAGGAUCAAAGUUAAUAAAUAAUAGCAUGCUUUAAUAGAUUGUUACAGUAAAAGCACAGAGAGAAGAACGGUUCAAGACAGAACAAUAAAGUUAACGCGUGGACUCAUUUGUUGCAACCAGCACGAAACUCCAGCUCAAUUAUAUGUUAAAAAAUAAUAAAGUAUGUUUUAAUAGCAUGCUUUAAUAGAUUUAAUAAAGUAUGUUAAAAAAUAAUAUAAAUUAUAUUUUAGAGUUUAUUUUAAUAAUUUAAAUUUAUAGAUGAAUAGAUUUUUUACAAAUAAAAGAUAUAGUUUUACGAUAAAAUGCAUUUUUUGAAAUGAAAUUAUAUUAAAUUAAACAUGCUCGAGAUUGUUUGAAUUAUUAAUUAAUUAUAAUAAACUUUAUGUUUUUAGAGGAAACAAAUGGGAAGGACAAAAUUAUCUACCCCAAACGAUAGACCUAGCCCACUUUUCAAACCAAUCCCCUGGUAAAUAGAAUGAUGGUCCCAUAAGUUGCUUUUUUUCUUUCCAGGCCGCCAAGCAGUUUGGUCUCCCUCACUAGACCACUUUAGCACAAGAAUCACACUAGAGGAUUUAAAAGUAGUUUGAAGUAUCAUUAAACCUGAUAAAAAUAAAUAACUGAUAAUAAUAUAGUUGAGAUUUAAAAAACAAUUCAUAAAAAAACUAUAUAAAAAGCAAUUUAAAACCAAUUAAUCUUAAAAGCACCAAAAUGAAACAUGCCAUGAAAAACAAAUAAAAAAUAAAAAAAAUACUUGAAAAAAAUUAAUUCAACCCUUUUUUCAUAUAAAUAAAGUAAUUGGGUAUUAAUUUACGGUAAAAAGAGUAUAUUAAUGCAAAAAAAAAAAGAGUUUGAGGGUAUUGAUUUUAUAUUUUUUAUUAACGUGGGUGUCCGAGUCAGUUUACAUGCACCUCGACUAAUUCUACGGGUCCUGAAGCUAACUACCAUGUAAGUCUCCAGUGGUCCUGAGAUUUAUGAGACUCGAACUGGUAAUCUUUAGGAAGCAAACUCAGGAGCUAGUCAGUUAAGUUACCCUGAGGAUUGGAUCUAGAUUUUAUUAAGAAAAAAACCGGUCGAUCCACCGAGUCAAUCUGGAACCCGGGUGACCCGACAAAACCCGGUAGAAACUUUUUUUUUUCAAAUGUGUUUUUUCUUCUAGCUAGAGAUUCAUCUUUUUUCAUACAUGAAAAUAAAAAAAAAUAAAAAUUUAAAACAAUAAAAAUUUUAAAAUAUUUUAAAAAUAUAAUUUUAUUGCAAUCCAAAACACACCCAUGCUCCCUCAGCAACCACCACGAAAUUACCACCCUAAAUUCGGGCUCAAUAAUUUAUUCCUUAGCAAUUAUUGCUUGCUCUUUGAAAAUUAUUGCUUGGCUAAUAAUUUGCAAAAAACAAUUGCUUUUUUUCUUUCCAGCCAGCCAAGCAGUUUGGUCUCCCUCACUGGACCACUUUAGCACAAGAGAUGUCGUUAAAAGAGUACCAUAAUGCAAAAAAAAAAAACAAAAAAAGGAGUUUGAGGGUAUUGAUUUUAUUAUUUGUUAGGUAACGAUGUAAUCUAAUGUGUUGAUGUGGAAAAUAGCACAAAGUUUUUGGCAUGGCCAUUGAUGAGAAGCAAAAGCAGUAGCAGUCCAUCAGGACUAUCACCAUCCUAUCGCUGACAUUCCAUGUGUGAAAGUGUAUUGUUGUCAUAAAGUUUUUCAAACUUCCAAUAUAGAGAGAGAAAUAAAUAAAUAAAUAAAUAGAAAGCGCAAAGAAAACAAUACGAUAAAUUUAAACUAUACUAAAGGUCAGUUUUUCACUCUGUGUGAAUCUACAGUGAAAGCUUGAUUUUGCACAUGGUAGAUAAAUUUAGGUUUAGGAGUAUAAUUUUUUUUUUUAUAUAAUUACACUAAAGAAGAAUAUUAAUUGGUAAUUUUACAUUUUUUUAUAAUAUAAUUAUCAAAUAACCCUUAAAAAAAUUCCUUUUAGUUUAGGGUUUUUUUUUUCAUCUCAAUUACUUAACUGUCCCUAAAAAAUAAACUCCUUUACUAUGGAUGUAAGGUCAUUUUAGAUUUUUGGCUAUAUUUUUUUUAUUAACGUGAGUGUCUGGAUAGUUUAUACACACCUCGACUAAUCUCAUGGGCCCUGAAGUUAACGAUCAUGUAAGCUUCUAGUGACCCUGAGGUUUGUGGAACUCGAACCAGUGAUCUUGAGGCAACAAACUCAAGGUCUAACCAGUUGAGUUAUACCCCUGAGAAUUGGGUCUAGAUUUUAUUAUUUGUGAGGUAACUAUGUAAUCUAAUCUGUUGAUAUGGAAAAUAGCACAAAGUUUUUGGCAGUCCAUAGUCUUACAGCUAGUACUAAAGUUUUUUUUUUUCUAAAUUAAAGAUGAAUAUUUUUUGUUGGCAUCAAAUAAUUUAAAAUGAGAAUUACAGAGCACAGGGUUUAAUCAAAUAUUAAAAGAGAAGAUUUUGUGGAAUUAUUAGAUAAUUAAAAUCAUCACUAAUCUCCUUUUUUCAUUUUUUUUUAAUUAUUAUUAUCCCUGGCAUGCACGAAACAUUGAAAACCGCAAUUUUUCAUGAUAAAAUCCAAAGGAUUGGUACUUUGGUGUUUGUGGGGCUGGUAAAUGGAAGAACACGUGUUUGUGGGGCUGUUAUUUCAUUCAAGGUGCGUACUUUGGUGUGUAUCACGUGUUUGUUGCAUUGACUGAAUAUGAUAGUGGGAACUUAUUUAUCAAGAAUUAAAGCAGUAGUUGCUUAUGGAUAAUUAGCUCUUCCAUCCAGCAUUAAUUCUAUUAUCAAUUAUAGUUCAGUCAUAAAGUUUUUCAAAGAGAGAAAUAAAAAGGAAAAGGAAAAGGAAACAACCCCCACUCCAUCUUUCCCUUCUUUCCAUGAAAAAAGGAAACACCCCAUAUGAUUUUGAUUUUCAAUCAGUGUGAGUGAGAAAGAAAGAGAGGAUUAAAUUUGAUUUUGAUUUCGAAGAGAGAAUUAAUUAAAUUUAGAAUUAAUUCUAUUAUGUAUUUAAAUGUGUUUAGUUACCUUGUAAACCGUAUGGUAGAGUCCCUCAAAUAUUCUGGCCACAGCAAUAUUUUAGGUGGAUUGUAUGGGGCUUGCAACCACUCUAUUAUGCCAAGCAAUAUUUUGUCAUAGAACCCUUUGGCCCUCUAAAUUACCCAAAAAGGACAAUAAUUGAGCACAAGUGGUACAGGUCAGGGUUAAACUCAGCUUGCUAGAGCCAGUUCUCAAUUUUAGGCACCAGUUCUCAAUUGAAUUUUAGCAAAAUCAAGGAUUCAAGAAUUGGCCUCUGUAACAUGGUUUGUAUUCUGAGCCAAUCUGGGCUAGGAUUUGAAACAAAUGUAGCUAUUUUUUCUCCUUUUAUUAUUAAAAAAUAUAUUCAUGGAUUAAUUUUCGUAUAAUUUAAGAAAGUAAGUCCUUUAAUCAAAUUUUAGAUGUGGCCAUCCUCAAUGUGUUAAAAGUAAAUGUUAAUUACCAAGUUGUUGCAAAAAGACAUUCCCUUUCUUGUCAUAAAGUUUUAAAGAGCUAUCAAAAACGUACUUCGUGUAUUAUUGUCGUAAAGUUUUUCAAGCUUCCAAUAUAGAAAGAGAAAUAAAAAGGAAAAGGAAAAGGAAAAGGAAACAACAAGGAAUCUUUCUUGUGCGCUUUCCCUUCUUCACAUGGCUUCCUCGAUCGAUGUAAAAAAGCAAACGCCCCAUUUGAUUUUCAAUCAGUAUGAGUGAGAAAGAAUGAGAGUCCUCUCUUUCCUUGCUUUUUUUAACGCGUGGACCCAGCAGUGGUUGCCACCAAAAUCCUUCCUCAAUAUUUACCAGUACUACACGCUUGAGAAAUUUCCUUGCUUUUUUUCCUCUACGUACUGUUACCUUUUACCAGAUUUCCCAGAAUAGCCCCUUCGUGGGCUACUUUAUUCUUCACGGGUUCUUCUAUUGCCAGAUUCUCUCAUGCAAUUAAGUUUUUCUUUCCGUUUCCAAAUUUGAUAGCCCCAAAACCUCAUCAUUGAGUAGGUUUUGUUUUAGUUUAAGCGUGAUGGAGACGACACUAAAAAUAACAACAACAAAAAAACAGUUUUGGUGUAAAUAUCAAUGGAAGGUUUGGGUGCAGUCCUGUUUGUUUUUGUAUUUUAAAAAUAUUUUUAAAAAAAUUAAAUUUUUUUUAUUUUUUUACUUCAAAUUCAUAUAUUUUUUAGCCAUUUUAGAUCAUUUUGAUGCGCUAAUAUCAAAAUAAUUUUUAAAAAAUAAAAAAAAUAUUAUUUUAAUAUAUUUUAAAAUAAAAAACACUUUAAAAAUAACUCCAACAAUAAUCUCAAAUAUUCUUUAAAGACACAAUUUAAGUCACCGUAGGGUCAAAUAGGUCAGGCACUGUGCUGCAUGGUUAUUACUACUUUUUAGCCUUUUUUUUUUAUAUAUAUAUAUAUAAACAUCUUUUAUUUUUCUUAUCGGUUUCUCUGUUUCUCAUUAGCUUUAUGACACCAAUUAACAAUAAUCAAAUUUAAAAAAUAAUUAAUUUGUCCUUUUAAAAAAUAAUAUUUAAUCCUUAUGUUUUAAUAUAAAGUUAAACAUGUGGCAGUAGAAAUGAAGAAGAUGCCACACCACUUAAGGGCCCAAAGCCAAAUUUAAAAACAGGACCAUCAAACACGUGUUAACCUCUCAAGAUAAAGGAUGCAAAACUUGGAACAAAAUGAAAAAAGUGCAAUGCUGAUGAGUUCAUCAAACCAUGACCGUUCCAGGUGAAAUACAAAGUUUAGAUCAGUGCUUGUCAGUUGUGUGUUGAACUGAGAAAGAAUAAUUUGAUUGUCAUUUCAGUACAAAAGUAAGAGCAGAAGAGGCUUUUAUAUAUAUAUAUAGCCUAUACAGAGACUAAUAAGGAAAAACUCAUUACACUAAUCUAGUAAAUAAUCAUGGACGAUUUACAAUCAAGUAAGGCUAAUUAGGAAACUAAAUAUUCUAUGAUUCCUAUUCUGUGAUUUCCAUAUUUAUUCUUCACGUUAACACUCCCCCUCAAGUUGGUGCAUAGAUAUCAGCAAUGCCCAUCUUGUCAAGUGAUUUAUGAAAGAUUUUGCCCGAGACAGCCUUUGUAAGUAUAUCUGCUAGCUGAUCUUCUGAUUUUACAAAUGGAAAUUGAAUCACGUUGUCUUCAAGCUUCUGUUUAAUGAAAUGCCGAUCUACCUCAACAUAUUUGGUACGAUCAUGUUGAAUUGGGUUGUGCGCAAUUGCUAUGGCUGCUUUAUUGUCACAAAACAUGUUCAUUGUAUCUUGAGAUGAACAUCCAAUUUCUUCCAUUAAUCUCUUUAACCAAAGUAGCUCACAUAGUCCUUUGGUCAUACCUCUGAAUUCAGCUUCUGCACUUGAUAAAGCAACUACCUUCUGUUUCUUACUUCUCCAAGUGACUAGAUUCCCGCCCACAAAUGUGAAGUAGCCGGAUGUGGAUUUCCUGUCAGUGAUGUUCCCUGCCCAAUCUGCGUCAAUGUAACCAUUGAUGUGCAGAUGUUGAUGUUUCCUGAACAUCAGUCCUCUGCCUGGAGAAGACUUCAGGUAUCGUAAAAUGCGAAUCACAGCACUCAUAUGAUCUUCGCUGGGGUAAUGCAUAAACUGACUUACCAAACUCACGUCAUAUGCAAUGUCUGGUCGAGUAUGAGAUAAGUAUAUUAGUUUUCCCACAAGGCGUUGAUAUCUCUCUUUAUUGGUGGGAGCCUGAUUAGGAAAUUCUCCCAAACCAUGGUUUUGAACUAUUGGUGUAUCAGCUGGUUUGCAGUCAAGCAUUCCUGUUUCAGACAGCAAGUCAAGCACAUAUUUCCUUUGGGAUAGAAAUAUGCCUUGUCUCGAUCGAGCCACUUCAAUCCCCAAAAAAUACUUUAAUCCUCCGAGGUUCUUCAUCUCAAACUCGGUUGCUAACUGCUCUUGUAAUUUUGAGAUUUCUUCUCUGUCGUUUCCUGUAAUUAUCAUAUCAUCAACAUAGAUUAUGAGAGCUGUUACCUUUUCUCGUUGGUGCUUCAAGAAGAGAGUGUGGUCUGAAUUACUUUGCUUGUAACCGUAUCUCCGCAUGGCAAAACUAAAUCGUCCAAACCAUGCUCUCGGGGAUUGUUUUAAGCCAUAUAACACCUUUUGUAGCUUGCAGACCACCUUCCCUUGCAUUAGGGAAGUAAGGUCAGGUGGAACAUCCAUGUACACCUCCUCCUCAAGAUCUCCAUGGAGAAAAGCAUUUUUCACGUUAAAUUGGUGUAGUGGCCAGUCCAAGUUUGCAGCAAGAGAUCAGUACUCUCACAGUAUUUAAUUUCGUUAUCGGUGAGAAGGUUUCUUGAUAAUCUAUCCCAUAUGUCUGAGUAUAUCCCUUUGCCACCAGCCUUGCUUUAUAUCUUUCUACCGAACCAUCUGCUUUGUGUUUGACAGAGAACACUCAUCUACAUCCCACAGUUUUCUUUCCUUCAGGUAGUGGUACGAGGUUCCAAGUAUUAUUUUCCUGCAGUGCUUCCAUUUCUUCAUCUAUUGCUUGAAUCCAUUUAGGAUUAUUCAAAACUUCAUUCACUGUAUUAGGGACAUCUUCUGUAGAUAGUUUAUGCGCCAAUGCCUUGAGGGUUCAGACAGCUUCUGAGUUGAGACAUGGUUGGCAAUUGGGUACUUGGAUUUGCUCAUUCCAUGAUCAGGUGAAUAUCGUUUUGGAGGUUGUCCACAAUUAUGUCUGAAAGGCAAGUUAUAGCCAGCAGAAAUAUUUUGAGAUGAGUUUAGAACUUGUACCUCAUAAAUAUUCUCAGGAGAUUGAACUGAUUGUGGUACUGUCACGGCAUGGAAGGGCUGUUCAUUGGAGACUUCUCCAGUUGCUUCCAUUUGCUCACUAGUUUCUGCACUCUUCUCCACUGUCUCGGUCUCAACGUGCUCAUCAUUUUCUCCUUGUUCCCUCAUUAAUUCUGUCUCUGUAUCAAUAGCAACAUGCGGCUGGAUAAUAUUAUCUGAGAUAUGCUCACUAUCUCCCCCUGCAUUCUUCACUGUACUGUCAGUAAAGCCCGGCCAAUAUUCCCAGGCCUGCUCUGCACUUAGGAGCUCCCCCUGACAAGAGGAGCUAGAAGAUAGGGAAGUGAAUAAAUGCUCAGAUUCAAGGAAGGUAACAUCCAUGGAGGUAUAGAGUCGUUUUGUAGCUGGAUCAUAGCAUUAGUAUCCUUUCUUAUGAGCUGCAUACCCAAGAAAAACACAGCGGACAGCACAAGGGUCGAGCUUGGUUCGUUGGUUUUUGUGUAUAUGAACAUAUACAACACAACCAAAUGUUCUGGGCGGAAGCAUGAGAACUGACGGUAGGAUCACAUGGUGGCCUAGAACUUGAAGCGGGGUCUUAUAGUCCAGAACUCUUAAUGGCAGUCUAUUCAGCAAGUAUACUGCAGUCACCACUGCAUCAGUUCAGAACCGUUUGGGCACAUUAGCAGCUGUCAAGAGAGCUCUAGUGAUCUCCAAGAUAUGUCGGUUUUUACGUUCAGCAACACCAUUCUGUUGUGGCGUUUGUGGACAAGAUGUCUCAUGAUGCAUACCAUGUUCCUGAAAGUAUCGGUGGAAUUGUUUGUUAUCAUAUUCCCCACCAUUAUCGGAUCAUAGAAUCUGUAGUGUUGCAGAAAAUUGUGUUUGAAUCAUAUUAUGGAAUGAGCGAAAUAUGUCAAACACUUUAUAUUUCGUUUUCAUCACAUACAACCAAGUCAUUCGUGUACAAUCGUCAACAAAUGUGACAAACCAGCGAGCUCCAGAAGAGAUAGUAAUCGGGGCAGGGCCCCAAACAUCAGUAUGAACAAUUGCAAAUGGAGUGGCACUCUGAUUUAAACUUAUUGGGUACGAUACACAAUGACUCUUAGCUUUAAUACAAGUUUCACACUGAAAAUCUGCUUCACGAAAUUUCGUGAAUAGUUCUGGAAAUAAACAGCGUAAAUACCGAAAUGAGGGGUGUCCCAACCGAUUAUGCCAUAACCAAAUCUGCUGUUCCUUAUUGUCGACGAUGUGUAUGUUAUUUGCUCGACCACAGCUGAAGUCAUCCAUGUAAUACAACCUUUCCCUCUUAGUACCACGACCAAUAAUCUCCUUGGUGAGAAUAUCCUGAAACAAGCAAAAACUAGGAUACAUUAGUGCACAACAUUGUAAUUCCUCAGUCACUUGUCCUACAGAUAACAACUUAUUGGACAGUGAUGGAACUAGCAGGGUAUGUGGUAAUGAGAAAGAAGGAGAAAGUGCAACUGUUCCAACCCCAGUCACUGGAUAUGUCACUCUAUUAGCAUUAGCAAUGCAUAGCCGUUUUGGUUGAGUGGUGUCAGACAAAUCACAGGGAUCAUACGUCAUGUGGUCUGUUGCUCCAGAGUCAAUAAUCCAGCCAUCAUGAUCAUGUCUUCUCUUCUAAGAGCAAAAAACAUAACCUUGAUUACCUGGGUCAUUCUGAUCAGUCUGUUCUUUAGCCGAGAUAGGAGAUUCUUGUGCAGGUACAAGUGAUAGUGUAGGUUCCAUGCUUAUAAGGGCUGCACGACCAGGAUGUUCACUACGCCUGGCUUCUGGUUUUUUCUUCGCCUUGAGUUCGUGCCACCAAUCUGGAUAACCAUGUAUUUUGAAACAUGUAUCUUUGGUGUGUUUUGUAUUUUCACAGUGUGUGCAACCUGCCCCUUCCCCAUGUGAUUUUGUAACUGGCCUUCCAUUCGCUGGCAUUAGAAAGGAUAAACGAUGUUGAGGUUUCUGUCCUCCCCUUGACAGCAUAGCACCUCCAGAUAUGACUUCUUCAUUUUUCAGCAUCACAGAUUGCCUUAGGUCUUCUCUCCUGACUUGCGCAUAGGCUUGUUCUACUGUUGGAAAUGGCUGCAUCUGGAGCACAUCUGCUCUAAUAUUGUCAAGUCUGUCAUCAAGCCCGUCUAAGAAUAUAUAGACUAUGUCCUCUUGCAAAAGUGAAUUAUAUUUCUGUAUGUCAGUAUUGCACUCCAUAGGGUUUGGAUGCCGGAAAUCAAUUUCUCUCCAUAAUCCCUGCAGAUUGUUGUAAUAUGUUUCAAUAGAUCCUCCUCCCUGUUUCAGCCUAGUAACUCUUUUUUUGAGUGUAUCAGUGCCAUCAAAGUAGGUUGUUGCAAUGUUAUCCCAAACAGCUUUGGCUGUUGAAAAUCUGAUGAAGUUGCUUAUAAGUUUUGGGUUCAUAGAGUUGAUCAGCCAUCCCUUCACCAUUGCAUUUUCAGUUCUCCACUUCCUGAAUGUUGGAUCUGUUUGCAGAGGUUGUGGAAGGUCUCUAUUUAUGUAUCCCAACUUGUCUUUUCUUGAGAUAUACAUGUCAACAAUUUGGACCAUAAUGCAUAAUUGUUGUCAUCUAACUUGAUUCCAAUCGGUGCAGCAGGUUCAUGGCUGGCAAGUUGUGUCAUCCCUGCUGUCAGAUCUGCAAGGAUUGAGUUCUCCCCUUCAUAAGUUUUCACCCCAGCAGAAGGGGUUUCCAUUCUUUUCCAGAAAAAAUUCUAUGGCCCUAGAAUCUCUGUUCUGAUACCAUGUUGAACUGAGAAAGAAUAUAUUUGAUUGUUAUUUCAGUAUAAAAAUAAGAGCAGAAGAGGCUCUUAUAUGUAUAGCCUAUACAGAGACUAAUAAGGAAAAACUCAUUACACUAGUCUAGGAAAUAAUCAUGGACGAUUUACAAUCAAGUAAGGCUAAUUAGAAAACUAAAUAUUCUAUAAUUCCUAUUCUGUGAUUUCCAUAUUUAUUCUUCACGUUAACAUUGUGCGUCCAUGGGAAGAACCUUUCAUUAAGCAGACUUAAAGAUAGAUGCUUCAGUUGUCCAUCACAUUAAUAAUUUAUUUUUUUGUGCUCUAAAACGGACUGGAAUAGAACAGGCAAAAGUUUGUUUCUGAUGAGAAAUAAUUUUUUUAUAUAAUAUCAAAGUUUUAUUAAUUAAGUGAUUAAUUAUAAGUUUAAAUUUUACAAUUUUUAUACUUGUACUAUAUAAUAAAAAUUAAACAUAAAGUAUUGAUGUUACAUGAAAAAAAAGAAGUGAUAAUUGCUUUAUCCGAGGAAUCUUUCAUAGUUGUAUUGCCUAGGCCACAUUGAUUUUUAUCCACAGUCUUACCACUACAUUAUAAUUAUAAACGAAACUAAAUAUAUAUAUAUAUAUAUAUAUAUUAUAGCUCCUUUGUCGCUUUACUGUUCAUGUCACUGCUUAUAGCCAUUGUUGUUUUUCUUGGUCCUUGAAACUUUUACCUAUUUUCGUUUUGGUCACAAAACUAUAUUAUUUUUCUUCAUUUACAUCCUUGCAAGUUCUAUUAACACGGUUCCGUUUGCUGUUAUCUACUUCGAUUUUCAUGUUCUCGCCUGUAUCAUAUAUCUUUAAAUAUUACUACAAUGAAUUAAAAAUCAAUUUUUCUAACCCUCCUACCCAUAAACCGAUCCUUGCCACAGGUUAAUCAUAUAAUCUCAUGCUCUUACCUACAGCUAAGCAUCGGCAGAACCAAAUAGUUGCUAUUAAGGUCAGUUCUCCACGUGCAUGUUCUUCCUUUUCAAGCUAAGCUGUUUUUUAGAAAGCUUCUAAUUUAGUUCAAGUCAAUAAAAGCUUAGCAGGUUGAUACAAAAGUUCAUGGCCAAGUAAAAGAUGUUUAUUUUGGAUGAAAUAAAUAUUCAUAUUGGAACAUAAUAUUCAUCUCUCAAAUCCCUAAUCCAGUUGGUAUAUUCAUGAUAAAAUCCAAAGGAUUGGUACUUUGGUGUUUGUGGGGCUGUUAUUUCAAAUCGCUAGCUUGUAAUUUACUGGAUCUAUUGCAAACAAUUCCCUCAGACGUCUAAAUAUCAAACCAACCAACCACCACCAUGCAUUUACUGAAUAUGAUAGUGGGAACUUAUUUAUCAAGAAUUAAAGCAGUAGUUGCUUAUGGAUAAUUAGCUCUUCCAUACAUUGAAAAACCGCAAUUUUUCAUGAUAAAAUCCAAAGGACUGGUACUUUGGUGUUUGUGGGGCUGGUAAAUGGAAGAACACGUGUUUGUGGGGCUGUUAUUUCAUUCAAGGUGCGUACUUUGGUGUGUAUCACGUGUUUGUUGCAUUGACUGAAUAUGAUAGUGGGAACUUAUUUAUCAAGAAUUAAAGCAGUAGUUGCUUAUGGAUAAUUAGCUCUUCCAUCCAGCAUUAAUUCUAUUAUCAAUUAUAGUUUAGUCAUAAAGUUUUUCGAGGAGAGAAAUAAAAAGGAAAAGGAAAAGGAAACAACCACUCCAUCUUUCCCUUCUUUCCAUGAAAAAAGCAAACACCCCAUUUUGAUUUUGAUUUUCAAUCAGGAUGAGUGAGAAAGAAAGAGAGGACAAGGGGGUAUUCUCUCUCUCUUUCCUUGCUUUUUCUAACGCGUGGACCCAGCAGUUGUUGCCACUUGCCACCAAAUUCCUUCCUCAAUAUUUACCAGUACUACACGCUUGAGAAAUUUCCUUGCUUUUUUUCCUCUUACGUACUGUUACCUUUUACCUUUUAUAAUUAUGAUUAUUGCAUUGCUAAUAAUUUAUUAUUAAUCAUCAAUAUUUAUUCUUGGUCAUCAAUAUUGAAUAAUGGCUUAUUUUCUAUUAUAAACUGUGUUUGAAAUAUAGGUUGAUGUUCUUAAAUAUUUUUUAAUGAUUUUAAUAUGUUGAUAGUAAAAAUAAAAAUAAAAAAACUGGUUUUGUUUUCCAAAAGAAAUUGACAGUCAAUUACUUGUUUACUAUGUUUUUAAGAACCAAAAUAAAUAAAUAAAGUUUUUUCUUUCCGUUUCCAAAUUUGGUAGCCCGAAAACCUCCUCAUCGCUGAGUAGGUUUUGUUUUAGUUUAAACGUGAUGGAGACGAUACUAAAAAUAACAACAAUAUAAAAAAAAUUGGUGUAAAUACCAUUUAUUUUUGCAUUUUAAAAAUAAUUUUUUAAAAAAUUAAAAAUAAAUUUUGUUUUUUAUUUUAAAAUAAUAUUUUUUUAAUAAUUUUAAAUUAUCUUAAUAUACUGAUAUUAAAAAUAAUUUUUAAAAGAUAAAGUUUUUAAAACAUAAAGUUUAGCCUGCAGAUCUUCCGCUGAUCCCAUCUCAUUGUUGUAUGCAUCCAAGCUAAGCCAAUUCAAGAAAGAAGAUUUGAAGAAUACCAGCAGCAGCAGGAGUAAUAAAUUAACAUAACAAACCAUCUAGGUGGUGGCCAGUAAUAAAAGCCUGAGACCAAGAGAUUUGUUUCUUUUGUGGUCUCAGAUUCGAGUUCUGUGAUUGCUCAUAUGAUUAUUACUGGAGGCUUACAUGGUCGUUAACUUCAGGGCCCGUGGGAUUAGUCGAGGUGCGCGCAAGCUGACCCGGACACCCACAUUAAACUAAAAAAAAAAAAUUAACAUAACAACAUUAUGGGAGAAGGAGGGAUGACCUCACUGCAAGGGCGGAGGCAUGUUAAAGGCUUGAGUGCGCUAUAAUUUAGAUCAAAACUUUAUUAAUAUAUUUUGAUUAGUUUUAUGUAAAAAAAUUUGUAAUUCUUGAUUGAAUUAUUAAAAAAAUUUAAAAUUUACCUGUAGCCUUCUAAUAUAAUAUUUUAACUUGGGUUAAAAUUUCAGAAUAUUUUGAGAAAUUCAGAAAUUUGAUGAAAAAUCAUAAUUUAGCCAGUUUUAUGUUAUUGAACGUAAUUUUCAAUCCAAUCAUCAGAUUGAACUGAAAUUUUACGAGGAAUCUUAAAAUAUAUUGAAUAAAAUAUAGUUAAAAUUUUAUGAUGAACAGAGCUUGAUAGUGCUAACAAAAAAAAAACCAUCAAAUAAAAACAAAUCAAGAAUAAAAUGAUUAUUUCCAUUAAAAAGUAAAAUAAAUUAACUCUUCCUUCAUUUUAUACGUUGCCAUCCUUGCAUUAGAGUACACUCCCACAUGCGUUGUGGCAGCGGUUUGCUCUGUUAUUGUUCUCAUUUCUCUUAUUGUUGAAAGAUCCUUGGGAAAGACAUUCCAAGGGUGCAGUGUUUCUUGUUCCCUUUCCCUUCUUUACAUGGCUUCCUCAAUGAAAAAGCAAGCACUAACGCACGUUCUCCACAAACUACCCCCUAUUUCGCCACUAUAUAAAUAUAUUAUGGAAAACAAGAUAAAAAGAAAUCUUUUGGUACAUAUAUAAAUAUAUUAUGGAAAUUAACAUGGUAUCAGAAUAUCUGUGAAGUAUUGCUGGGAAGUCAUAAUUUUUGACACGCCUAAUCACAGACUUUUUUGGGAAAAAAAAAGAAAAAAAGAAGCCAGGCUAUGAAAAUAGGUUUGUGGAAAUUUACAUCAUUUGAUCUUGACAGUAUCAGAUUAGACAAUUGCAUGGAAAUGGUCUUCUUAGUUUGCCGUGUGGAAAAUCAUGUCAUUUACGGGACUGCUGGAGAGAGUGUCUAAUGAUAAUUUUACCUUCUUUUAAAAUCUUUGACACUACUUGCAUUGACUGGAAAUUUCGCUCGAAAAUUUCUAGUAAUUUAUAAAGGAAAUUUCUACUGUAUAUGAAUUGAAAAACUAUUAUUGACUGACUUCUUGCAAAGUAUUCGCAAGAAAGCUAAAGAAUUAAAGUUUUUAAUUUUUAAAAUUAUAAUUUAAAAUUGUAAGAAAAAAAUCAAUUGUUUUAAAAAUAAAAAAUCAACUAUUUAUAUAAUAGCUAAAUCUAUUAAGAUAAAUCGAAAAUAACUAGUAAAAUCAAUGACUUGUAUUGACGAGUGUGUCUAUAUAUACAUAUAGGAACUGCUGAUUCGAUUUGAAUAUGUUAUUUGAUUAGUCUAAUUCAUGAUUUGCAUUGACUCAAAAUUACCACUAGAAAUUCCUAGUUUCGUGGUGCUUUCUCAGCCUGCAAAUGAAUAUAAAGCAUAUCCUUUUAUCCUAUAUAAAGAAUACAAUGAACCUUUUUAUCUUUUAUAAUUAUAAUUAUUGCAUUGCUAAUAAUUUGCACGAAAGAAUAUUCUUUCUCUGAAAAGGCCUUGAGAAAACCCUAAGCAUAGUAUAUAAUCUCUUAUAGGAAUCUCUUUAUUAAAUCAUCAAAAUAUCAAAGUCUGUUUCCAAAGACUAUGACUACAGUUUAUAUAUAGAAACAACCAAAUAUAAAAAUUAUUAUUUUUUAAAUAGAAAAACCAGAGAGCUUGAUAAUAUUUAAUAAAAUAAAAUAAAAUAGAAAAAUUAUUCCUUUUUAGGUAGAAAAAAAUUAUAAAGAUUUAAUAAUACUAAAUAAGAAAAAUUAAAAUUUCUACACUAAAUUAAAAAAACAAAAAAAAACUGAGAAAAUAUUUAUUAUCCCAAUAGUUCUUAUAUUAAAAUCUCAUUUAUCAUAUGUUAUAUCUAUCAAAAUAAUAAUAAUAAUAACUUGUGACGUGAACUAAAGCUAUAUGCGAAAACUAGAAAAACCCGGUAGAGACCGGUUCUGUUUUUUCAAAUAUGUUUUUUCUUCUAGCUAGAGACCCCUUUUUUUUAUAUAUUUUUCUAUUGGUUAGUAAACUAUUUCAAAGUUUAUUAUAUAAAUACUAGAAGAAUAUUUUAUUUUUUCAAUAUGGAAUAAAAAAAAUUAUUUUUGUUUAAAUACCUCAAUUUAAAAGAAUUAGAUAAUAUCUUUUUAAUAUGAGAUAAAAAAAACCUUUUAAAAUAAUCUUUUAAACUUUAUUAUAUGCAACAUGUAUAAUCUAUAUUCAUAUGAAUUGUUUCUUUAAUUUUUUUCAUAUGAAAUAUUAAAAAUCAAAUAUUUUUUUUUUAAUUUUUUCGGGUUAAUUUAGAUCAAUCUGUGUAACCCAAGACUCUGUUUUUUAGUCGGGUCAAAUUCAGCUUGGGUUCCAUAACUAUCAGUAAAUUUAUUGAAAAAAACGUAAUUUUUUUGCUUUUAUAAAAAUGAAAGGCAAAGAAUUAAAUUAGGACAUAUAUCACUAAUUAUUUACAUACUCUUAUUACAAACACAAAAUUUUAUGUCACUUCAUGAUAUCCAUGUUUUCAACGCUUUACACUGGUUUAAUAAAUUGUUACAGUAAUAUCACAGAGAGGAACGGUUCAUGAAAAAACAAUAAUGGAGUUGAAGCAGAAUCUCUGUUUGAUUUUUCUUUUUUGUGUUUUCGGUACACUGGUCAACAAUAGCUUGGAAGAGUUUGGAAUCAGUAACACAUGGACCCAGUUAUUGUGGAAACUUUGCAGAGGAUCUGCACUCUGCAGGAAGAAAAUGAUUUUAAUAGAUGUACUGUACAUCAUUUGAAUUUAUUAAAAGUAACGUGUAAUGUAAAGUAUGUACUGUACACCUGCUUUCAACGUUUUACACUGCUUUAGUCGUCCAAAAAAAAAAAAAAACCAUUAGAUGCUAUAAAACAAGAUAUAUACAAUUUAAUUUGAGAGUGUAAUAGAUAUUAUAUUUCAAAAUAUUUUUGAAAUAUAUUAAAAUAUUAAUUUUUAAAAAAAUAAUUUUAAUAUCAUAUAUUAGAACAAUAAAUAAUAAUUAUAAUUUAAAAAAAUAAAAAAUUUUAAAAUCUUUAAAAAAAUAAUAAUUUUACUGGACUCCAAAACACACCCAUGCUCCCUCAGCAACCACCACGAAAUUACCGCUCUAUAUUACAGCUCAAUAAUUUAUUUUAGCAAUUAUUGCUUGCUCAUUCACAAUUAUUGCUUUGCUAAUAAUUUGCAAGAAACUUUCUCAAUUUCCUUCUAUUUUCUUUUUAUUAUGGAAACUUUAAGUCACAUGUGCGCCUACCACGAAAUUACCGAUAAGUAAAUUUCAAUGCGUAAUUGUGUAGGUUUCAAUUAAAAAUGCUUUAAUUUGAAAAAUUAUGUUAACAAUAAUAUAAAUUAAUUUUUCUUCAUAAAAAAAGUAAUUGAGUAUUAAUUUAGGCUAUAAAAAUAAAAUAAUAAUAAAAAAAGAGUUCGAGGGUAUUCAUUUUAUUUCAUUUUACUAUAUAAUCUAAUUUGUUGAUGUGGAAAAUAGCAUAAAGUUUUUGACAUGGCUAUUGGUGAGAAGCAAAAGCAGUAGCAGUCCAUCGUUAUACUAAAGGUCAGUUUUUCACUCUGUGUGAAUUUACAGUAAAAGCUUGAUUUUGAAAGUGAGAUGAAAUUGGAAUAUUUUGAUUGAAAUUUAAUUAAAAAUUCAGAACAGAGUGAGAUUUGAAAUGAGACAAAAAAUCAUUCUGUUUUUUAAAUUUAUAUGAAAUUUUUUAGCUAUUCCAGACAGACAAAAUGGAAUGGAAUUGAGAACCUUGGAUGCAAUAUGCUUUUUAAUUAAAGAUAUAUUUAAAUAAUAAUUUUUAAAAAAAAUUAUUUUUUUUAUUUUAGUACAUUAAAAAUAAAAAAUAUUUAAAAAUAGUAAUUUAAUAUUUUCUUAAAAAAAUAUUUAAAAAACACUUUUAAAUUUUUUUGAACUGUACUAUUCCUUGAAAAAACUCAAACUCUAAAUAACAUCUACUAUUUUCAGAAUAUCUGUAAGAGAUUGCUGGGAAGACAUAACGUUUUGCCUAAUCAGUCUCUUUUGGAAAUUUAUACCAUUUGAUUUUGACAGUAUCAGAUUAGACAAUUGCAUGGAAAUGGUCUUCUUAGUUUACCGUGUGAAAAAUCAAUAUUAUUGUCCGGGAGGGAAGUAAGGUUUUUUUUUUAAAAAAAAUUAUUUAAAAAUAUAUUAAAAUAAUUUUUAAAAUCAAAAUGAUUUAAAAAUACUUAAAAAAAAUCUAAGACUAAAAAUUAAUCUAAAUGUUUUUGAAAAAUAAUUCAACCAAAGUGCCAAAUAUGAUCAAUAUCGAUUAUCUUUUAUGUAAGAUUAUCUUUUAUCUUUGACAAUUAUUGCAUUGCUAAUAAUUUGCAAGAAAACAUACUUUCUCAAUUUCCUUUUUUAUUAUGUUAGUAGAUGCUAGAUGCUGUUUAUUUUUGUGUUUUAAAAAUAUUUUUAAAAAAAUUUAAGAUUUUAAAUUAAUAUUUUUAGAUAUUUUAAGGUGCUGAUUUUAAAAAUAAUUUAAUUAUUUUUUUUAAAAAAAAAUCAUGACACGGGUAUAAAAAAAAAAUUAUGGUAGAUAUAGCCUCAUCUUCUCUGCUUGUAAAAUUGGAGCAGAUUAUGGACUUAAGCGAGCAAUUACCGCUCGAAAUUCCUAGUAAUUUACGAAGGAAUUUUCCUUGUUGUUUCUCUGUACAGUAUUAGAAAAAUUGUCAUUGACUGAUUUAAUUGCAAAGUCUCUGUAAGAAAGCUUAAAGAAUUAGAGCUUUUUAAAAUAAAAAAUAUAGAGAGAGAAAUAAAAAAUAAAAAUAAAAAAAGGAGCAAAAGGAAACAACCCCCAUCUUUCUUGUUCCCUUUCCCUUCUUUACAUGGCGUCCUCGAUGAAAAUAGCAAACGCCCCAUUUGAAUAUAUAAUUAAAGAAAGAAAGAAAGAGAGGAAAAUUUUUUUAGUGAAUUCAAAAGCCCUUCGCCCCGGAAAGAAAGUUUCUUUUAACAAAAUAAGGUUGUUGAGGCUUUUCUUGGAACCUCGCUCAGGGAUUAAUUAACAAGAAUUAAAAAAUCCCCUGCAAAUUACACAAAAUUUAUUAUUGAUCAUCAAUAUUGAAUAAUGGCUUAUUUUCUAGCAUAAACAAAAAUUGAUAAAAGAUAUUUAUUAUUGAUCAUCAAAUUGUGGUAGCUGUUGUGGUUGUGGAAAAAAUUAUUUUAUAAAAAAUAUUUUUAGUUGAGGUUGAUUUGAAAAAAUAGGUGUUUGGUUAAAACUGUGGUUGAAAUUGAAGUUGAAGAAAAAAUAGCUUAAUGUGUUUGGUUAAGAAUGCUUUUAAAAUUGAAGUUAUAAAAUAAUUUUUAAAAAAUAUAUUAAUACUGAUGAUUUUUAAUUUAAAUAUUAUGGAUUUAACUAUUGCUAUUAUAUCAUGAAAUAAAUCAUACUUUAUAUAAAAUAUUUUUUUAUUAUUCCAUGAAACCAUUUAUAAUUCCAUUACGUAUACAUCCGACAAAAACUACAGUUUUCAUAAUAUUUUUAGCAUAUAAUAAAAUUAGAUAAAAUAUUAUCAGGUAUAAAAUUCACUAUAAACUAGUUUUUUUAAAAAAAAAUGUUAAAAAAAUAACACACUAAAAAAAAUUAACACACUAAAAAAAAAAAGGUUCACGCAGGCAAAUGAACAUUGCAAGAGAAUUGCACUGUUCACUAUUUUUAAGUGAACAGUGCAAUUGUGUUGCACUGUUCACUUGAAUAGUGUACAUUACGUACUGUUCAUGUUAAUUGCACUGUUCAUUGAACGGUGCAAUUAACAUGAACCGUGAAAAAAAGAGUAAGAAAUGGCUGCUUUUCCUUUCCUGCGUUUCUAACAUAGAAAUUAAGUGAGGCCCAGUGAACAGUAAAUUAAUUUUUUCAUUAACCAAACAGCUGCGAACUGCGUUUUAAAUAAAACGCAGCCGCAGCUACAGAGCCAAACGGGCUCUAUAUUUUGGAGUGACGUAGAUAUUAUGUUUUAAAAUCCUUUUUAUUUAUAAAUGUAUUAACAUUUAUUUUUCAAAAUUUAUUUUUAAUAUUAAUAUAUCAAACUAAUAUAAAAAUAUUAAAAAAAUAAUUUAAAACAAUAAAACAUUCAGCAACCACUCUAAAUUCCAGCUCAAUAAUUUAUUCUUUAGCGAUUAUUGCUUGCUCUUUGACAAUUAUUGCAUUUCUAAUAAUUUGCAAGAAAACAUACUUUCUCAAUUUCCUUGAACUCAUUUGACCCAGCUAUCGAGUUAUUUUUUCCGCUCAUCUUUUUUUCCCACAAACUCACCAAGACAGCACCGGAUUAUUUUAACUCAGUGAUCCUUCCAGGUAGGCCCAGGCCACAUUGAUUGUGUUAAAAAAAAAAUCUAAUUCAGCUUAGUAUCAACUACAUUAUAAUUAUUUAGGAGGAUAGUUGAACCAUACUUUUUAAAAAAAUUAAUUUUUUUUUAUAAUUAUACGCCAUCAGCAACUACCUCGAAAUUACCACUCCAAAUUCCAGCUCAAUAUCGAUCAACAUGCGGCUAAAAUUGAUAAAAGACACAUAAUGAUGGUAUUGUAUAUUUUGAGACUAAAUUGAGGUUUUUUAAUUAUUACUUUAAAAUAUAUCAUGGUUUUAAUAGUUGGACGGUAUAUUAUAUAAAUUAUUAAAAAAUAUUUAUUUUUAUUAUAUAUGUAGUAAUAAUAAAUUAGAUGAUAAUAACAAAAAAUAGAAAUUAUUUUGAAUAAAUAGUACCAGUUCCUAUUAUGAUAUGUAUAGAGAAGAAGUUGGAAGAAUAAAAUGAAGUCAAAUAUUCUUAAUAAAAAAAACACAGAAAUAGUUAAAAUAUGUUUUUAAUAAAUAUAAAAGAUGGAUGAAAAUAUUAGAAAACAUGAAAGAGAUACAUAAUCUCUUUGUAAGAUUUCUAAGAACUUAAUUACAAUUACAUUAUAAUUUCUUCCUUAAAAUUAUUCAAAAUAUAUAUUAUUCUAGGUUUUAAUGUAAUUAAAAAGGAAGUAUUUGUAAGUGUAAGAAUUUUUGACACGCCUAAUCACAGUUUUUUUUGGAAAAGAAAAGAAGCCAGGCUAUGAAAAUAGGUUUGUGGAAAUUUACGUCAUUUGAUUUUGACAAUUGCAUGGAAAUGGUCUUCUUAAUUUGCCGUGUAGAAAAUCAUGUCAUUUACGGGACUGCUGGAGAGAGUGUCUAUUGAUAAUUUUACCUUCUUUUCAAAUCUUUGACACUGCUUGCAUUGACUGGUAAUUUCGCUCGAAAAUUUCUAGUAAUUUAUAAAGGAAAUUUCUACUGUAUAAAUUGAAAAACUAUUAUUGACUGACUUCUUGCAAAGUAUUUGCAAGAAAGCUAAAAAAUUAAAAUUUUUAAAUUUUUAAAUUAUAAUUUAAAAUUGUAAGAAAAAAAUCAAUUGUCUUAAAAAUAAAAAAAUCAACUAUUUAUAUAAUAGCUAAAUCUAUUAAGAUAAAUCGAAAAUAACUAGUAAAAUCAAUGAUUGACGAGUGUGUCUAUAUAUACAUAUAGGAACUGCUGAUUCGAUUUGAAUAUGUUAUUUGAUUAGUCUAAUUCGUGAUUUGCAUUGACUCAAAAUUACCACUAGAAAUUCCUAGUUUCGUGGUGCUUUCUCGGCCUGCAAAUGAAUAUAAAGCAUAUCCUUUUAUCCUAUAUAAAGAAUACAAUUAACCUUUUUAUCUUUUAUAAUUAUAAUUAUUGCAUUGCUAAUAAUUUGCACGAAAGAAUAUUCUUUCUCUGAAAAGGCCUUGAGAAAACCCUAAGCAUAGUAUAUAAUCUCUUAUAGGAAUCUCUUUAUUAAAUCAUCAAAAUAUCAAAGUCUGUUUCCAAAGACUAUGACUACAGUUUAUAUAUAGAAACAACCAAUUAUAAAAAUUAUUAUUUUUUAAAUAGAAAAACCAGAGAGCUUGAUAAUAUUUAAUAAAAAUAAAAAAUAAAAAAUUAUUCCUUUUAAAGUAGAAAAAAUUAUAAAGAUUUUAAUAAUACUAAAUAAGAAAAAUUAAAAUUUCUAAACUAAAUUUAAAAAAACAAAAAAAACUGAGAAAAUAUUUAUUAUCCCAAUAGUUCUUAUAUUAAAAUCUCAUUUAUCAUAUGUUAUACCUAUCAAAAUAAUAAUAAUAAUAAUUUGUGAUGUGAACUAAAGCUAUAUGCGAAACCUAGAAAAACCCGGUAGAGACCCGUUUUGUUUUUUCAAAUAUUUUUUUUCUUCUAGCUAAAGAUCAUUUUUUUUUAUAUAUUUUUCUAUUGGUUACUAACUCAUUUCAAAGUUCACUAUAUAAAUACUAGAAGAAUAUUUUAUUUUUUUGAUGUGGAAUUAAAAAAAAUUCUUUUGAUUUAAAUACUUCAAUUUAAAACAAUAAGAUAAUAUCUUUUUAAUAUGAGAUAAAAAAACCUUUUGAAAUAAUCUUUUAAACUUUAUUAUAUGCAACAUGUAUAACCUAUAUUCAUAUGAAUUGUUUCUUUAAUUUUUUUCAUAUGAAAUAUUAAAAAUCAAAUAUUUUUAUUUUUAUUUUUCUGGGUUGACCUGGAUCAAUUUAUGUAAUCCAAGACUCUAUUUUUUAGUCUGGUCAAUUUUAAGUUGGGUUCGAUAAUAAUGAUUAAAUUUAUUGAAAAAAACAUAAUUUUUUUUUUGUUUCUAUAAAAAUCAAAGGUAAAGAAUUAAAUGAUGACAUAUAUCACUAAUUAUUGACAUACUCUUAUUACGAACACAAUAUGAUACCCAUGUUUUCAACGCUUUACACUGCUUUAAUAAAUUGUUACAGUAAUAGCACAAAGAGGAACGGUUCAAGAAAAAACAAUAAUGGAGUUGAAGCAAAAUCUCUGUUUGAUUUUUUCUUUUUUGUGUUUUCGGUACAUUGGUCAACAAUAGCUUGGAAGAGUUUGGUAUCAGUGACACGUGGACCCAGUUGUGGUGGAAGGAAGAAAAAUGAUUUUAAUAGAUGUACUGUAUAUCAUUUGAAUUUAUUAGAAGUAACAAGAUAUAUACAAUAAGAUGCACUGAGGGUAUUGGCCUGGGAUACGAGGGGCUUGUCUUCUCUUGUUGCUUCUGGAUUCGAGUUUUUAUGUGUAUGUCUGUCAUUUUUACGGUGUCUUAUAUGUUCAUUGAGUUUGCAGGGUGUUCAGUGGGUCGUGGAAUUAGUCGUGGUGCGCGCAAGCUGACUCGGACACCCACGUAAAUAAAAAAAAAAAAAAUAUAUAUACAAUAAGAUGCUAUAUUAAAAUAUUAGAUGCUAUUUUUCGAUCUUAGAAGUAACAUGAUUUUAAUAUACACCUUCUUUCAACGUUUUACACUGCUUUAGUCGUCAAAAAAAAAAAAAAGACUAUUAGAUGCUAUAAAACAAGAUAUAUACAAUUUAGUUUGAGAGUCUAAUAGAUAUUAUAUUUCAAAAUAUUUUAGAAAUAUAUUAAAAUAUUAGUUUUUUUAAAAAAAUUAUUUAAUAUCAUAUAUUAGAACAAUAAAAAAUAAUAAUAAUUUAAAACAAUAAAAAAUUUCAAAAUCUUUUAAAAAUAUAAUUUUACUGGACUCCAAAACACACCCAUGCUUCCUCAGCAACCACCACGAAAUUACUACUCUAAAUUACAGCUCAAUAAUUUAUUCUAGUUAUUAUUGCUUGCUCUUUGACAAUUAUUGCUUUGCUAAUAAUUUGCAAGAAACUUUCUCAAUUUCCUUCUAUUUUCUUUUUAUCAUGGAAACUUUAAGUCACAUAAUAUAUGGCUGAUUUUAUAUGAAUAUAUUAUUUGAUUAGUGUUGACUCUACUAUUGCUGCAUUGACUGGAAAUUUCAGUAUUCAAUAUCCUAUAUCAUUCUACGUUCAUAACGAUAACUCUUUGUUAUAUUUAACUUACACUGCAGCUAACUUCUCUGUCCCAUUGCAGCCAUUUCAUAGCUAACUCUUUGUUAUAUUUAACUUGCUCUUCUUUGCUUCUUUGCUUCUUGCUCAUAACGAUAACAAGAAAGCCUUACGUUCAGAUAGAUAAUCAUUGACCAGUUCAUCCUAUACCAUUCAAUUUAAUUUAGAAAUGCUGAAAGAAAAACGCAAGCAAUCCAAAGAUGAAGACAACGAUUCAUCCUCGCGAAAGAGAAGAAAAGCUGACCUCAGUAAGCCUGUCAGUUUUGUCUCCACAGGUAAGGCAGAUGCGUGAGUCUAUACAUGUAGGAACUGCUGAUUCGAUUAGAAUAUGUUAUUUGCUUAGUCUGAUCAUAGGAUAGGUUGAGUCUACUACUAUUUCUGCCUUGCUUUGACUCGAAAUUACUGGUGUUUUCUCCUGCAAAUGAAUAGAAAUCACAUCCUUUCUCUUUCUCCUAUACAAAGAAUACAAUUAACCUCAUUUCAAUAUCAUAGCUUUGGAAUUUCAUAGCUAACUCUUUGUUAUGUUGCUCCAUUGGUAAUUGAUUGUGCCUUAAUUUCUGCAGCUACCAGGACAGAGCCAGAGUCUUCUCGAUCUAGACCAGAAGGGGCCUAUGAUGUCUUCUUGAGUUUUAGAGGAGAAGACACUCGCAAGACAUUUACAGAUCAUCUAUAUACUGCCUUAGUCCAAGCAGGAAUCCGCGCUUUUCGAGAUGAUGAUGACCUUCCAAGAGGAGAAGAAAUCUCCGAUCAUCUCCUCAGGGCAAUUCAAGAAUCAAAGAUAUCCAUAGUUGUCUUCUCAAAAGGAUAUGCUUCUUCUAGAUGGUGUCUCAAUGAACUUGUAGAGAUUCUUGAGUGCAAAAAGAGGAAAACCGGUCAGAUUGUUCUUCCUAUAUUCUAUGACAUUGAUCCUUCAGAUGUGAGAAAACAGACUGGCAGUUUUGCAAAGGCAUUUGAUAAGCAUGAAAAGCGUUUUGAAGAGAAGUUGGUGAAGGAGUGGAGAAAAGCUCUUGAGGAUGCCGCAAACCUAUCUGGACGGAGUCUCAAUAAUAUGGCAAAUGGGUAUUCCUUCUCUCUCUAAGAUUCACUUGCACACGUUUAUGGAGUAAUUUUACAUUACAUUUUUCAAUGUGAAGUAAUAAAAUAUUUCUUUUUAGCAUACUUAAUUGAGUCGCUAUCAAUGACUUGCUUUUGUCUAUGAGCAGGCAUGAAGCAAAAUUUAUCAAGAAGAUUAUCAAGGAUGUGUUGAAUAAAUUAGAUCCCAAGUACUUAUAUGUUCCUGAGCACCUAGUAGGUAUGGAUAAACUUGCUCAUGAUAUUUUUGACUUUCUAAGCACUGCAACAGAUGAUGUACGCAUUGCGGGCAUACAUGGGAUGCCAGGAAUAGGAAAGACGACUAUAGCAAAAGUUGUAUUUAAACAACUCUGCGAUAGAUUCGAGGACAGCUGUUUUCUUUCGAAUAUCAAUAUUGAAACACCAAAAAAACUUACAGGUCUUGUUGGUUUUCAAACGCAACUUCUUCGUGAAAUUUUAAAACAAGGUGUUCCAAACUUCGAAUGUGUUGAUAGAGGAAAGGUUUUGAUCAAAGAACGACUUCGUGGCAAAAGAGUUCUUGUUGUUGCUGAUGAUGUGGCUCAUCUGGACCAGCUAAAAGCUUUGAUGGGAGAGCGAAGCUGGUUUGGUCUCGGAAGUAGAGUAAUUAUUACAACAAGAGAUUCAAAUCUUCUUCGUGAAGCAGAUCGAACAUAUCAGAUCGAAGAAUUGAAACCAGACGAGUCCCUUCAGCUUUUCAGCUGGCACGCCUUUAAGGACUCCAAGCCAGCAAAAGAUUAUAUUAAGCUUUCGAAGGAUGCAGUUGAUUACUGUGGAGGACUUCCUUUAGCUCUUGAGGUUAUGGGUGCUUGUCUGUCUGGGAAAAACAGAGAUGGUUGGAAAUGUGUAAUUGAAAAAUUGAGAAGAAUUCCAAACCACGAUAUUCAAGGAAGGCUUAGAAUAAGUUUUGACGCACUGGACGGUGAAGAACUACAAAAUGCAUUCCUUGACAUCGCUUGCUUCUUUAUUGAUAGAAAGAAAGAGUACGUCGCAAAAGUGCUAGGAGCCCGUUGCGGUUACAAUCCAGAAGUUGAUUUGCAAACUCUCCAUGAAAGGUCUCUGAUUAAAGUAUUGGGAGAGACGGUAACCAUGCAUGAUCUAUUACGAGACAUGGGAAGGGAGGUCGUUCGUGAUAAGUUUCCAAAAGAACCUGGAAAGAGGACCAGAAUUUGGAAUCAAGAGGAUGCAUGGAAUGUACUUGAGCAGCAGAAGGUAAGAGCUCAAUGCAUACAUGAAAGCAUAGUCAUUCGUAUUUUCUAGUCAAACUUAUUUCACAUAAUUGAAUGAAAGUUGUAUUGUUUUUUUUUUAGGGUACGGUUGUUGUAGAGGGUCUUGCACUGGAUGUCAGAGCAUCAGAAGCUAAAGCACUUUGCGCAGGAUCAUUUGCAGAAAUGAAACGCUUAAAUUUACUCCAAAUCAAUGGAGUACAUCUCACCGGAUCCUUCAAACUGCUUUCUAAAGAGUUGAUGUGGAUUUGUUGGCAUAGAUGUCCUUUGAAAGAUUUUCCAUCUGAUUUUACCGCAGACUAUCUAGCUGUUCUUGAUAUGCAGUACAGUAACCUCAAAGAACUAUGGAAGGGAAAAAAGGUGCGAAACAUGCUACAAUCCCCGAAAUUUCUCCUGUAUGUAAUUUAUAUUGACAUCUUAUGACUUUCUAUGAUUAAUUUUCAUUAUUUUACCCUCUAUUAUGACAGAUCCUCAACAGGCUAAAAAUCUUUAAUCUUAGUCAUUCUCGGAACCUUGUUAAAACACCAAACUUGCACAGUUCAAGUCUAGAGAAACUAAUUCUGAAAGGUUGCUCAAGUUUAGUUGAGGUGCAUCAAUCAAUUGGACAUUCGACGAGCCUCGUUUUCUUGAAUCUCAAGGGAUGUUGGAGUCUGAAGACUCUCCCUGAAAGCAUUAGGAAUGUAAAGUCUCUUGAAACUAUGAAAAUUUAUGGGUGUUCACAACUUGAGAAAUUGCCAGAAGGCAUGGGUGAUAUGAAAUUCUUAACUGAGCUAUUAGCUGAUGGGAUUAAAACUGAGCAAUUUCUCUCUUCAAUUGGGCAAUUAAAGUAUGUCAAAAGGUUAUCAUUACGUGGAUGCAGUCCGACUCCACCAAGUUGUUCUUUGAUUUCAGCAGGUGUUUCAAUUUUGAAAUGUUGGCUGCCAACAUCAUUCACUGAAUGGAGAUUAGUGAAACAUCUUAUGCUUUCUAAUUGUGGUUUGUCUGAUCGUGCAACUAACUGUGUUGAUUUUAGUGGUUUGUUCUCUCUAGAAAAAUUGGAUCUAAGUGAAAACAAAUUCUCUAGCCUGCCUUAUGGGAUCGGCUUCCUUCCCAAGCUAUCGCACUUGGUUGUUCAGACAUGUGAAUAUCUUGUAUCAAUCCCAGAUCUUCCCUCAAGUUUAUGCCUUUUGGAUGCAUCUUCUUGCAAAUCAUUGGAAAGAGUAAGAAUACCAAUCGAGUCAAAAAAAGAACUAUGUGUAAAUAUAUUUCAAAGUCUUUCGUUAGAAGAGAUUCAGGGCAUCGAAGGUCUAAAUAAUAGUUUCUGGAAUGUUAGUAUUGAAAGACGCAGUCAUUCACCAAAUAAAUUACAGAAGAGCGUUCUAGAGGUACUAUUUCUUUCAAUCUCUCUUGCAUAAGAAGAAACACACACAAUUGGCACAUAUUGAUUAAUGUCUAAAAUCGCAGCAUUCCUUGAAAUUAAUAUGUAUACAGGCAGUUAUUAUUAUUAUUAUUAUUAUUAUAUUUUAAAAAAUAAAUAUCAUCUUUAAUAAUAUUUUCUUAUUUUUCUUAUUUAAUCUAAAAAAUUAAAUAUUAUCUUUAAUAAUAUUUUUUAUUAAAUAUUUAAGUCUUUGGUUUUCUUUUUUAUUUCUUGAUUUUAUGAUAAUAUAUUUAUACAGGCAAUGUGCAACCGUGGUCACGGGUAUCGUAUUAACUUCAGUCUAGAACAUGAUGAACUACAUGAGAUGCCAGAUUGGAUGAGCUACAGGGGAGAAGGAUGCUCAUUGUCAUUCCAUAUACCUCCAGUCUUCCAUGGCUUAGUUCUUUGGUUAGAGAAGGGUACUCAUAUGUACACAUACACUAACAUUAUUAUUAUUAUAAGAAAUAAAAGCAACGGAAGAAUAUUGUUUAAAGAUAAACGAGCACAGAUAGGAAUACAUAUAUUUAUGCAGGGAUGGUUAAGAUACAUAAGUAGAAGUGAAAUGGCAAUGGAAGAUUACUGUGGAGACGAAUUGGAACUAUACAUUUCUUCAGAGCCAACAGACUAUGCACUGCGCAAGGGUAAAUCAUUGAAACCAAGCGUUAAAGAAUGUGGGGUCCAUGUGAUCGCAGGGAAGUCAGAUUCAUUAAAAAAGUCGGCAGUGGAAAGAGAUACAGUGAUGCUUUCACCACCGCUGUAUCAUCUGCUUCCUCAUCCUCAUCGUGGUUCAAUUACAACGUCUACACCUAAGCAAUGGUGUGACUUUUUACUUGCGGAGCUGCAAAACCAUAGCCUCGGUUUAUUGCUUCUUGGUAAGAACAAAUAUUUCCUUUAGUUAUUUUUAUUCUAUUCUAUUUAAUUUAUGAGAUUAAAUAUUAUCUUUAAUUAUUUCAUUAUUACUAUUUAAUAUAAAAAAUUAAAUAUCAUUUUUAAUAAUAAAAAAUUAAAUAUUUAAGGCUUUUUGGUAAGAAUACAUAUUUCCUUUAGUUAUUUCUAUUUUAUUCUAUUUGAUGGGAAUUUGUUCGUAAUAACAAAAUGCACAUGUUUAACUUUCUUUUCAAACUUGGAAGUUUUAUUGAAUUUGAUGGCUUUUGAAGGUAGAGAAGACUUGGAGUGAAGAGUACAAGAUCAUUUUAUAUAGAGAUGCUUGAAGUUACUUCAAAUUAGUACGGUACUUCUAUCUGAUGUAUUGAUAUGUAUUUGUUUGUUUGAAGAUUAUUUUCCAAGCUUGGAAGUUUUAUUGAAUACUCUUUGAAAUCUUUUCCAUCCGCUUUUAUAUUUUUAUAUUGGACAACCUAGUUGUUAAUUAUUAUCCAUGAUGUAAUUUAUAUUUUCAAGUUAUAAAUUUUGAUGAAUAUUGUUUCAUUUUUUUCCUCAUUUCAAAAGUUGAAAAUCCUUAUUUUAGUUAGAAAUAAAUUGGUUUUCUAGGAAGAGAUUAUUGAUUGGAAACAAGAGCAAAAGAAAAAAGCAAACACCCCAUUCGAUUUUCAUUCAGUAUAAGAGUGAGAAAGAGAGACGCCAAGGUGGUUCUCGAAUAUUUUGUUCUUUUUUGUCUCGCUCACUGGGGUAAAUACUUCAUCAUUUAAUGUUAUAAUUUAAAAUAAUUGAUGAAAAAGAAUUUUAUUCAAUCCCAAUCCCAAUCCCACAUUGUCUGUAGAAGUAUUUACUUUUGACUGUACACUUUGUUAUUUUCCAAUCCCUCCCCAGUUCUGCAACCAUUUCUCUACUUUCUAUGCUCUUGGCUUGCUAAAAACUAAAGAAAACACAUUGCUCUAGUUGCCUGCCUUCACUCUUCAGAUUGCUCAACAAAUCCCUUGAGACCUUCUCCAUAGUUAACACAUCACAUAAUGGCUACUCUAAAAAAUUUAGCCAUAAACAUUGAACACCUUAAGCAAUCAACGUGCCUUCCUUCACAAUAUGCAUCACCCAUAAAUCUUUCUUUUGGGAUGUCGCCGGGAGUUUAAAUUUCCGAGUGUAAAAAUUACUCAAUGAAAAAGCGAGCACUAACGCACCUUCUCCACAAACUACCAUAAAUAUAUAAAUAUAUUAUGAAAACAAGAUAAAAAGAAAUCUUUCGGUACAUCUAUAUAUAUAUAUUAUGGCUAUGAAAAUAGGUUUGUGGAAAUUUACAUCAUUUGAUCUUGACAGUGUCAGAUUAGACAAUUGCAUGGAAAUGGUCUUCUUAGUUUGCCGUGUGGAAAAUCAUGUCAUUUACGGGGCUGCUGGAGAGAGUGUCUAUUGAUAAUUUUAUCUUAUUUGCAUUGACCGGUAAUUUCACUCGAAAAUUUCUAGUAAUUUAAAAGCAAAUUUCUACUGACUAUUAUUGACUGGCUUCUUGCAAAGUAUUUGUAAGAAAGCUAAAGAAUUAAAGUUUUUUAAUUUUUAAAAUUGUAAGAAAAAAAUCAAUUAUUUUUAAAAUUGUUUUCAAAAAUAAAACACCAACUAUUUAUAUAAUAGCUAAAUCUAUUAAGAUAAAUCCAAAAUAACUAGUAAAAUCAGUGACUUGCAUUGACGGUGUAAUGAUCUGGAACCACUCGCAAUAAAUAAAGCCAAAAAAGGCAGACGAGUGUGUCUAUAUAUACAUAUAGGAACCGCUGAUUCGAUUUGAAUAUGUUAUUUGAUUAGUCUAAUUCAUGACUUGCAUUGACUCAAGAUUACCACUCAAGAUUUCGUGGUGCUUUCUCGGCCUGCAAAUGAAUAGAAAGCAUGUCGUUUUAACCUCAUUUCAAUAUCCUUGCUUUACUCUCCAGCUAGCCUGAUACAUAUGAGUCUCAAGACAUACGGCCAUUGAUAGAAAGGAGUGCUGAAGCAAAAUAUUUUUUUAUCUGUAGCGACCUCAAUAAUGUUAAAGCGUGGACCACCAUGAAAUUACCGCUCCAAAUUCCUUGUUCUUUCUAUAUUAUUAGAAAAAUUAUCAUUGACUAAUUUAAUUGGAAAUUAUUUGCGAGAAAGCUAAAAAGAAUUAAAGUUUUUUAAUUUAUAAAAUUAUAAUUUUAAAUUGUAAAAAAAUUCAAUUAUUUUAAAAAAUAAAACAUCAACUAUUUAUAUAAUAGCUAAAUAAAUCUAUUAAAAUAAAUUGAGAAUAACUAGUAAAAUCAAGCAAAUAAUCCAAAAAUAACAAGAAAAUAAAUAUAUUUCCUAGAUCUAAUUUGAUUAUAUUUAUUAUCUUGAUUGACUUACUUGUUAAGUCUUCGCUAAGCAUAAAUGAACUUUAAUCUAAGAAUCUGUUUUAUAUUUCUUCAUUUAUUAAUGAAAUAUUACUUCUACUGUAUAGUUUUUGGUUCCGAGUUGAUCCACCAGAUUAAUAGGUGAACAAUAUAUUUUGUCUCCACAGGUUAUAACAUCAUUUCAAUAUCUUUAAACAAAAUCUUUGUUAAACUGCACCAUUGGUAAUUGAUUAUGCCUUAAUUUCUGCAGCUGCCAGGACAGAGCCAGAGUCUUCUCGAUCUAGACCAGAAGGGGCCUAUGAUGUCUUCUUGAGUUUUAGAGGAGAAGACACUCGCAAGACAUUUACAGAUCAUCUCUACACUGCCUUAGUCCAAGCAGGAAUCCACACUUUUCGAGAUGAUGAUGAACUUCCGAGAGGAGAAGAAAUCUCCGAUCAUCUCCUCAGGGCAAUUCAAGAAUCAAAGAUAUCCAUAGUUGUCUUCUCAAAGGAUAUGCUUCUUCUAGAUGGUGUCUCAAUGAACUUGUAGAGAUUCUUAAGUGCGAAAAUAGGAAAACCGGUCAGAUUGUUCUUCCUAUAUUCUAUGACAUUGAUCCUUCAUAUGUCAGAAAACAGAAUGGCAGUUUUGCAGAAGCAUUUGUUAACCAUGAAGAGCGUUUUGAAGAGAAGUUGGUGAAGGAGUGGAGAAAAGCUCUUGAGGAGGCUGGAAAUCUAUCUGGAUGGAAUCUCAAUGAUAUGGCAAAUGGGUAUGCCUUUUCUCUCUAAAAUUCACUUGCAGACGUUUAUGGAGUAAUUCUACAUUACAUUUUUCAAUGUGAAGUAAUAAAAUAUUUCUUUUUAGCAUACUUAAUUGACUUGCUAUCGAUGACUUGCUUUUUUUCUGUGAGCAGGCAUGAAGCAAAAUUUAUCAAAGGGAUUAUCAAUGAUGUGUUGAAUAAAUUACGUCGCGAGUGCUUAUAUGUUCCUGAGCAUCUGGUAGGUAUGGAUCUUGCUCACGAUAUUUAUGACUUUCUAAGUACUGCAACAGAUGAUGUACGCAUUGUGGGCAUACAUGGGAUGCCAGGAAUAGGAAAGACGACUCUAGCAAAAGUUGUAUUUAAUCAACUCUGCUAUAGAUUCGAGGGAAGCUGCUUUCUUUCGAAUAUCAAUGAAAGUUCAAAACAAGUUAAUGGUCUUGUUCCUUUACAAAAGCAACUUCUUCAUGAUAUUUCAAAACAAGAUGUUGCUAACAUCAAUUGUGUCGAUAGAGGAAAGGUUAUGAUCAAAGAUCGACUUUGUCGCAAAAGAGUUCUUGUUGUUGCUGAUGAUGUGGCUCAUCUGGAACAGCAGAAUGCAUUGAUGGGAGAGCGAAGUUGGUUUGGUCCCGGAAGUAGAGUAAUCAUUACAACAAGAGAUUCAAAUCUUCUUCGUGAAGCAGAUCGAACAUAUCAGAUCGAAGAAUUGAAACCACAUGAGUCCCUUCAGCUUUUCAGCAGGCAUGCCUUUAAGGACUCCAAGCCAGCACAAGAUUAUAUUGAGCUUUCGAAGAAAGCCGCUGGUUACUGUGGAGGACUUCCUUCAGCUCUUGAGGUUACAGGAGCUCUUCUGUACAGGAAAAACAGAGGUAGAUGGGAAAGUGAAAUGGACAACUUGAGCAGAAUUCCAAACCAAGAUAUUCAAGGAAAGCUUCUAAUAAGUUAUCACGCACUUGAUGGUGAACUACAAAGGGCAUUCCUUGAUAUUGCAUGCUUCUUUAUUGGUAUAGAGAAAGAAUACGUCGCAAAAGUGCUAGGAGCCCGUUGCCGUCCCAAUCCAGAAGUUGUUUUGGAAACUCUCAGUGAAAGGUCUCUGAUUAAAAUAUUGGGAGAGACGGUAACCAUGCAUGAUCUAUUACGAGAGAUGGGAAGGGAGGUCGUUUGUAAAGCGUCCCCAAAAGAACCUGGAAAGAGGACCAGAAUUUGGAAUCAAAAGGAUGCAUGGAAUGUACUUCAACAGCAGAAGGUACGAGCUCAAUGCAUACAUGAAAGCGUAGUCAUGUGUAUUUUCUCAAUGCAAACAUGAAAGCAUAGUCAUGCGUAUUUUCUUGUCAAACUUAUUACAAAUAAUUGAAUGAAAGUUGUAUUGAUUUUUUUUUUAGGGUACGGAUGUUGUAGAGGGUCUUGCACUGGAUGUCAGAGCAUCAGAAGCUAAAUCACUUAGCGCAGGAUCAUUAGAAAAAAUGAAAUGCUUAAAUUUACUCCAAAUCAACGGAGCACAUCUCACCGGAUCCUUCAAACUGCUUUCUAAAGAGUUGAUGUGGAUUUGUUGGCAUGAAUGUCCUUUGAAAUAUUUUCCAUCUGAUUUUACCUUGGACAAUCUAGCUGUUCUUGAUAUGCAGUACAGUAACCUCAAAGAACUAUGGAAGGGAAAAAAGGUGCGAAACAUGCUGGAAUCCCCAAAAUUUCUCCAGCAUGUAAUUUAUAUUUACAUGUUAUGACUUUCUAUGAUUAAUUGUCAUUAUUUUACUCUCUCUUAUGACAGAUUCUCGACAAGCUAAAAAUCCUUAAUCUCAGUUAUUCUCAUCACCUUAUUAAAUCACCAAAGUUGCACAGUUCAAUUCUAGAGAAACUAAUUCUGAAAGGUUGCUCAAGUUUAGUUGAGGUGCAUCAAUCAAUUGGACAUUCGACGAGCCUCGUUUUCUUGAAUCUCGAGGGAUGUUGGAGUCUGAAGACUCUCCCUGAAAGCAUUGGUAAUGUAAAGUCUCUUGAAACUAUGAAUAUUUGUGGGUGUUCACAACUUGAGAAAUUGCCAGAAGGCAUGGGUGAUAUGAAAUUCUUAACUGAGCUGCUAGCCGAUGAGAUUAAAACUGAGCAAUUUCUCUCUUCAAUUGGGCAAUUAAAGUAUAUCAAAAGGUUAUCAUUGCGUGUUUCAAAUUUGAAAUGUUGGCUGCCAACAUCUUUCACUGAAUGGAGAUUAGUGAAAUAUCUUAAGCUUUACUGUGUUGAUUUUAGAGGUAUGUUCUCUCUAAAAGUAUUGGAUCUAAGAGGAAACAAAUUCUCUAGCCUGCCUUCUGGGAUCGGCUUCCUUCCCAAGCUAUCGUACUUGGUUGUUAAGACAUGUGAAUAUCUUGUAUCAAUCCUAGAUCUUCCCUCAAGUUUAUGCCUUUUGGAUGCAUCUUAUUGCAAAUCAUUGGAAAGAGUAAGAAUACCAAUCGAGGCAAAAAAAGAACUAUGUGUAAAUAUAUAUAUGAAAGUCUUUCGGUAGAAGAGAUUCAGGGCAUCGAAGGUUUAAAUAAUAGUUUCUGGUAUGUUAGUGUUACAUCACCAAAUAAAUUACAGAAGAGCAGUCAUUCACCAAAUAAAUCACAGAAGAGCGUUGUUGAGGUACUAUUUCUUUUAGUCUCUCUUGCACAAGAAGAAACACACACAAUUGGCACAUACAUUGAUUAAUGUCUAAAAUCGCAGCAUUCCUUGAAAUUAAUAUGUAUACAUACAAUUAUUAUUUUAAUUUAAAAAAUAAAUAUCAUCUUUAAUAAUAUUUUCUUAUUUUUCUUAUUUAAUCUAAAAAAUUAAAUAUUAUCUUUAAUAAUAUUUUUUAUAAAAUAUUUAAAGUCUUUGGUUUUCUUUUUUAUUUCUUGAUUUUAUGAUAAUAUAUUUAUACAGGCAAUGUGCAACCGUGGUCACGGGUAUCGUAUUAGCUUCAUUGUUGAUGAUCUACUUGAGAUGCCAGAUUGGAUGAGCUACAGGGCAGAAGGAUGCGCAUUGUCAUUCCAUAUACCUCCAGUCUUCCAUGGCUUAGUUCUUUUGUUUGAGAAGAGUACUCAUCUUUACACAGUCACUAACAUUAUUAUUAUUAUAAGAAAUAAAAGCAACGGAAGAAUAUUGUUUAAAGAUAAACGAGCACAGAUAGGAAUACAUAUAUUUAUGCAGGGAUGGUUAAGAUACAUAAGUAGAAGUGAAAUGGCAAUGGAAGAUUACUGUGGAGAUGACGAAUUGGAACUAUACAUAUAUUCACAGCAAUCAGAGUAUGCAACGGUCAUUCAUUCGAACCCGUACACGUUAAAGAAUGUGGGGUCCAUGUGAUCGCAGAGAAGUUAGAUUCAUUUGAAGAGUCGGCAGUGGGAAGAGAUACAGUGAUGCCUUCACCACCGCUGUAUCAUCUGCUUCCUCAUCCUCAUCGUGGUUCAAUUACAACGUCUACACCUAAGCAAUGGUGUGACUUUUUACUUGCGGAGCUGCAAAACCAUAACCUCAGUUUAUUGCUUCUUGGUAAGAACAAAUAUUUCCUUUAGUUAUUUUUAUUCUAUUCUAUUUAAUUUAUGAGAUUAAAUAUUAUCUUUAAUUAUUUCAUUAUUACUAUUUAAUAUAAAAAAUUAAAUAUCAUUUUUAAUAAUAAAAAAUUAAAUAUUUAAGGCUUUUUGGUAAGAAUACAUAUUUCCUUUAGUUAUUUCUAUUUUAUUCUAUUUAAUUUAAGAGAUUAAAUAUCAUCUUUAAUUAUUACAUUUUUCUUAUUUUUUAUUUUUUGAUUUUAUGAUAAUAUUUUUCUUGAUUAAUAUAAAAAAUAAAUAUUAUCUUUAAUAAUUAGAUCUAUCGAAUAUCACUCAAAAAAAUAAAUUAUAUCUUUAAUAAUUAUUUUUUGAAAAACAAAAAGCCAACAAUCACUAACAUAUUUUAUUAAAAUCACUUUAGUUUAUUUAGGAAAUAUUGAAAACUGAUUUUUGUUUUUUUACAUUUAAAUAAAAAAUUGAAUAAUGUUUUUAUAUUUUAUUUCAAAUUAAAUAUUUUAAAACAAAAAUAAAAACAAAAUGAUAUUAACCUUUUUUAUUAUAAAGUAAGUUUCUUAAUUAAAAGUGAAGGGGAUUUGUUUGUAAUAACAAAAUGCAUAUAUAAUCAUGCACGGUUAACUUUAUUUCCAAACUUGAAAGUUCUACUGAAUUUGAUGGUUUUAUAGGUAAGAAGGAGCUGGAUGGAUGAGUUAUUUUACAUAGAGAUGCUUGAAGUUACUUCAAAUUAGUACGGUAUUUCUAUCUGAUGUAUUGAUAUGUAUUUGUUGGCUUGAAGAUCAUUUUCCAAGUUUGGAAGUUUUAUUGAAUGCUCUUUGAAAUCUUUUCCAUUCGCUUUUAUAAUUGUGUAGGUUUCAAUUAAAAGGGAUUGAAUUAAGGAAGUAUGUUAAAAAAUAAUAUAAAUUAUAUUUUAAAAUUUAUUUUAAUAGUUUAAAUUUUUAGAUGGAUAGUUUUUUUGACAGGUAAAAGAUAUAGUUUUACAAUAAAAUAUAUUUUUUGAAAUGAAAUUAUAUUAAAUUAAGCAUGCUCGAGAUUGUUCAAAUUAUUAAUUAAUUAUAAUUAACUUUAUGUCUUUAGAGGAAACAGAAGGGAAGGACAAGAUUAUCUUCCCCACACCAAUAGACCUAGCCCACUUUCCAAACCAGUCCCCUGGUAAAUAGAAUGAUGGUCCCAUAUUUUUCUUUCCAGCCCGUCAAGCAGUUUUAUCUCCCUCACUGGACCACUUUAGAAUGGGAAUCACACUAGGAAAUUUAAAAGUAGUUUGAAGUAUCAUUAAACCUGAUAAAAAUAAACAACCAAUAAUAAUAUGGUUGGGAUUUAAAAAAAAAUUGAUAAAAAAACUAAAAUAAAACAAAUUAAAAUAAACAAAAAACUUGAAAAAAAUUAAUUCAACCCUUUCUUCGUAAAAAAGAGAAGUAAUUGGGUAUUAAUUUACGGUCAAAAGAGUACAAUAAUGCAAAGAAAAAAAAGAGUAUGAGGGUAUUGAUUUUAUUAUUUGUUAGGUAACUAUGGAAUCUAAUCUGUUGAUGUGGAAAAUAGCACAAAUUAAGUUUUUGGCAUGGCCAUUGGUGAGAAGCAAAAGCAGUAGCAGUCCAUCAGGACCAUCACCAUCCUAUCGCCGACAUUCCAAGUGUGAAAGUGUAUUAUUGUCAUAAAGUUUUUCAAACGAAACAAUACGAUAAAUUUAAACUAUAGAGAGAUAAUUAAAUAAAUAAGUAGAAAGCGCAAAAGAAACAAUACGAUAAAUUUAAACUAUACUAAAGGUCAGUUUUUCACUCUGUGUGAAUCUACCGUGAAAGCUUGAUUUUGCACAUGGUAGAUAAAUUUAGGUUUAGGAGUAUAAUUUUUUAUAUAUAAUUACACUAAAGAAGAAUAUUAAUCAAAUAACCCUUAAAAAAAUUCCUUUUAGUUUAGGGUUUAUUUUUUUUCAUCUCAAUUACUUAAAUAUCCCUAAAAAAUAAACUCUCUUUACUAUGGAUGCAAGGUUAUUUUAGAUUUUCUGCUAUUUUUUUUUUAAAAAAUUCUCAUGUAAGAUUAGAGGUGAUUUGGUAUUUUAAUAUAUAAAUUAAUAUUAAAAUUCAAAAGCAGUUGGUGUCUCCCACACCUUUUGGAUGGCGCCUACGACUUCCACACAAAACCGAAUGUUACCGUCUAAGGCAGCGUUUGAUGCGUUUCACCACCGUUGUCACGGUGGUGGCACACGUGUUCUCUGAUGGCAUGUAGAGGAGCACGCGGAGGAGCUCCUUUCUCUUUUUCCUCUCUCGACCUAGAAAAUCAUGUUGACCAUUGAAAAAAAAAAAAACAAAGAAAGUCUAACUAUUUAUUUGUUAAGUUAAAUUAGGUCCUUAUUCUUUUGAUAACAAUGCAUUUGGUCUUGAGCUAUUUAUUAAGUUAGUUGUUUUUUCAUUUUCAUUAAUUUACACUUUGUUUUUAUAUUAGAUUUAAUCCUUAUUCUUUUAACUGUGAUGUUUUUUGUUGUCUUAAUUCCUUUAUUGAAUUAAAUUGUCUUUGAAUUUUAUCUCUUGAUAUUUUAUUUUUAUAUCAAAUAUGAUCCUUAUUUUUUUAUUGUUAUUUUUAGUUAUUUUUAUUAUUUUCUUAAUUGAAAUUGUUUUUUAAUUUCAUCCCUUAUGAUUUGGUUUUAUUUACUUUAUGUAUCAAAUUUGGUUCUCUUUCUUUUCAAAUCUACAUCUUUAAAAAUAAAAUUUAAUUUUUUUCAAGUUUAUCCCUAAUUAUUUUGGUUGGUUUAGAUUUUAUAUUGUUAUUUUUUAUUUUUCUUUUACAUUGUGAUAUAGCCUUAUGAUUGUGUCACAAAUUCUAAAAGUUGGACAGGGAUGACUUCAAUUAUUUUUAGAAAUUUUCAUUCUUCAAUUCAAUUAUAUAUAUAUAUAAAAGGUUUGACGCUUAAUAUAUUUUUGUAUUGAUUUUAUCAUUUUAUAAUUUGAUUUAUAAUGCAGUCCUAUUAUAUAUGGACCAGGACAACAAUAUCAUUCAAAUGUUAGUAAUAGAAUAACUUUUACAUAUUUUAAUAUUUAAAAAUUAAAAAAAUACAGUGUAACUGUUUUGUAUAAAUUCUAAAAGUAAGGACUCAUUUGUGCUUGGUAAAAUACCUCACAAUAAAGUUAAUAAAUAAUAACACAAGAAAAGAACAAAAGUUAAUAAAUAAUAUAUAGCAUGUCUUACACUGCUUUAAUAGAUUAUUCCAGUAAGAGCACAGAGAGAAGAGCGGUUCAAGACAGAACAAUGAUGUAUAAAUUAAAAAAAUAUAAUCUCUUAUAGGAAUCUCUUUAUUAAAUAAUCAAAAUAUUAAAGUCUAUUUCCAAAGACUAUUACUACAGUUUUUAUAUAUAUAAAAAUAGAAACAACUAAAUAGAGAAAUUAUUAUUUUUUAAAUUGAAAAAGUUGAAAAGCUUGAUAAUAUUGAGUAAGAAAUAAAAUAUAAAAAUAAUUCCUUUUAAAUAAACAAAUAUAAAAGUUUAAUAGUACUGAAUAGAAAAAAAAAUAGAAUUUCUAAACUAAAUAAAAGUAACUGAAAAAAGUAUUUAUUAUUCCAAAAAAAUUGAUGUUAAAAUCUCAUUUAUCAUAUUUUAUAUCUAUAAAAAGCUAAUUUGUCAUAUGGAAUAAGUCUAUAUGCUAAAAUCAGAAAAAACAAAUGUAACAAAAAAAAAUUCCACCAAAGGCUGUGAUUAGCAGAUUAUCUGAUGGAAAGAUGAUGAACAUUUUUUAGUCAAUUAAGUUCAUUUCACAUGAUUUUUUUAUUCUUGUCAAUUAAUCUUAAAGCAAGAUUCCAAGAUAAGCCUAAAAAAUAUUUAUUAUUAAUCAACAAUAUGGAAUAAUAACUUGUUUUCUAAUAUAAAUUAUAAUUUGAAAUAAAAUUGAUAAAAGAGUAAGGCGCAUUUUGUAUACAAAAUUAAUGACGGAAUCGUAUAUUUUAAGACUAAAUUAAAGUUUUUCAAUUACAUUUAAACAUAUUAUGGUUUUAAUAAACGUACGAUGCAUCCUUUGAUUUUAUUACAGGGAACGUGAAAUAUUGUAAAUUAUGGAGGGGAAUCAAAAUAUUUGUUAGCAGUAACCUCAGUAAUGUUUAAAAAAAAUUGUUGUGGAAACUUUGCAAAGGAUCUGAAGGAAGAAAAAUGAUUGAAUUGAUAAUAAUUUGCAAGAGAGAAUUCUUUCACUGAAUAGAAAAAAAAAUAUUAUUUUUAAAAUAAAAACAAUAAAUAUAAAAAUUAUUAUUUUUUAAAUAGAGAAACUAGAAAGUCCUGAUAAUAUUAAAUAAAAAAUAAAUACAAAAAUUAUUCUUUUCAAGUAGAAAAAAUUAUAAAAGUUUAAUAAUACUGAAUAGAAAUAAAUAAAAUUUCUAAACUAAAUAAAAAUAUUUAUUAUCCCAAAAAUUCUUAUAUCAAAAUCUCAUUUAUCAUAUUUUGUAUCUAUAAAAAACUAAUUUGUCAUAUGUACUGGGUCCAUAUGCUAAAACCAGAAAAAAAAAUGUAACAAAAAAAAAAUUCCACACAAGGCUGUGAUUAAGAGAUUAACAAGAUGAUAGAUAUUUUUUAGUAAAAUGAAUUCCAAUUCAAAAUAGCAAAAUAAGGUUUUUUGAGGCUUUUCUAGUAUAUAAAAAAAUCAAAUUAUACAAGAUUUAUUAUUAAUCUUUGAUAUUUAUUAUUGAUCAUCAAUAAUCAAUAUUAAAUGAUGACUUAUUUUCUAGUAUAAACUAUGUUUGAAAUAAAAUUGAUAAAACACAUUAUAUAUAAUUAAUGAUGGGAUCGUAUAUAAAAAUAAUUAAAUUGAGAUUUUUCAAUUACCUUUAAAUAUAUCAUAGUUUUAAUCGGUGGUGGACGAUAUAACAUAUGUAAAUUAUAAAACAAGCAUUUAUUUUUCUGAUAUAUACAUAAUUGUCGCACCCGGACAUCGCGGCGACCUUAAAAAUAAUAUUUCAUGGAAAAGAACAGAUUUCUGGCAUCCUGUUCUUUAAUGGAGAAUGGUCUCGUUUAAGGAGUCGCCACCUAGUAUUAUGGUCACUAGGAACCCUAACUGGUCAACAGAGAUUCUAUGGUACGGGACUGGUUACGUAAAAGAGAAGAUAUUAUCACCCCUUAAACGUUCUGCCUGAGGCAGACUGCAUUGCUGGUUUUGUCUUAAAUUGCUAAAUGUUUAUUAGUUUACGCUAUGAUAAUUUGCUUAUAAUAUUCCUGACUCUGGCGUCAGUGAAUAUUCAACUACGAAUAUCUCCAACUCUGGCGUUGGUAAAUAUUACGUAGUUAUAAAAUAAAUUAGAUCAAUAUUUUUUUAUUACCUACUCUAGCAGUGAAUAAAUAAAUAAAAAUAAAUUUAUUUUUAAACAUGCACAUAUUUUUUUAUUUUUCUAGCUAAAUAAAAUAAAUAUAACGAAUAAAAAUAAUAUAAAUUUAAACCGGUAUUUUUAUUCCUGACUCUGGCAUCAGUGAAUAAACCAAUAAAUUUACAUUAUUUUUAUUUAUGCAUACACAUUUUUAUUUUUAUUUUUUUCUAAUAAUGAAUAAAAAUAAUAUAAAUUUAAACCGAUAUUUUUAUUCCUGACUCUGGAGUCAGUGAAUAAACCAAUAAAUUACAUUUUUUUUAUUUUUUUCCUAGGACUAUUUUUCCUACAUUUUUUUAUAUUUUUUUAUUUUUUUCCUAGGACUAAGCUUCACACGUGUAUGCAAAAGUAGUGAAUUAAAUUGGCCUAUGUACAGUACCCAUGCAAUUAGAAUUGCAAAGCAAAGGGAAAUGAAGAACUUACCUGUGCAGGAGGCGAAGUCGAAGACGGUGGCGAAGGUGUGCUGAAUUGCCAAAGCUACCUUCUCUCCUUCUCUGUUUUUAUUCUUCGUGCGCUUCUCCUCUGGUUUUGCUUUUCUUUACUUUGAUUGCUUCUCUUAUUCUUCCUGUCUCCCCCCCUGUGUUUGCUUGUUCUCAGUUCGCUUGUGUUUUCUUUUUUUAUCUGUUGUUCAGGGAAUGGAGGAGCUGGUGUAAGUGGAGACAAAGCAGCUGAUGCCUGAGAGGGCGUUGUACUGCUGCUGGAGCUGGAAGAGGCGCGCGUUGCUGGUUGCUGAUGCAUGCUCACGGUGCAUGGAAGUGGCUGAGUUGCUACUAAUCUUGACGAUACUGGUUUCGUCCGCUGUAAAAGUUUUCGUGCCCCUGCAUCCGAUCAAAGCUUGUGCUUUUCCAAGCAAAAGCCAUGGUCCCUUGAAACUCAGCAGAUUUUCGGAGCAAGGAGGAUCGCAUGCCAAUGUAGUUCAUGGUUCUGGUUUAGAGGCAGACGUGGCGGAGAUUAAUGGUGAUUGGGACCACAGCCUAGAAGGUGACCGGGAGGAAGAUGAUCUCGAGCCUUUAUUUGCUUCUUCUUUUUUUGUGAGGAGUUUGCAGAUCCCGGGGGUUGAGAAUGAAGAAUGAAAAAUCAGUUUGAUGGGGAAGAGAUUGAGGCCAGGCAAGAAGGGAGGAAAAGUCUGGGGGGAGGGGGCAGCGGCGGCUAGUCUAGGACUCGGCCGCGCCCCUUUUUUUUUUUGUAAAUGUCUUUUGUUUCUUUUUUUUUAUAUAGGUUUCUGGUAAUGAUCUUCUCCUGGGUUUUUUUUUUGUGUCGUUUAAGGUUCCUCUCUAAUCGUCUUCCUCUCCCCUCCGUUUUUCAUACCCUGAGAUCUGUAUUUAUAGUGCCAGAGUCCCUUCGCUUGUGAGAAACCAAGUUUCAAUCAAACUCAUUCUAUUUUUUGAAGUUUGAAUUUGAUUAAGAAUCAAAUUUGAAAGCGGAUAACUAUCAUUAUCUUAAAGACAAGGAUUAUCUCGAAGAUAAAGAUUAUCUUGAAGAUAGGGAUUAUCUUGAAGAUAAAGAUAGAAUGAUAAAAGCACAUUGUAGUCCUUAAUUUUCACGGAAGUUGACAAAUCACACUUUUCAUCGAAAUAAAUCUCUGAUCUUUUAAUUUUUCAUUUUAAACCCUGUAAAAAUUAAAUUAAAAGUCAAAGGGCCAAAAUUGGGUCAUGACAGUUGCCCCCUCUUUACAAUGCUUACGGUGCAAAUGCAUUAGAAAAUUUAUUUUCUUUUGACUUUGUAUAGUAAGUUUUGUAAAGAAAAAUAAUUGUGAAAGCCCUUCCUCUUUUCCUCCUUUUUUUUUUCUUCUCUUUUUUUUGAUUGAUUUUUUUGCUUUUUUUUUUUAAAUGGUCUAAUUGUUCCAGGCGACCUGCCUGAUAAAGAAUAAAAUGCGAAAAGGGUUUCGCGAGUGGUCUAAUUGUUCCAGGCGACCUGCCCGAUGAUUGAAAAAUACGAGGAUUUUUUUUUGUGAUGGUAUAUUGUAAUGGGUUACCGGCCCAGAUGGUCACAUUGUAAUGGGUUACCUGCCCAGUAUAGGAUGGUAUAUUGUAAUGGGUUACCGGCCCAAAUGGUCACAUUGUAAUUGGUUACCUGCCUAGUAUAGGAUGGUAUAUUGUAAUGGGUUACCAACUCAGAUGGUCACAUUGUAAUGGGUUACCUGCCCAGUAUAGGAUGGUAUAUUGUAAUGGGUUACCGACCCAAGUGGUCACAUUGUAAUGGGUUACCUGCCUAGUAUAGGAUGGUAUAUUGUAAUGGGUUACCGACCCAGAUGGUCACAUUGUAAUGGGUUACCUGCCCAGUUGGUCACAUUGUAAUGGGUUACCUGCCCAGUGGAUGGUAUAUUGUAAUGGGUUACCGACCCAGAUGGUCACAUUGUAAUGGGUUACCUGCCCAGUGGAUGGUAUAUUGUAAUGGGUUACCGACCCAGAUGGUCACAUUGUAAUGGGUUACCGGCCUAGUUGGUCACAUUGUAAUGGGUUACCUGCCCAGUGGAAAAAUACGAGGAUUUUUCAGAUGGUCACAUUGUAAUGGGUUACCUGCCCAGAUGGUCACAUUGUAAUGGGUUACCGGCCCAGUUGGUCACAUUGUAAUGGGUUACCUGCUUAGUGGAAAAAUACGAGGAUUUUUUUUUAAGACAUGAUAGGGCUCGAAGGCGCAUUAUUCAAUAGAUGGAAGCUCGAGGGAAAUGAGGGCUUGAAGGCGCCCUCAAAAGAAGGUAGGAUAGGAAAUGCACUACCUUUGAUGGUCGAGGGCUCGAAGGAGCGCUCGAAUGGAGGUAGGAUAGGAAAUGCACUACCUUUGAUGGUCGAGGGCUCGAAGGCGUGCUCGAAAAGAAAUAAGAUGAGGGCUCGAAGACGCGCUCGAAAGGAGGUAGGAUAGGAAAUGCACUACCUCAGGAGUGGAAACUGAAAGGUGGUGGGAAAAUAGAGAGAUUUUUUCAGGUGGCCUAAUUCUCAUGGGCGGCUUGCCCAGGUUGAAAAAUUCUCAAAAGUGAAAAUUUUUUCAAAAGCAAUUUCAAUGUUCGCCAUUUCAAGUUGGCCUUCCGCUUGAUGGAUUCCGUCAGAAUUUUUUUCUAAUAAAAUUUGCAAAACUCAUUGUCCAAUGUCUCAAAGUUUAAAUGAUAUGCAUGCAUCUUUACCUGAUUUGAAAUAUAGGCCCCCCAUUUCUUCUUAGUCUUCUCGUGGCUUGGUUGGUGAGAUCUUGCUAUCUGAUUUGAGUCAUCUUUGUCGUUUGGCUUUCUAGCCCACUCGAGUUAGCCCAUAUAAGACUUUUUCCAGAUUUGUUUGCACAACUCAGCCUUUGUGGUGCCCAUCGUGACCCACUUGCUUGCUAGAGAUUUUCUGUCUCGUCAAAUAGUUUGAGGGGAUCAUUCAUUACUCCUCGUCUCACUGAUAAAAAUAUUUGGUGUCACUUGCUGAAAGGAUCAAACUGUCUUUCGUAAACCAAAAUGCCCCCUUGUCUUGUUGUAGGAAAUGUUCCUUCUUUUUUUUUAGAACAGAUAGAUUUUUCUUAAGCACAAUAUUGCCCCCUUGUACUAGUCAUUGCCCCCAAGUGUGCCCUGUCAGCGACUUAGACAAAUAAUGGUUUUAAGAGACCAUUCUCUCAUUUCUCUCCUUUUCAGUUUGGUGAAGGAAUAUGGGUUUAGAAUGAAUCUUGAAAUCUUGAUCUUGCAUUUUGAAAACAAAAAAUUAUUUCGAUGUGAGUCUAAAACAAUUUGCUUUUGAAAUCUUGCAACUCCUUGGUUAUUUUCUUUCUUGGAAAAGAGAUUAUUUGCUCUUGUGUUUGGCAAUGAGAUCUUUGAUGAAAAUACGUCAUGAGAUGACCUUUUGUUUUUAUAGGUUUUUAAAGUGGAGGGCUCGAGAAAGAGCUCGAGGUUUUGUAUGAGAAAAACUUGUCUCUUUUUUUAACAUUUAUUUUUAUCAGCAUCAAUAAUAAUGAGUAGCUUAUUCUUGAUGUCAUGAAUCUUAUGAAAAAGUAUUCUUUGCAUUUUGAGAGCAUUGUUUAUUGUUCUAGGUUGCUUGCUUGCUUGAUUAGAAAGGACUUCUACAGGCACAUAACGUAGGCUGUGGUUUUUGGCUAUGAAAGAAAAGGAUUCAUAAGGCUCAAAGAGUGUUUCAGGGUUUCAAAGAAUGAAGAUCACAAUCAACAGUUUGACUCUUGACGUCAUUCAUAUUUUCUUUUGCCGCUCUUCUUUGAUUUGCCUUUUUUUCUUUUUUCUUUUUCAUUGCUUUGCUAGAGCAUACUCACUUUAUCUUGGUUAUCACUUUUUCUUGUGAUUUGGGCAUGCCCCCUAGCAUUUGAGUUUCUUGGGCUCUUUUGCCUUUUGACUUUCUCACGGCUUUAUUAUCUUUCUUGAUCAUUGAAAUUUCACUUGCCCCCAGUGUGGGGUGUGAUCCUAGUCGGGAUUUUUUCAUGAAAGAAAAAUUAUUCAGGCUCAAAAAGGGAUCGCAAGGGAUGUACUUAUUUCAGAAUAUGAAAGGAAUAACAAAGAUGGCAUUUCCUCAUUUCAAGCGCAAGCAGUUAAGAUCAAUAAACUUUGACCUCAUCUAGUGUGAUAGUUUGGUCUUUGCAAAGAUGCAUUUCAAGGGUCAUGAGCAACAAGUUCACUACAUACCAUUAUUCAUACAUUUAAAAACACAUGAUUCAAGAGUCGUGGGGUAAGGGUGUUUAUUUAUUUCUUUUCUCUUUUUUCUUUUUUUCUUUUUGGUUUAUAAUUUAGUCACCUCAUUGAUGGAGUUACUUGAUUAACACGUAGAAUGUUAAAAAUAUGGUUUUUGAAUAAACAUCAAGUUAUUUUCGGAAUCAAAAUGCAAGAUCAAUUUUUUCAAAACUCUAAUAGGGAAACUGAUUUUUGGUAACAGAGACAAAUUGCGUCUAUGAGAUCGCACAAGGCUUCAAAGAUGUGUUUGUGAGUCUUUAUAAGAAAACUCUCUCAGAAAAAUGAAUAAUGCUAAUCGUACACACGAUUGAAUGACAAACUCAUUAUUUUCAUUGAAACUUUGGAAAAUAAGUUCAACAAGAAAGAACUCAUGACAACAUCUUGGGCUAUGAAUACUGGCAUGAUAGCAUAUAAAGGGGCUAAACAUUUAACAAUCAUUGAUUGGAAUUUCUGGAAUCAUUCAUUCUCCUUGACAAGGGCAUCUCUUCAAUAGUCAAUAAUAUCACCAUAGCUUUAUCUUCAAGAUAGUUGAUUUCUAAAAAUUGGUGUGAAGCAAUUAGCUAUAGGAACGAUAACUGUCUUGGCAGCCACCUUCAGUGAAACCGUUCUUCUUAGUUAGGUUAGCAAUCUUACAUAACCCAAUGGCUUGUUCAAUCCUCUCAGCUAUAACAACCAGGUCAGUGAAAUGUUGCGCAGAGCUUCUAACCAAGUAUUCAAAGUAUGAAGCUUUAAAGUUGUUGGAAAAUAAACUGAUCAUCUCUUUUUCCAACAUAGAAGGGUUAACCUGUGCAGCUACCUCCCUCCAUCUUCGAGCGUAUUUCCUUAUGGACUCCUUAUUGUCCUUCUCCAUAGCUUGCAAGUUUAAACGAUCAGAGUCCACGUCUAUAUUGAACUUAUAUUGUCUCAUGAAGGCAUCAACUAAAUCCUUCCAUUUUUUAACCUUGGUAUUUUCCAACCGCAUAUACCAAGUGAGGGCAACGUCACUCAAAUUGUCUUGAAAGAAGUGAAUUAACAGUUUCUCGUCAUAGACUACCUCAACCAUUUUGUUGCAGUAUGUCUUGAGAUGAGUUACAGGGCAUUGAGUUCCUGUAUAUUUGAUGAAUUCUGGCACUCUAAACUUCUUAGGAAUGACUACGUUAGGUACCAAACACAUCUCAACAGCUUUUAUAUGGUCAUGUAGGCUAGUUCCCUCGAAUGCCCUCAGUCUUUGUUCCAAGGCAGCCCUUUUAUCCAGGCCAUCUUCUUUUACCACCUUGUUCUUUUGAGAUUCCUUUAUUGUAAGGUCAAUGGUAGAUGACAUUCCUAUGGGAUAUGCUGGUUGAGCAAAUUGGGAAUACAUAGACUGUUGAGACACCUCAUUUGCCCCCAGAUUCUGUGGAUUUACGAGCAUAGGUUCAGGCUGAGCUGUAGAUUUUGCUUCUUCAUGUUUAGAUCUCAAGGCUUGUUCGAGUAAGCUAGUAAGCCUGGCAACUUUCCAUCUCUUUUCGGUGUGGGGCUUCCAACUGGGCUCUUUCUUGUAAAAAAUUCCACACAAGGCUGUGAUUAAGAGAUUAACAAGAUGAUAGAUAUUUUUUUAGUAAAAUGAAUUCCAAUUCAAAAUAGCAAAAUAAGGUUUGUUGAGGCUUUUCUAGUAUAUAAAAAAAUCAAAUUAUACAAGAUUUAUUAUUAAUCUUCGAUAUUUAUUAUUGAUCAUCAAUAAUCAAUAUUAAAUGAUGACUUAUUUUCUAGUAUAAACUAUGUUUGAAAUAAAAUUGAUAAAACACAUUAUAUAUAAUUAAUGAUGGGAUCGUAUAUAAAAAUAAUUAAAUUGAGAUUUUUCAAUUACCUUUAAAUAUAUCAUAGUUUUAAUCGGUGGUGGACGAUAUAACAUAUGUAAAUUAUAAAACAAGCAUUUAUUUUUCUGAUAUAUACAUAAUAAUAACAAAUUAAAUGAUAGUAACAAGAAAAUAGCAAUUAGUUUGAAUAAAUGGUACCAGUUCCUAUCAUUAUAUAUUUAGGAAAAGGUUCAAAGAAUAGAAUAAAGUCAAAUAUAUAUUUUUAAUAAAAAAGAAAAAAAAACACAGAAAGAAAUAAAAAUAUGUUUGUAAUAAAUAUAAAAGAUGGAUAAAAAUAUUAGAGAAUAAGAAAGAGAUAUAGAAUCUCUUUGUGAAAUUUCUAAAAACUUAAUUACAAUUAUAUUAUAAUUUCUUCCCUAAAAUUAUUCAAAAUAUAGUAUUAGAAUUAUAUAAUGCUAGGUUUUAAUAGUUAAUUAAAGAAUCUUUCCUGAAUCAAAUAAUAAAAAUAUUGUAUAACGAUCUUUUGGAUGAAUUGUUAAUGUAGCUCUUUGACUGUUUGGGGUCCUGACAUAGCUGAUUUUAUUUGAAUAUAUUAUUUGAUAUCUCAUUGCUGCAUUGACUGGAAAUUUCAGUAUUCCAUAUCCUAUAUAUUUAACUCGUUAUAUUUAGUAGCUAACUCUGCAGCUAACUUCUCUGUCCCAUUGCAGCAAUUUCAUAGCUAACUCUUUGUUAUAUUUAACUUACUCUUCUUUGCUUCUUUGCUUCUUGCUCAUAACGAUAACUUGAAAGCCUUACGUUCAGAUAGAUAAUCAUUGACCAGUUCAUUGACCAGUUCUUUGUUAAUUUAGAAAUGCUGAAACAAAAACGCAAGCAAUCCAAAGAUGAAGACAACGAUUCAUCCUCGCGAAAGAGAAGAAAAGCUGACCUCAGUAAGCCUGUCAGUUUUGUCUCCACAGGUAAGGCAUAUGCGUGAGUCUAUACAUGUAGGAACUGCUGAUUCGAUUUGAAUAUGUUAUUUGAUUAGUCUGAUCAUAGGAUAGGUUGAGUCUACUACUAUUUCUGCCUUGCUUUGACUCGAAAUUCCUGGUGUUUUCACCUGCAAAUGAAUAGAAAUCACAUCCUUUCUCUUUCUCCUAUACAAAGAAUACAGUUAACCUCAUUUCAAUAUCAUAGAUUUGGAAUUUCAUAGCUAACUCUUUGUUAUAUUGCUCCAUUGGUAAUUGAUUGUGCCUUAAUUUCUGCAGCUACCAUGACAGAGCCAGGGUCUUCUCGAUCUAGUCCAGAAGGGGCCUAUGAUGUCUUCUUGAGUUUUAGAGGAGAAGACACUCGCAAGACAUUUACAGAUCAUCUAUAUGCUGCCUUAGAUCAAGCAGGAAUCCGCGCUUUUCGAGAUGAUGAUGAACUUCCGAGAGGAGAAGAAAUCUCCGAUCAUCUCCUCAGGGCAAUUCAAGAAUCAAAGAUAUCCAUAGUUGUCUUCUCAAAAGGAUAUGCUUCUUCUAGAUGGUGUCUCAAUGAACUUGUAGAGAUUCUUGAGUGCAAAAAGAGGAAAACCGGUCAGAUUGUUCUUCCUAUAUUCUAUGACAUUGAUCCUUCAGAUGUGAGAAAACAGAACGGCAGUUUUGCAGAAGCAUUUGUUAAACAUGAAGAGCGUUUUGAAGAGAAGUUGGUGAAGGAGUGGAGAAAAGCUCUUGAGGAGGCUGGAAAUCUAUCUGGAUGGAAUCUCAAUGAUAUGGCAAAUGGGUAUGCCUUUUUUCCAAAUUUAUGGAGUCAAUAUACUUUAUAUUUUUCAAUGUGAAACAAUAAAAUACUUAAUUGACUGGCUAUCAAUGACUGGCUUUUGUCUAUGAGCAGGCAUGAAGCAAAAUUUAUCAAAGAGAUUAUCAAGGAUGUGUUGAAUAAAUUAGAUCCCAAGUACUUAGAUGUUCCUGAGCUCCUAGUAGGUAUGGAUCGGCUUUCUCGCAAUAUUUUUGACUUUCUAAGUACUGCAACACAUGAUGUACGCAUUGUGGGCAUACAUGGGAUGCCAGGAAUAGGAAAGACAACUAUAGCAAAAGUUGUAUUUAAUCAACUCCGCUAUAGAUUCGAGGGAAGCUGCUUUUUUUCGAAUAUCAAUGAAACAUCAAAACAAUUCAAUGGUCUGGCUCUUUUACAAGAGCAACUUCUUCAUGAUAUUUUAAAACAAGAUGUUGCUAACAUCAAUUGUGUCGAUAGAGGAAAGGUUCUGAUCAAAGAACGACUUCGUCGCAAAAGAGUUCUUGUUGUUGCUGAUGAUGUGACUCGUCAGGACCAGCUAAAUGCUUUGAUGGGAGAGCGAGGUUGGUUUGGUCCCGGAAGUAGAGUAAUUAUUACAACAAGAGAUUCAAGUUUUCUACAUAAAGCGGAUCAAACAUAUCAAAUCGAAGAAUUGAAACCAGAUGAGUCCUUUCAACUUUUCAGCUGGCAUGCCUUGCGGGACACCAAGCCAGCAGAAGAUUAUAUUGAGCUUUCGAAGGAUGUAGUUGAUUACUGUGGAGGAAUUCCUUUGGCUCUUGAGGUUAUGGGUGCUUGUCUGUCCGGGAAAAACAGAGAUGGUUGGAAAUCUGUAAUUGACAAAUUGAGAAGAAUUCCAAACCGCGAUAUCCAAGGAAAGCUUAGAAUAAGUUUUGACGCACUGGACGGUGAAGAACUACAAAAUGCAUUCCUUGACAUCGCUUGCUUCUUUAUUGAUAGAAAGAAAGAGUACGUCGCAAAAGUGCUAGGAGCCCGUUGCGGUUACAAUCCAGAAGUUGAUUUGCAAACUCUCCAUGAGAGGUCUCUGAUUAAAGUAUUGGGAGAGACGGUAACCAUGCAUGAUCUAUUACGAGACAUGGGAAGGGAGGUCGUUCGUGAAAAGUCUCCAAAACAACCUGGAGAGAGGACCAGAAUUUGGAAUCAAGAGGAUGCAUGGAAUGUACUUGAGCAGCAGAAGGUAAGAGCUCAAUGCAUACAUGAAAGCAUAGUCAUGCGUAUUUUCUAGUCAAACUUAUUACAAGUAAUUGUAUGAAAGUUGUAUUGAUUUAUUUUUUAGGGUACGGAUGUCGUAGAGGGUCUUGCACUGGAUGUCAGAGCAUCAGAAGCUAAAUCACUUAGCGCAGGAUCAUUUGCAGAAAUGAAAUGCUUAAAUUUACUCCAAAUCAAUGGAGUUCAUCUCACCGGAUCCUUCAAACUGCUUUCUAAAGAGUUGAUGUGGAUUUGUUGGCUUCAAUGUCCUUUGAAAUAUUUUCCAUCUGAUUUUACCUUGGAUAAUUUAGCUGUUCUUGAUAUGCAGUACAGUAACCUCAAAGAACUAUGGAAGGGAAAAAAGGUGAGAAACAUGCUGCAAUCCCCAAAAUUUCUCUAUUAUGUAAUUUAUAUUUACAUGUUACAACUUCUUAAGAUUAAUUUUCAUUAUUUUGCGCUCUAUUAUACAGAUUCUCAACAGGCUAAAAAUCCUUAAUCUCAGUCAUUCUCAGCACCUUAUUAAAACACCAAACUUACACAGUUCAAGUCUAGAGAAAUUAAUUCUGAAAGGUUGCUCGAGUUUAGUUGAGGUGCAUCAAUCAAUUGAAAAUUUGACGAGCCUUGUUUUCUUGAAUCUCAAGGGAUGUUGGAGGCUGAAGAAUCUCCCUGAAAGAAUUGGCAAUGUAAAGUCUCUUAAAACUCUGAAUAUUUCUGGGUGUUCACAACUUGAGAAAUUGCCAGAACGCAUGGGUGAUAUGGAAUCCUUAACUAAGCUGCUAGCUGAUGGGAUUGAAAAUGAGCAAUUUCUCUCUUCAAUUGGACAAUUAAAGCAUUGCAGAAGGUUAUCAUUGCAUGGAGACAGUUCGACGCCACCAAGUUCUUCUUUGAUUUCAACAGGUGUUUUGAAUUGGAAACGUUGGCUGCCAGCAUCUUUCAUUGAAUGGAUAUCAGUGAAACAUCUUGAGCUUUCUAAUAGUGGUUUGUCUGAUCGCGCAACUAACUGUGUUGAUUUCAGUGGUUUGUCUGCUCUAGAAAAAUUGGAUCUAACAGGAAACAAAUUCUCUAGGCUGCCUUCUGGGAUCGGCUUCCUUCCCAAGCUAACGUAUUUGUCUGUUGAGGGAUGCAAAUAUCUUGUAUCAAUCCCAGAUCUUCCCUCAAGUUUAGGGCAUUUGUUUGCAUGUGAUUGCAAAUCAUUGAAAAGAGUAAGAAUACCAAGCGAGCCAAAAAAAGGACUAUUUAUAAAGCUAGAUGACAGUCAUUCGUUAGAAGAGUUUCAGGGCAUUGAAGAUCUAAGUAAUUGUUUCUGGUAUAUUCGUGUUGAUGACCGCAGUCAUUCACCAAGUAAAUUACUAAAGAGCGUUGUUGAGGUACUAUUUCUUUCCGUCUCUCUUUCGCACAAAAAGAAACACACACAAUUGGCACAUACAUUGAUUAAUGUCUAAAAUCUCAGCAUUCCUUGAAAUCAAUAUGUAUAUAGGCAAUAAUUAUUAUUAUUAUUAUUAUAUUUUAAAAAACAAAUAUCAUGUUUUAUAAUAUUUUUUAUUUUUCUUAUUUAAUCUAAAAAAUUAAAUAUUAUCUUUAAUAAUAUUUUUUAUUAAAUAUUUAAAGUCUGAUUGGUUUUAUUUUUUAUUUCUUGAUUUUAUGAUAAUAUAUUUAUACAGUUAAUGUGCAACGGUCGUCACGGGUAUUUUAUUCGCCACACUCCUAGUGAGAUGCCAAACUGGAUGAGCUACAGGGGAGAAGGAUGCUCAUUGUCAUUCCAUAUACCUCCAGUCUUUCAAGGCUUAGUUGUUUGGUUUGAUAAGGAUGAUCAUUAUUACUUCCACACUGACAUUAUUAUUAUUAUAAGAAAUAAAAGCAACGGUAUUCAAUUGUUUGAAGAAGAACGAACAGUACCAGAAAAUGAAAACAAUACCUCCAAAUUAGUAGAACGAACAGUAUCAGAACGAACAGUACCUCCAAAUUAGUAGGGUACAUCUCUUUUUGCCGAGUUGAUAUGAAUUCGUUAGCUUGAUGAAAACAACCGAAAGUUCUGAAAGCAUCCUUAAUUAGUAUAAUUAGUAAAGUCUUGUUAGUUUUGGCUAUAAGUUUUUGUUAUGUAUUAUUGCAUGGUUUUUAUUAUUUGUUGGCCCUUGUUUUUUUUAUAUACAACUUUUAUUUUUAUUGUCGGUUUGUCAUUAGCUUUAUGGCACUAACACUUAUUAAUAAUAAAUCUUGGACUAUUAUUAAAUAAAGGAAAAAUAAAAACAUUGUUAAAAUACCAAACUUGCAUAUUUCAAACUUAGAGAAAGCCGAUGAUAAUAAUCCAAUUUAGAAAAUAAUUAAUUUGUCCUUGUAGUAUUAGAAAAUAGUAUUUAAUCCUUAUGUUUUCAUAUUCAUCUAUGAUUUAAUCUCUUACAUCCAUUUCAUUUUCUUAUUAUUUUAAUCCAAAAAAAACUAAAAAUCACAUAUCAUGAAUACCAAUUAGAACGGAAGUGAAGACCAAUUAGAAGACUAUAAUCCAUAAUUCUCUCUGCUUCUAAGAAUUCACAGUCCCUAUAAAUUUGACUGAGAAAGAAAGAACUGAAGACAAACACAUGUUAACCUCUCAAGAUUAGUGCCUCACAAAAGAACAAGAUAAAGGAAACACCGCAAUUUUUCAUGAUAAAAUCCAAAGGAUUGGUACUUUGGUGUUUGUGGCGCUGGUAUAUGAAAGAACAGAGAUCAAGAGAUGAAAUCCCUCUAUACCGCUGUUAUUCCUUUCAAGGUGCGUAUCAGGUGUUUGAAAAACUUCCUCAACUUAAAGUAGAAAGGUCUUGUUUACAACGUUUUUUAGUCCUUUUCAAGUCUUCCAAUGUGUUGCAUUUACUGAAUAUGAUAGUGGGAA
Molecule: long non-coding RNA, 143235 nt
Filed under: Populus trichocarpa (black cottonwood)
Lineage: Eukaryota; Viridiplantae; Streptophyta; Magnoliopsida; Malpighiales; Salicaceae
Description: long non-coding RNA (PTRI_LNC004306)
Source: RNAcentral